UCAAGUGGUAGAUGCCCUUGCCAAUAUGGUUAGAUUUGUCGAUGUCUGUAUUAUUUGGGACGAACCUCCCCACUUCAUUCUGGGCAUGUACAAAUGAGAUAAGUUCAGUCUCUAUAACUUUCGUUUUCAUUGAUUUGCUUUUCUAGUGUAGUUUGAUGUUUUUUGUUAGGUGUUUUCGGGUUCUGACUUUAGUACCAUCCAACUUGAUUGUAGUCUUUCUUUUUUAUUAAUAAAUUUGGGGUGAGAGAGCACUUGGCUCUACUUAGCUCUUGUUAAUAAAAAAAGAAAUAAAGUAGAAGCAUGUUAAUUUGAACAUAAAUAGACGCACAACCACAACAUUUAUAGUGGUUCACCACGUCAACGGAAGGCAAGAAUGAUAUAUCCACUUAAGAUUCUACUAUCAUAAGUCAAAAUGCCUUCGUGAUAUUACAAGUCGAAUAGAUAUAUGGAUCAAAUGGAGAUGAGAUCCUUUCUAAAUAAGGGAAGCUUCCUAAUUAACAAUCCAUGAAUGCGGAAGAAACUGCACAUAUUUCUACUUAUGAGGCCUAUUUGUAGCAUCAAAGAGUGUCUUCUCGAUGUGGUGACAGUCGUUCUUCACUUUGACGAGGUAGCCCGAGUGUCGGUCUACUGGAUGUAUGUUGGAGGCGGGACUCACCAUGCCCGGUGGACGGUUUAAAAGGUUGUUGCAUAUGCUUGGCGGUAUGAAAUAUACAAUGUAUUCACAAAUUCCUUUGCACUGAUCCAAGACCAUUACUUAUAAUUUACUAUUAUCUCCUACAACUACUCGCAAGCUUAAUAAACUUAUUCUAAUUAAUAAUCAGAACAAAAUCAAAGCAUAAUUAUCCAGUACCGUUUGGUCUAGUGGCUAGCAUAAAUUUCUCUUUGUAAGUGAGAUGUUGUGAGUUCGACUCACAGUAGACUCAUUGUAGCAUAUUAAUUAUUUAUUUGGUUAAAAAAAAAAAUCAAAGCUUAAUUAGCAGUGAUCUCAAAUUUGUAAACCGACCUUGACAAAGAGUUAUCGGCAUUGUAAAUUUGUAAUAACCAAAAGAGUGUCAUUCUUCUUCAAAAAGUUGUUGGAUGCAGGCGCAGAGCCAGGUAAGAGCUUGGUAGGGCUCAAACCCAACCAAGAAUGUUUGAAUAAAAUUUUUAACGUAUAGAGAAGAAGCAUAGUAGAAGCAUUUGCAGGCUUGGUUUAGCAUAAUUACAACAAACCUAGUCACCUGGGUUUGACUCUCAGGUUGAGCAUUCUUUUUUUUUCUUCCCUUUUUCUUACUUCUUACUCCUAGCUAUACAAUGGGCCUUAUAGGCUUCUUCUUGCUUUUUUUUUUUUUUUUUUGUUGUUGUUGCUUUUUCUUACUUCUUACUCCUAUACAAUGGGCCUUAUAGACUAUGAGUCAUAGUCUUGUUUGGUAAGAUGUUUGAUAUUUUGGUAUUAGUUUUGAUUUAAUUAUUUCAUAACCCCCUUUUAUUUUAUUUAGAAUAAUUUUAAAUACACACUCCUAAUCUCUUAAUACACACCCCUUACUUAAUACACUAUCCAUCUAGUUUUUCAUUUUAAUAUUAUACUAAAUACACAUCCCAAAUUGCCUAAAAUACCCUCAAUAUCUAAAACUAAUAAUAAUUUGUUAUUUAAUAUAAUUAUUAUAUAUUUACUAUUUCACAACUUUGUUUACGUAUUCUCUUUUAUUUUCUGUUAGAUUUUUUGAUCGGGUUAUAAAUUUUUUCUUGAUAUUUUUCAAUUUAAUUACAAUCAAAAGAGUAAUAUUAUAUUCGAACUCUAAAUCUCCAAUAUGAUAUCAAUCGGCUAGAAUUUGAAGAAGAAAAAAAGUAUUGAACAUACAUAUAUAAUUGUUCAAAGUUAAGAAACUAGUAAAAGUACAAUAGCAUAAAAACUAGUAUAUACAUAAUUUUUUCAAAGUUAAGAAACUAGUAAAAAUUUAGGGUAUAUAACACUAAACUACCAUUUAAAGGUACAAAUAAUAAAAAAGUCUUUAAAUGUUCCACAUAAUAAAAAAGUCAACAUUAAAACAUGUUACAUGAUAAAAUAGUCACCUUAUAACAUCUUAAAUGAUUAAAAGGUCUAUUUUUACACUUUUUACAUGACCAUUCUACCAUCCUCUCUCAUUUCACCUCUCUCUCUCUCNNNNNNNNNNNNNNNNNNNNNNNNNNNNNNNNNNNNNNNNNNNNNNNNNNNNNNNNNNNNNNNNNNNNNNNNNNNNNNNNNNNNNNNNNNNNNNNNNNNNNNNNNNNNNNNNNNNNNNNNNNNNNNNNNNNNNNNNNNNNNNNNNNNNNNNNNNNNNNNNNNNNNNNNNNNNNNNNNNNNNNNNNNNNNNNNNNNNNNNNNNNNNNNNNNNNNNNNNNNNNNNNNNNNNNNNNNNNNNNNNNNNNNNNNNNNNNNNNNNNNNNNNNNNNNNNNNNNNNNNNNNNCUACUCGAUGAAUAAGAAUGCAUUCCUUAUGAAUUCUUCUUUGCUUAGAUUGUAAAUGAAUAUUUGCUUGUUCUAUUUGAUACGUGUUAUGUUAUUUGGUCAUGCACACCAAGUGUUUGAUGAAAUGUCUAUGAAUGAAUUAAGGUGCACACCAAGUGUUUGAUGAAAUAUCUAUGAAAGAAUUAAGGUGCAUGAUUCUACUCGAUAGAUCAAAGUAGACCUUGAUGUGCUUGCGAGGAUGUGAUAGUGUUAUAUUCAUACAUAUAUCCUCAUCUUUAGGUGAUUCUAGUGAUAUUGAGUCAUGUAAGACCUCAUUACUAGGCAAUAAGGCUAAGCUCCUUUCCAGUAUUUAUUUGUUUAUACUAACAUAGCCUUCCAUGUAUCAUCUUACUGGUCAUCAUAUUUGUCAUGCUCUUACCAGUUUAACAUAUAAUGGUUUCAAAUCUUGUUCUAAAAUAUGCAGCAGACUCCAACUACUGCUCUUUCAUAUCUUGCCAUGCAUGGUUGAUCACUCAUUUACCAACCAUUCUCCUCAAAUCUUCUACACACCCAAAAGUGUAUGCAUUGAUCCAUCCAAUUUUAUUACUCCACACUACGAAUUCAAUUCAUUCAAAUUCAUCCAAUUUUAUUACUCCACCCAAAAGUGUAUGUAACUAUGCAUGUAACUAUCGAUGUAAUUAUCCAUGUAACUAUGCAUGAAACUAUCCAUGUAACUACAGAUUGAUAGUUACCUGGGUAGUUACAUACAUGACGGGUACAAGAAGGUAACUAUCAAUGUAACUAUCCAUCUAUGUAACUAUCCAUGUAACUAUUCAUCUAUGUAACUAUCUAUGUAACUAUUCAUUCAUGUAACUAUCUAUGUGACUAUGUAACUAGCAAUGUAACUAUGUAUGUAAUUAUCCAUCUAUGUAACUAUCUAUGUACCUAUGCAUGUAAGUAUGCAUGUAACUAUCUAUGUAACUAUGUAACUAGCAAUGUAACUAUGUAUGUAAUUAUCCAUCUAUGUAACUAUCUAUGUAACUAUGCAUGUAAUAAUAAAUGUAACUGUCUAUGUAACUAUCCAUAUAACUACAGAUUGAUAGUUACCUGGGUAGUUACAUACAUACACUUGUGUACAUGCCUAUGUAACUAUUCAUGUAACUAUGCAUGUAACUAUUAAUGUAACUAUCCAUGUAACUAUGCAUGUAACUAUCCAUCCAUGUAACUAUACAUGUAAUUAUGCAUGUAACUAUCUAUGUAACUAUAACUAUGUAUGUAACUAUCCAUCUAUGUAACUAUCCAUGUAACUAUGCAUGUAAUUAUCAAUGUAACUGUCUAUGUAAUUAUUCAUCUAUGUAACUAUCCAUCUAUGUAACUAUCCAUGUAACUAUGCAUAUAAUUAUCAAUGUAACUGUCUAUGUAACUAUUCAUCUAUAUAACUAUCAAUGUAACUAUCCAUUUAAUUAUCCAUGUACCUAUGCAUGUAACUAUCCAUGUAACUACAGAUUGAUAGUUACCUGGGUAGUUACAUACAUGCUACACUUGUGUACCUGCCUAUGUAACUAUCCAUGUAACUAGCAAUGUAAUUAUCCAUAUAACUAUGCAUGUAACUAUUGAUGUAACUACAGAUUGAUAGUUGUCUGGGUAGUUACAUGCAUGCUACACUUGUCAUGCAUGUAACGAUCCAUCUAUGUAACUAUUCAUGUAACUACAGAUUGCUAGUUACAUGGGUAGUUACAUUGCUAGUUACAUAGAUUUUAAUAGAUUUAUGUUCUAAUACACAGCGGGACGUUGCCGUUGCGGUGCAGCGGCACGCUGCAAUUAUUAUUAUGUAAAUGACUUGUGUACCUACAUUAAGCUACUUAUCUAACUAUCAAUGUAACUAUUCAUGUAUCUAUCCAUAUAACUAUGCAUGUAACUAUCUAUCUAUGUAACUAUGUAUGUAACUAUCCUUCUAUGUAACUAUGCAUGUAACUAUCCAUGUAACUACCGACUGAUAGUUACAUGUGUAGCUUCAUACAUUCUACAUAACAAGCUACACUUCUUCUUUUUUCUCACACAGAACGCAGAAUAUGGCAAAGUAAAACAGUCUAUAUUAAUUGUAAAUCAUCAAAUUAAGAAUACCUAGGAAAACAAUUUAGUGCUAACACAACUCUUAAAACUCUGGCUUUCCUCAUUCAUCGUUUAAUCCAAAAUUCAUUACAAAAUAGAGUAGGAAGGGAAAGGAAACCAUUAUUGUCACCAUGCUUUAGUGCACUUAACAUUGAUUUCAGUAUGACUUUAUCACUACCUUCCCUCAAUAUAUGCAAUCUGCAUAAGUAUAAAACAUUAUGAAGUUGUUUGGGUGUUGAAAAUGAAGAACCCAAAAACAGAAACAUCAAGCUUAAUAAAUAGAGAUAUGUUCCGCACAAAUAAUUUUUCAUUUAGCAGUUCAACAAAACCGCCAACUCAUUGCAUCUCCUUAAAAACUUGCUUGGUAGACUUUUCUCCUUCAUUUUCCAGUUUUCUGCAUAAUGACCUUCUCUCCUUCCGACGGCUAUAACUUUCUCUACAAAAUAGCUAUCAACAAUCCGCGAAAUGUUCUGAAAACUAGACUCUUCUAGCUUUCCGUUGAUGUAAGGCAAGUUUCUUGGAUCGCUUUGAGCUGCUCGCAAUUUGCCGUCGAAUUUGACUGAAAAUCUGGGCAGAAUUUGGUAUUUCUUAAGCUUUCAUCUUUUAUGUGCAUCUCUUUGCAGCGUGUAGCAUCUCUUUCCUCACAUUCCUUGCUCAAGAACUUGAGAAGGUCAGCCCUCGCUAGCACAUCAAGGUCCACUGCGCUCUGAUCGAGCAAAAACACCAAAAUUCAUUCACAGAUAUUUCCUCAAACACCUUGUGUGCAUAACCAAAUAACAUAACACAAAUUAAACAUCUCAAACAAACAUGCAUUUACAAUCUAAUCAAUAAAAGAUUCAUGACACAACAUUCUAUUUCAUAAAUGACAUACCCAGAAUACAAUAAAACCCAUGAAUUCAAACUUCUUUUUCUAUUUCUAGUUUUAAUCACAUAAAAAAGAAAAAACAAUCAAUUGAUAAAGAAGAGAGAAACAUAUUAGCUUACCUUGUAAGCUGAAGACGAUGAUCGAAAUUAAUCCGAAAAGCCAUGACAUAAGAGAUUUGUUGAAGGAUGAAAGAAAAAUCAAAGAGGAUGAAAUCGUCGAUGACGACGGCGGAGAGCUCCGUCGUGUGCUUCUAGAUAUGUUCUCUCUGAGCUCACUUUGGUAACGGCAUCAAUCUCUCGGUAAAGGACGACGGGUUCGCCGGAGAGAGUGAUUCGCCGGAGAGAGAGAAAGAGAAGAGAGAGAGUGAGGGAGAUGAGUUGAGAGUGAGUGAGAGAGAUAGAUAAUGGUUAAUAUGUUAUUAUUUUUGUCAAUGGCAUGAUAUGUAAUUUUUUUAAAAUUUAUGAGCAACGGUUUAAAGAAUUUAAAUGGAUGUAUUGUUUUAUCAUCAAAGAACAUUUGUUAACAGUUUUAUCAUUUAUUACUUCUAAAUGUACCAUUUUAUCAUUGGCCCAAAAGUUUAAUAGCAUAAAAACUAGUUUUUAAUCUGCAAGACAAAAUUUAAAGUUGAUAAAAAAAAAAACCCAAAUGAAUCGGUAAAUAGUACAUGUGAUUACGAAAGUAAUCGAAAUUCAGGUGAUGAAUUUUGAAGAAGAGGUUUUUAUUUCUUUUCUUUUGAUGCGUAGUAAUAGUAGAGAAGAGUUAGGUUUUACGGAAGAGGUAAGUUUUUUUUUUCCCUAAUAAUUGAUAGAUGUUUUUGUAAUUAAACAUACCUAUAAAAUCUAAUAUGAAAUAUAAAAUAAUAGGGGUGUGUAUUAAGAGAUUAGAGGUGUGUAUUUAAAAUUUCUCUUUUAUUUAAUAUUCAUAUAGUGGUAGUAUAUUUUGGCUGGGUUCUUAUUUUCUUAUUGCAUCUCAAUAAAUCAAGUGUAUAUAUAUCUACUAUAUUUUAGUUAAAUAUUUUAGACUAUCGUUAAAUUUUCUUAUUGUUUCAAUCAACUGGGGAAAAAAAAAAUUCAAGCCCACCAUAGUGUUAAAUCCUGGAUCCGCCACUGGUUGGAUGUUGUAAGGCCCUGUCACAUUUGGUGUACCACUCCAUAUCAGCUCCGCUAACUAUGACUCCCAUCAAACCACACACUAUCUCCAGGAUUACUACAUAACUCAUAUGCCACCGUUCCAUUUAGUCCGCCACAAUCAGAUCCUCUGUACGCCCCUCUACCGCAACACGCAUCUGUUCCAUCCUUAAAACCUUCACAAUGCACCAUAUACAGCUAAUCAGAAUCCUAUAAGUAGUUAUCGAAAAUCGAUAGCGUUCAUUUACAUAUUGCUGAUCUAACAUACCGUAUUUAUUGGGGUUAAGCACCCGAUCACCAAGUGCAUCAUAGUACUCGAAUAUCGAAUAUUUGAAUCCCGGUAGUUGGCUCUCUAGCUCUUUGAGAACACUAGCUAGAGCUUUAUUGUGCUGCCUCGCUAGAGUCUGGAGCCCUUCGACGCACCCAAGAACAAGUUGAGUGUCGGAUGAUUGUUUUGCAUAAGGUAAGCACCCAAUAGGUCCUGCAUUCUGAAAUGCUCUUUUCCUUCCUCCCAAGUCAUAUAUCCCCUGUACAUGAUACAAAAAGAAAUAACUGGCAUAACUAGUAGGACCCCUGAUGUUAGACUCCUUCCAAAGCUCAUCUAAUAAUAGAGGAAAAUAUCUAUUUUUCUUUAGAUAAUUUCUCUUACUUGGAGCACAUUGGUCAGGUUGCCGAUCACAAUUCCUAUGUAUUCUUGCUGGAGGGACUCGGUAGCAUUUUCUUGGUAUUCGGCGUAGAAGGUAAAAUAGUCAUUGCCUCCCAUGCUAAUCAAGUACACAGCGCUCCCCAGCAACUUCUUGGCCUCUUCAUGACCGAGUUGUUCUUGCAACAACUCCGUCACGUUCUUAAAAUAGCUCAACUGAAAUGGAAGAUUUAUCUGGAAAACCCACAGGUAUAACAGAUCAUGAUUAUCGAGCUAAAAUCUACGUUCCUUGCCUUAAAAGGUUACUUCACAUAUAAGUAAAACAUGGAAGAUGAUCCCACUGUUCCUGGAUUAGUUUCAACAAGAACCCCAGCUCCUGCUGAAGCAAAGCUAGCUCCAUCAGUAAAUUUUUUUGAACCUGGUUGCAGAAAUGGUGGAAGCAUAGGCAAGUUUGCAAACUUGGCUGCAAAUACAAGUCGUAAAGAUCAUUGAACUGCGCGCAUGCAUUAUAUAAGUGCCCCAUGAUUUGUGAACUAGUUCUAUGAAGGUCCUAGAGGGGGGGUGAAUAGGCCUUUAUUACUUUUUCGUCCAAUUCCGUUCACAAGGAUAGCAAACAUUUAGCUAUCCUGAUAACAGGGAGACGUAGUAAUAAAUAAAAAAACAAGUACUGGAAAGUAAAAGAAAUAACACCAGUACGUUUUUUUAUUCGUAGAAAUCCUGCAUCAGGGAGAAAAACUGCGUGCCCCUAACUCUUGAGGGACAAACCUUUCCACUAUGUAAAACUCACUUCUUACAAGAUUAUAGUCUAGGGAUACAACGACGAUUUGCAAUCCUGCCUAGUCUACCCACUAGUCUAGAUCUAUCUCUCCUGUCUCUGAGUGACUCACCUCACUCCUCACAAGAUUAUAGUCUAGGGAUACAACAACGACUUGCUAUCCUGCCUAGUCUACCUACUAGUCUAGACCUACCUCUCUUGUCUCUCAAGUGUUUACAUAUGAAGGUAUAAGAAGAAGUUUCAACUCAGAACUCAGCUAACGCCUUUAACUGAUUCUUCUUGAACACUUCUCAGAAUACUCAACUCAGAACUGCUAUCCUAAUGAGAGGAAUUCUUCAGACCUCAGCUAACACCUUUAACUGACUCUCUAGAACUCAGCUCUCCUCGAUCAACUGAUCCUUCUUGAGUACUUUUGGGGUUGCUGCACUACCAUCACUCAUGAUAUGCAGAAUGCUAAUGGGUUUAUGAAAAGAGUUUUUGCUCUUGCUCUUGCUCGAAGAUUUACAAUCACCAAGGGAAGACUUAGAGGCAAAUGAGCAAUGCAAGGAAAAACCUAGACCCAGCUAAAACUAUGUAGAGAACUACAUCUUGAACAACCAAGGAGCAAGAAGAGACUUGCUCCAUAUAUAUAGGCAAAGUGCAAGCUAAAGGAGAGGAUGCCCGUUUACCAAAAUGGGAGGCAACUUUUGGACUUUAGUCCUUGUCCAAACUCAUAAAGUGAGAGGGCCAAGGGACAAACAAAAGGCUUCAAGAGAGUAAAGACAAACACAACUCUCUUAUAUCAUAAUGGUCCAAUAAGGAAGAAACAAAAGGUUUUGUGAAUGAAGGAGACACAACAAAACCUAUUCCUAUAUGAGGACACAUAGGCCAGCUGAUAGCUUGGGCAGUGCAUCACAUGGCUCAGCAGUUAACUUGGUUUGUGUAUCACAAAACCCAGCUGGACUAAAAAAGGAGCUGCCCUAAAAGUGCUUUAGUCAUGUGCUUAUGGGUUGGAAGAACAACACAACCCUAGACUAACUUGGAGCUCAAGCACGAUGAAAAAUGUUUUGCUAAAAGAGAUUUGAAAUUCAAAUACUUGAAAAGCUGAAGCAAAACUAUUUAAAUCUGCACGAAGUCAGACUCAGAGAUUAGGAUAGAUACAACAAAGGUAUCCACCAAAUCUGGAUGGCAAGCAGAGCUGCCAUCCUGAAUGAAUGUGAUGCACAUGCAUGAACUACCUGAUGUACAUGAGAUAAAAACAAAGAGCCAGCUAAUAUAAUAGUUUGUGUAUCACAAACCUAGCUGGAGCCUCUAAGCUCUAGUCAUGUGGUCAUGGGUUGGAAACACUACACAACCCUAGACUGACUUGAAGCACCAAGGCAUUGCUAAAGGGGAUUUGAAUUCAAACAGGGGAAUUCAAACUAAUGAUACACAAAUAGCAAAAGCAUUUAGACAUGCAUACAUAUAGACCCAAUAGAUUAGGACAGAUACACCAGGAGGUAUCAUCCGAUCUAGGAUGAUAAGCAAAGCUGUCAUUCUCAGUGAAAAACAUGAGAUGCAUAUGCAUGAACUACCUGAUGCACAUGAGAUCUAGGCAGGUCUUCAUUCUUCACUUGUGAUAUCCUUACCAUCAGGAUAUGUAGAAUUCUCAAUGAAAAGCAUCAGAUGCAUAUGCACCAGUUACCUAGGACACAUGUGAUCUUGUCAAGUCUUCAUUCUUCACUUGUGAUAUCUUUACCAUCAGGAUAUAUAAAAUAGCUUGUGUCUUGUGUUUUGAUCAUAAAAGGGAUAGCCAACAAUCCUUAUACCAACAUUCUAUAAAAUACUAUUAAUACAUGCGUAUGAGGGAUGCUAAUGUCGAUCUACGAUCAGUUUAAUUAAUCUGUAAAUCUUACCGAUGAAGUCGGGGACUACGCGGCCAUCGCAAUUUCGUCCGUUAGGACGGUGAAAGAAAGUUUCUCCAUAUGGCCAGGUUAGUGCUGCAUCAUUUUCUACAGUAUCAUUUGGGAGGUACUGAUUGUUGCCGGGAUCAAGCAGUGAGUCUCCAAACACAAACAAGCUAGGCCUUAAAUUCUACUUGAGUAUCAUCUGCAGGCUUAUAGCUGAACUGAUCAUGAGAUUCAUGACCAUAAAGAAGGUAGCUAACUGGGUUCAAAAGGCUUACGAACACAUAAACAAGGUAGCUAAUGUCUGCCAUAACAAUCCAAAUUCUAAAGUUAACUAUAACAUGUCUCCUGCUAUAUAGGUCUGGUUUCCUCCAAAGCAAGCUACACUACGCCAGAAACAGGCUUUUACGGCCGGCAAUGCGCGCCGUAAAAGACUUUUUACGGCGCACAAAAAUAAGCAAUAAAUGCCUGCGCCGUAAAAGACACAUUACAUUCACGGUGCGCCAAUACGAGCCAUAAAAAUAGAUAAAUACACGCCGUAAAACUGAUCCCUCCAACAUUAUAACAUCCAAAUGAGGAUUUUUGUGCGCCAUAUAUGAUCCAAAAGAACGCCGUAAAAGACUUGGAUUAGAAUGUUUUCACGGCGCUCUAGCAUGCCGUAAAAGAGUAUUAGUUUAAAGACAUUUACGGCGCACAGGCAUGCCGUAAUAACCUAUUUGCUUUGCAUGUUGCUUUUAGCAUUUCUUGUUUCCACAAUUUGCUGAUCAUAUUCCAUAUUCAUGGUAUUACAUUCCAUUGGCUGCUCAAAUCAGAGUUAACAAUAAUUAACUUCAAAACCUUAUGCAAGAACAACAAUCUAAUUUAAGAGCUAGCAAAGGUGAACUAACAUCAUAUAUAUAUAUAUAUAUAUAUAUACAUACAUAUCUGAACAAUCUGGAAAUUCAGUAUGUAUCUCAACAACAACUGCAUAUGUCGCUACAAAUUCCAUCAAAAAAUAAAAUUACAAUUCAGAGUACUUGGAAGCUUUCAAACUCCAUUAUCCAACUACAAAAUGUCCCAACAGUAGCAACAUAAGCAUUAAUCUUCAUUCACCUCAAAACUUCACAUUACCUGCUAGAAACAAGUUUGAAAAUAUACAUAUUAUACAUUGGUUCAUCUAAGGAUCAUAAGAAUCCAAAUAAUUGCAUACAUAAGGCAAUACUCAAGAAAAAAAAAUAUAUGAGUUCAUAUCUCUAAAUUCGAUAAGUUAUGGUCUCCUAGCACAUGUAAAAUUGAGUUAAGGUAUCCAGACAAGAAUGUGGCAGUCCUCAUAUAACCUUAAUCAAAUCUACAACUACGCCAAAGUAAUUAAUUUAUAAGCAAAUUGAGUGGUUGCACUAUCUACAAGAACAAACCAGAAUUAACAUAGAAUCUAGAUGAAUAUAUACUAAAUUUAAUUUAAUGAAUGAAUAUAGAGUACAAUACUGAAAACAAAUAUUGAGGUUAUAUGUUAAGAGUAGGUUACCUGCUAUAUCUUGUUAAUAGAUUAAAUUUGUCUGAUGUACUUGAUAGGCCAUGCAAUUGUACUUCCUGUAGCCUCGCUCAGUGUUCCAAACUCCCUGGUUGGUCGAUAUAAAGCUAUAUCAUCAAAAACAUCAAGCACCCAAACUUUCCAACAUUCAGGACCAAGGGGCACAUGAUGAACCAUAGCAUUUGGAUCUUUGGAAUCAAGUUUUGCAAUUGCAACACCUUCGCUCAUCUCAAACCAACUUAACAAUUCAAUUCUAUUUUGAUCAUCCUUUAUACCUUUGGCCCUUGUACCUUCCUUGUCUUUACUUUGCAUCCCAUGAUCAGUAGAGUGUUGAAGACGUGAAGUUUUUCUUUGGUUACUCUGCUUGCUCUUUGGACUUCGAAUUUCAGAUCUCUGAACACUUGGAUUGUUUUGCUUCCUUUGGGUUACACUUUGAUUCACAUUCUCCUUCUGUUGUGCAACCUUAUUAGCAGAAUGCUGAACACUGGUACUACCCUGUCAUUAUAAAGUUCAAGAAAUCAGUAACCUAGUUGAGUUAUCUACCAAAAGUUAAUAAUUCUAACUAAUUUACAUGGUUAUUUCCUUCUUUCUCUGAUCGAGGUAAAAGAGUGGUAAGCACUUCUUCUAAUCGUUCAAUCUCUUGCGAUUGAGAAAGCAUCUCUUGUGCUUGAGCGGACAAAGCAUUCUCUAAUUUAGCAACUUUGUUUCCAACAUUAGUUUGAUAUUCUACCCUUGAAGGAACUGCUCCAAAUCCUAACCCUCUUACCCUUCCUCGUGGAUCCGGACCUAGAACUUUUGCUACAGCAUCAUCUUUUAAAGAACAAGGUUGUGAAGGUUGUUCAUUUGCCUGGUACUGUUUCACUUGUUUCUAAAAAAGACUAAUGUUAAUCUCAUGCAACUUUGAUAAAUUGACAUAAUAUCUGCAAACACAACAAGAAGAGUAUACUAACCACUAUUUCAUGAUCCUCAACUACUUCAUCUGAGCCCUUCUUCUUCUUUGUUUCAUAAGCAUGUACCCAUACAACAGACCUUGUUAUUACUUCUGGAUUUUCACUUUGUUCCUUCUACAUUUCAACAAGUAGAAAUAUUCUUGUUCAACAAGUAGAAAUAUUCUUGUUCUUAUCAAGUUAUGAAACUCAAUUGAAGCUAAUAAUAAGAUUACACUUACCAAUUCUUCUUCAAGCCGUGCAAAGCUUUUUUGACUAGUUCUGUGUAGUAAUGUUCUUGCUGCUCGCAUUUCCUUGUACUUUUCACACUUUGCCUAUGAAAAAAAAAACAUGUGGCAGUAUCAUGAUCUGAAAUCUGAUACCGUGCAAGACAAAUAUAUAUAUAUAUAGAUAUAUAUUACAAUAUAUUUCUAAUACAUACCUUAAAUCCCACACUAGUUCUGUACUUGACAAGAGCUAGCCAUUCAUGCAUGGAUUCAACAUUAGUAGCCAAGAUAAGCAUAACUUGUAUUUAAAGAGCAAACAUUUUACAAUUGCAGUACUGUAACUAGCCAAGAUAAGUAUAAAAGAACUAUAAGUAAUUAAAAAUGAAACAUAUAUAACCAACAAAACACUGAAAUACACAAUUGCAAUUCAAUUCUGUUAAGUAAAGCAAAGAGAGAGAGGACGAUUUGAUACCUAUAGUCAAGCGGGCUGCGUCUGAUUGCAAAGAGAGUGACGAUUUUGUUAAGUAAAACACCUUAUGUGAGGAGACCUGCACCAAAUAUAGAAACAUACGUCACUCAAAAUCACCAACAUCAACAAAUACCCAGAUCAACAGAACUUAAACAAAUAAUUGCAAUAACUUUCUCAAUCAUGACACAACGCUGAUAGCAAACAUGUUGAUCUAACUACCAACACCAGUGCCUAUACUACUAGUCUCUAACUUUAACAACAAAGUAAAUUGAAAAGUUUAGAUGAAUGUUUCUAAAGUAACUUUCACAAUCGUUAGAAGCAAUAAACUGAAUUAUAUACAUAUAUAUAUACUACUAGUCCCUGUUUCUAAUACAACCAGAACCUACUGUAAUGCUUUCAAAUUUCAAAUACAAAAAGACACGUACUUAGCCAAGGCACUUAUGGUUGCAGAUAUGCUUGUAAUGAUCUCUUAAAAGCUAAAAAAGAACAGGGGUCCUUGAUCAAAUUCGAACUGGUCCUUGAUCAAAAGUAAAAUCCUUAAAAACUUCAAUUUUCACAUAUGGUAAAUACUGUUCUAGACCCACAACCUAACUUGUGGUCGUAAGCUUGAUAAGUUCAUGAAACAAUAGUUAAAAUCGCAGCCUCUGAAGUAAACUGCCAUAAUCAUGUAGAAUAAUCCACAAGCUGCAUACAAAUGUACAUUCAAGUCCCUCUUAAAGAAACAAGAAUCAUAAGUUAGUAAUCCUAUUCAGGGAACAAUUAGCUUAUCAUACUCCCUGCUUUACCUAUUUAUGCUUUACUCCAUGCUCUAUAUUCUUCAGUAACCAUGUCAUGUACUCCCUCAUCCAGCCUUUUUAGUUUCGACUAGGAAAGAGCAUAUAUAGGCUCACAAAUUUAAUGAACUAAUUAACCUCUACAACUACCAUCCAUCACUUGCUAUGUCGAACCCCAACUGAUUUACACUAGAAGUUAUUUCCCCUGUUGUAAAUUAUGUCCUCAAGUCCCAAUCACAAACAAGAACCAGAAGUUUUACUACAGUACUCAUAAGUUUAAAAAAAUUCAAUUCAAAGUUGGCAGGAAAGAACAAAGCUAUACUGAACCAUACUUUCUGUCUUACUACAAGGCUCCUAACUUUAAAGACUUAAUUCAAACCCUAUCACUAAAGAGCAAAGCUAAAGUGAACUAUAAUUUCAUUCUUACUGCAAGGCUCACAAACACGAUUACAAGUAUAACAAAAAUGUGCUACGAUCAAGUACCGAAAACUGCAUCAAAACUACCAAGUCCAUAAGAGCAAUACUCCCCAGCCUGAGCCUCACCAGCAUAAAGAAAUACCCAGACAUAAAGAAAUUAUUUACCCUUACAAAUACCCAGACACUCCUCUCUUACAAAUCCAACAGACACUCAUCUUAGAUUAGCAAAUACCCAGCUAUUAAUCCAAAAGUUUAAACCUUAGAUUAGCAAAUACAUACCUAGCUAUAAAUCCGAAUGAGUUUAGAGUUUCAGCGAUUCUAAUCGCUUCAAACAGAAAGAAGAAGAAGAAGAAACAAACCUACCUUGCACCAGCUGAGCACAGCACCACAGCCAGAAAUCCCCAGAAACCGAUCUACAUGCUUUCCGGUAUGCAGCUCACUGUAGAAUUCGGUGGAAUGAACAUCUUUCUAACUCUGUCAAGAUUUGGAGGAUUAUGUUUUCUGGUUUGAGGCUUCAGGUUUGAGGUUUGGAGUGGGACUUCUUAGAAUCGAAGAGAAAGAGAAGAUAACCCUCUCAUGCAUAUGACUUUUCAGGUUUGAGGUUUGUUGUGUAAGGAUUCUCAUAUGACCCUUUCUCAACUUCUUAGGAAGAAAGCAACGACCAGAAAACGAGAAGGUAAUAAUUUUGGGGAAAAUUUUAGGGAAAAUUUAGAAGAGGGAAGAGUUUAAUUGAGAGGGAAAUUAGAUUUUUUAGGGAAAAUUUCGCGCCUUAAGAUUCCUUUUUUACGGCCGGUUUCAUAUGCGAGCUGUAAAUAACUUUCUGCUAUAUUCUGUUUUCACGGCGCUCUACUUGUGCGUGCAGUAAAAACAUAUCACGAUUACAGCACACAAUAGAUGCGCGCAGUGAAAGACUUAAUGUGAUUGGUCAUUUACGGCGUGUAUAUUAGCACGCAGUAAAAGAAUUCAUGUCAAAGAGUUUUUACGGCACGCAUUAAAAGCACGCCGUAAAAGAGCAUAUAAUACGGCGUGCAAUUAUGCACGCCGUAAAUUUUGCGCGGUAAAUGCCCUAAAUUCUUGUAGUGCUAUACUCAUUAAUUAUGUCUAUUAGGAUAAAGCAGAAGGGCCAGUAUGCUAAUUAAAAUAUCUACAAAUGUCACAAAUUAAAAACAGAUGUCAUAUACUGCCGGCCACAUUGUGGAAGGAAGGAGAUCGAAAAGGGGUAGUUUACCUCGUGGGAAUGGUUCUUAGAACGAAAAUAGAUAUCAAGAAUAAGAUUACAAUCAGACUGUCUCAAUUUUCUGGUAAAUAACUAAUCGAGUUAUAGAUAUGAGUCACUGUGGAUAUAUCAUCAGAGUAGUUUAUUAGAUGCAUGGAAGUCAUGGAACUGCAUGAUGUAUGUUCCACUUUAUUUCUUAACUAAUAAGUAAGUUAACUACUAAAUAAAUCUUAUUAUAACGGGCAACUACAUUGUGUUAUGCAACUCAACUUGUGAUUUGAUAUUUUUAGGCUUUCGAAAAAUGUCUGGGAAAAAAAAAAUGAAAAAGAAGUCUGAAGAUUGAACAUGAGGACUAAAGACUGGUUGAUUGGUCAACCCAGCGUACGUUUAUGCAUGGACUAGCAAGUUAAAAGAAGGCCAAGAAACCAAUCAAAUCAAAAUAUCAAAUAUACGUGCUAGUUCGAUCACGAGUUGUUCAUUUGAUUUUUAACAAGAUGUUAAGACAUCUCGAUCGCUACCUUACGUCGUAAUCGAUCGUUAUCGUUAUUAUGGAUGGUGGGCGACUCUUAAAUCAUAAUCAAUCACUAUCAUGUAUAGUGUUAUGGUGUUUGUUUACUCGGUUUCAGCUCAAUCUCGUGGUUUAAUUAUUACUAAGGAGUGAAACUACAUGGAUCUUUCUUCUACAUUUUCCAUGAGUUUGUUAAAUAAAGGUGCUAGAAAUCGUAAUAAAAAAGUGGGUGUAUUUUGGUUUCUGCGCUUAGUUUAGACUAGGUUUGUGAGUCACAAGAGGUAGCUCUAUAUUUCGGUCCUAAGGCUAAUGAGUGUGUUAUCUUGAUACUGCUUGUUGGUUAAUGAGUGUGUUAUCUUAAUACUGCUUGUUGAAUAUAUGAAUUGGUUGAUUUUUGACUCAAAAAAAAAUAUUAUGGAUAUUUAAAAAAUAUAUAUUUGGUUUUCUCUUCCAUUUUAAACGUAAGUAUUUCCAUGCAUGAAAAAUGUUUUAUUUGGUAUGUUCUUCAGAGGAUGCUAUUGCCUCUAAUUGUAUUCACCUUUGACUACAAGUAAAGUUAAAUGUUUUCUAAAGAAACAAAUAAUUUUAAGCAUUUCUGAAGAAAAAAAAAUAAUUAGCACUGAUACUGGGAUCAUUCAUUACUGGUUUCAUCUCCAUCAACUAUACCUCACUAGUUUUAAAUUUAUUCCAAUAAUGAGAAAAUUAUCAAAAUUAUUCUUGUUCAAAAAGUUGUUGGACAUUGUAAGGCCAUGUCACAUUGGGUGUUCCACUCCAAAUCAGUUCCGCCAACUGCAGGUUUGCCCUUUCAGUUGUAUGACUCCCAUCAAACCACACACUAUCUCCAGGAUUACUACAUAACUCAUAUGCCACCGUUCCAUUUAGUCCGCCACAAUCAGAUCCUCUGUACGCCCCUCUACCGCAACACGCAUCUGUUCCAUCCUUAAAGCCUUCACAAUGCACCAUAUAUAGCUAAUCAGAAUACCUAUAAGUUAUCGAAAUCGAUAGUGAUCAUUUACAUAUUGCUUAUCUAACAUACCGUAUUUGCUGGGGUUAAGAACUCGGUCGCCAAGUGCAUCAUAGUACUCGAAUAUCGAAUAUUUGAACCCCGGUAGUUGGCUCUCUAGCUCUUUGAGGACACUAGCUAGACGCUUUAUUGUGUUGCCUUGCCAGACUCUGGAGCCCUUCAACGCACCCAAUUACAAGUUGAGUGUCGUAUUCUUGUUUUGCGUAAGGUAAGCACCCAAGAGGUCCUGCAUUUUGAAAUGCUAUUUUCCUCCCACCUAAGUCGUAUAUUCCCUACAAACAAAUACAGAAAAUAAGUACUUGCGAAAUUAGUACGACCCUUAAUAGAGGGAAAAUAAUAACGGAUUAAUCCUCCAUUAAUUUACUUGGAGAACAGUGGUCAAGUUGCCGAUAACAAUUCCUAUGAAUUCCUGCUGGAGGGCCUCGGUGGCAUUUUCUUGGUAUUCAGCGUAGAAGGUAAAAUAGUCAUUGCCUCCCAUGCUAAUCAAGUACACAGCACUCCCCAGCAACUUCUUGGCCUCUUCAUCACCGAGUUGCUCUUGCAACAACUCCGUCACGUUCUUAAAGUAGCUCAAUUGUAAUGGAAGAUUUAUCUGGAAAAGAUAGAGAAACCAAACAAGAAGAAAUUAAGAUCAUGCCGGUGCCAAAAGUUCAUCAACAAUAAAUUAGAAGGCUUAAUUUGCAAAUGAGAGUAAACAUCGAUCACAGCUCUUACGUACAGUUCCUGGAUCAGUUUCAACUAGAACUCCGGCACCGGCUGAAGCAAAGCUGACUCCGUUGGUAUAAUUUUUUGGAUCUGGUUGCAGGUAGGGUGGAGGCAUUGGCAAGUUUGCUAACUUGGCUGCAAAUUAAAGUUGCAAAGAUCAAUUAAGUAUGGAGUACUGCAUUAUUUAGUAGCCACACAAUUUCUAUCUAAACCUGUUUGAUGAACUCCAAAUUAGUAACAUGAAUGCGCAAUGUAAAUGUUUACAGUCGACACGUUUGGUUAACCUUACCGAUGAAGUCCGGGACUAUACGGCCAUCGGAAAGUCUUCCGUUGGGGCGAUGAAAGAAGGUUUCUCCAUAUGGCCAGGUUGUUGCUGGGUAUUCUUCUACGGUGACAUUAGGGAGGUAUUGAUCGUUGCCAGGAUCAUACAGCGAGUCUCCAAACACAAACAAGGUCUUAUAUUGUACCUCAUUAUCGUCUGCUGCUGGUUUAUAGUUGAACCGGUCAUGACCAUAAAGAAGGUAGCUAACUGGGUUCAAAAGGCUUACCAAAACAUAAAGAAGGUAGCUAAGGCUCGCCAUAAUACUCCAAAUUACAUGACCUGGUAUCUCUCCAAUUUUAUAGGUGCGGUUUCAUCCAAACCAAGCAAUAUAAUCGAUACUCAAUUAAAGAAUGUGGUUUGUGAUAAUUGAAUAACAUGUGCUUUAGCAUACAGCUGAAACAUGCAUGUUAUUAAGAAAUAGGUCAUGGCCGAUCAUUGUAGGAGUAGAUGAGCUCGUGGGAGUGGUAGAGGGUGAACUCAUGGACAGUAGUCAACUAAAAUUGGAUUACAACAAUCAUAUAUUAUAUUAUUGGGAAAUAAUACCGUGCUAGGCAAUAAUACAAAUUGACCAAAAAUAAAGAAAUAUUAAUUAUUUGGUGCACUAAUUUGGUAUAUAUAUAUAUAUAGAACAGAUUUCAAUUUCAUUAGUUUCUGUCUUAACCUUUCAAUCUCUCAAUGAUUAUUUAGGAUAAGGUUAUGAUGUUAACAUUUCUUAUAUUAUCUCAAACUCUCUAUAUUGGUUGCAAUUUCAAAGAACGAGUUUAGUUUUUUUUAUCAAUUUUACCAGCUCCAACAGACUAGUUAGUUACUAGCUAUUUUAACUUUUAGUUACCUCGCUCUCCAUAUAAUUUAUGUUAAUUCAAAGUAUUUCUUUUAAGUCGUUUUAUGUAAUAAUAAAACACAUUUAAAUUAAUUUUUCUUUAUUUAAUCAAUAAUGUAAAUCAAACUUUAGUUAAAAUAGAAAAUAUUAAGAGCAACUUUAACAGACUUUCUAUUUUAGUUUUUAGCUAUUUUAGAGAGCGUAUUUAGUUUUUUUGAAUGUUUAGGAGCUCUAGCAGACUAGCCAAACUUAAGCUAUUAUAACUUUUAACUAUCUCGUUAGCUAUAUUUAGCUAGCGAGAUAGCUCAAAUGAGGCUAGCUAUAAUUUAUUACAUUCCUUGUAAGAUAUUUUAUGUGAUAUAUAAAUAUAUUUAAACCAUUUAAUUUCUAUUUUAAGAAUAAUGUUGAUGUAAUGCUAGCUAAAAUAAAGAGCAUUGAUGCAGCCACAUUUCUAAAAUGGCUAGCCAAAAUGACAUUUUAGCUAAUUUGACUAAAAUUUAACUUUAAAAUUACUAGUAUUACUAAAGAUGCGCUAAUGUAGAGGUAUUUUGGCUAGCCAAAAUAACUUUUUAGCUAUUUUAGCUAAUAUUUGACUACAAAAUAGCUAGCGUUGCUAUUUUCUCAAGAUGCUUUAAGAGAAUUCACUGUUUUUUGACCAUUUUGAAGAUGAGUAUAUGAUUAAUAUUACUAUUUUAAUUGAUGAUUCAUUUUACUUUAAAGUAAUGUAUACAUGUCAUACAUUAAAACGAUGUAGACCUAUAACUGUGACAGCGGCGAGGCUGCGAGAAUGUGAAAGAAACUGUCAUAUUGGCAUGUUAAUUGGUUAUAGGUGUAUAUAUAUGGUGCUACUGCAAAGGAGAUUACUAUUUUAACUUAAUUAUCAUUGAUUCAGUAAGUCAAACACUGUUAACCAAUAAUCGCGUACAGGAAACCAAAUUAAGCCAUGCAUUAUUGUUUCUCUAAAACAACCCAGAUCGAAGGAUCUAUGAGGAUAACAAACGCUAGCUAUCAAUCCUGGCCUGUCAUUGUUAAUUUUAGGAUUAAGACAUCCCGCACAUUUUGAAACGUUUUGUUUUUUUUUUCUAGGAUCUACAGCUAAUCGAAUCCUUAUGAUUUUAUCAAUUAGCCUCGAGUAUUCACAAAGAAAUCUGAAGUAUUCACAAAGAAAUCUGAAGUACGUACGUGGUGAUGGAACUGUAAGGACUGGUAGUUUGGUCAACAGAUCGAUAUAUAGAGCAUGCGUGGACUAGUAAGUUAAAAGGAAUUGAACCACUUACGUACUUCCCGGCAAAAACAACAUCGAUGCAUGAUUUAAUUAAUGAAAUUAAAUCAGACGUACGCACUCGUCCAUCAUGACUUGUUUACUACUCUUUGGAAAGAUUAAUUUCAAGAGAUCUCGCGUAAAACGAGUCAUUGUCAUGUAUAAAUAUACACUAGCUAGCUUUUUAUUUAUCUUCUUCUUAUAGCUAGCUUUACACACUUUUUUACAUGUAUAUUUGUAAUUUUGGGGGUAUAAUAAUGCUAAGUAGGUAAACAGUAAAACAGAUGCUUUAGAGAUCAAUGUGUAGCUAGGCUUCUCUCCGUCACCUAGCUAGUUUGUGCCUCAUCAGCUGAGCUAAGCACAUACAUACAUAGUAAAAAUGACCAAAAAGAACGGAGCGGAUUCAGGCGCACUUGAACCAUAACAGAUGAGCAAACAUCCGUUGGCAACAAAAAUAAAAGUUGAACAGCUGUAAGAUACAAUCUAGAAAGAAUUUAUUACCCCUUCCAUCAGUUCAUGAUACCAAGCCAGAGGAAACCCAGUUCAUCUUCCAGACCAGCCAUCUACUUUUGAUUUAUAGGGGCAAUUUUAAGCUCAAGAAUCAUUGAUUCAUACUUAAUAGAGGCGCAGAGCAAUUUAUUCUUUGAAGCUAGGGUUUGUUUAUUGUAUUGUAUUGUAUUUUCUUUAUUUAUUUAUUUAUUGAUAAAACAUCUGUAAGUGAAUACAAGCUUGCGGUAAUCAUAACUAUAUAAAUCAUCAGUGAAAAAGAAAUAUCCAUGGGAGACCUAAGAUCGAUAUCCCUAUAUUACAAAGAGAUGAUGGUAUCUAUUUAAUUACUUGUCUUGCUGGUUGUAUGAUUAUGAUAAAACUCUUCCAACAUCAUGGCAGGUGAACCAUUACAUGGAGGCAAGUAUGCAGGUGGUUUGCGUAUGCUCGUCUCCGGCGUGCCACCAUCUUUCACUAUUAUCACAGUGUUCAUACCCCAACCGAAAUGUCGAUCCAAAUGACAGUGCCAUAACCAGACCCCGGCCCUACCAUAUUCCGAACACAAUUCAUGCUACCAAUCAAUAUACAAGGCACACAUGAUAAGGGUACACCCUCAUGAUCGAUCUUUUACUAAGUCAAUUACUUAAUUAUUACGAAAGGAAACAUAUAUACCUGGAUUACUGGCUUUGAAUCUGAUAGCAACCCACCCUUUCUUUGGGAGUGAAACAGUAGUUAACUUUGGUGGAUCAAUCAAAUUGUAUCCUUUAGGGUCAGUCUCGUUGUCAAAAUUUCCAAAGCCUGAUCCGACUACAUAAAAGCUAUAACCAUGCAAGUGCAUUGGAUGAUCCUCAGAUCCAUCAAGCACAUUAGUACCCUGAGACACAACUUCCACCUCUUCAUUGUACUCUAACACCUUGACACUAGUUGCUUUGACAGUUGCAAUAGUUCUAUCAGGAGGCUGAUCGUCGGCUAUGAAGUCAAACAUUGAUGGUGGAUAAUCAGGAAAAUCUGCAGUAUAAAAUCCACUCAUGUUCCUGCAUAUAAAUGUAGUUUGCAAUAAUGUGGUUAAUUAAACUACAUAGCAGUUCCUCAAAUAGAAGUAUAUGUUACAAAUCGGAAAGUUUGGAGUUCAAGUAAAUACCUGUAGUAGUCAAGUAGCACAUCUGUUGAUGGAUUAACCCAACUUAGAUUGUUUAAAAUGGAUACAAGGCCACUCUUGAUCUCUUCACCACCAUUAAUGAAGGUGCCAUUAUUCAUCUCAACCGUGAUAUACAUUAUGGUUGUUAUAUUGUUUGGCACAUUUGUUGGGUGGUCUAUGCUUGCUAAGCUUUUGAGGCGACUUGUGAAGUUUACUGCAGGUAAAAUUUCCUCAAACGCAGGAAGGGUGGUUGGAAAGAUUGGGUAUACCAGGUCGGAGUAAUUUCCUUUAUACUCCAAAAUUGCUGUCACAUUUGUUUUGUCAUAGGCUUGAAAUGCGUCUAUAGCAGUGUCAAAUUGUCUUCCAGCCAUGUAGUAUCGGCCAAGAGGCUGGUUGGCUGUGACCAGAAUGUCCAUGGUUUGUCCGGUGGAAAUCAUGAUAAAAUCGGUCACAAUGGGUUUAACAUAGGAUCCAUCCAUACCAACAACAGUGAGUGUAUGUUCAGCAAUGGCAAAGUAAAGUUCUGCAUUCAUCACAGCAUUGAUAAUACGAAGAAGAUAAGUCUUGUUAUACUCCACUUGCCAACGAUGUGUACUGUCUGCAAAACAACAUUCACAUUAUAUCAGAUACAGAUGAGUUACAGAUUCUACAAGGUUUUUCUAGCUCAAGUAAACUGAACCGAACUAAACUUGGAGAAAACGGAACUUUGUUUUGAUGCUGCAAAGUUUUGUUUUUGCAAAGAAUCAAGUACAAUGUGGUCUCAUUUCAUAAACAAACAUUCUACGUAAAUUUGAGAUCUCUUCAACAGAAACUUAAUUACCAUUUGAGCACCAGCCAAAAUCCCCAGGUUGUCCAUUAAUGGUGUAACAAUCAGACCGAGGAGUGUCAUGACCUUCUUUGAUUUUUUCGGCAACCACCUCAUUCAGACGUUCAAUAAGAUACCAAGAUCCUGCAAAUAUAAUAGGAGCAACCGAGCGACAACAAUUAGGAUUUGGCUCAAAGCAAAUGCAUGGAUCCUGGCUUAUUUGGUUUCCUCAGCAAUGCCAGGUUAUGAUUUUCUCAGUUUACUGUCAAUUCUUUGUUACCACUUACCAGCAUACUGUAAUUUUAUCAAUCAAAAACAGAAAUUUGAGGCUUAAAUUUAUAAGAACGAAGUUGAUCAUACUUACCAAAUAUAAUUAUUUCUUCUCCAUCGGGCUCCAGAAAUGGAAAACCUGUCUCCUCUAAGGGCUUAACAACAAUGGCACCAUGGACACUAGCUCUGGUCCAUUCACUAUGCGCAUGCCACCAUAGUGUUCCUUCUUCAUCAGAAAAUAUAACCUCGUAAGUGAAAUUUGUGUUAGGCUCAAUAGGACACUGUGAUAUACUCCGGACCAUCUGACCAAGGAUUUCUUGGUUGAUGUACUCCAUGCCUACCCAGAAAAUAACAGUCUUAAACUUGGUACUCCAAAUGUACUUACACUAUAGUUACAAUAUGUGAUUCGAGAUUAGUCACUACUUGAUUACUAAUGAAUAGUAAGACCAUAGUCUCCUGGAUUGUGAACAUUGACAUAGACGGUAUCUCCUUUCUGCACGCGAAUGACAGGUCCAGGAAAACUAUCGUUCAUUACUAGCAUGCUCUUGGUAUUACAUAACCUUGUAAAGUUGGCUUCCUUGAGCUUCAUCCAAAUUUAAAGACAAUUGGCAAUUAGGUGAUCGAGUUUCACACACCCCAUAUAAAAAAGAAUCUCAUUUACAGAACCUUUUAGUUUAUAAGAAUCUCAAUCAUAAACAGUUUAUUCAUCUAUUAAUAAUACCUUUUGGGAUGAUAAAUAACCGUUUCUCGUGAAUGUAAUGAAGAAAUGUUCAAGUAUUUUCCUUGUUUAGUAUGCGAUAUAUCAUGCAAGCCAGAUAAACAGUGCUGAGUAUAUAUGCAUCUUCUCAGGUUUUUCAACAAAUUUUCAGUUUUUUCUAACAUCAACAUUCACCAUUUUCCCUGAUAUGAUUUAGUGUCAAGUUCUUACAGCAAAAUUUUGAUUAGUACGUACUGACUGAAAAAUAAUAAACCAUAUGAAGCAUAUGCAUGGAACACCAAUAUUCAUAUUUGCCUGGAGCACCCGGAUCGAUCUCAGGGCCGGCCGUGUCAACCAUGAAAAGUGAAAACUGGAGAAUAAAUGGGUACUAGCUAGUACUACUUACUACAAAGUCAUAGUAAUGGACAUGUCCUUCAACAAUGCAGAGGAGCAACCCACACAGAAGCAGUGGUGGAUCCAAGAUGAAAUUCUUACCUGGAUUAGUUGUAACACUAAAAAUAAAUUUCAACAAAUUCGACUUUCGAAGGUGGUAGAAUUUUUUUUUUUUAAUUUGAGGGUCGUGAAAGAGACGGUCGAGCUUGAAAAUGUCAGACAUUGAGACGUCGAGUAGCUUGCUAAGACUACUAAAAUUGGGAGGCAAUGAUGAGAAUUUGAGAGCAGCAAAUUAGCAAUUAAGGAUGGAGAGCGGAAAGACUACGUUUGUGAAUUUUGGAAUUGAGACUUCAGAGUCGAUGAUGUCUAGCCAAAACGACAUCAGCUUGAUUAAUAAUAACUAAAACGAAUAUUUUCUUAGAUGAGCGAUGGAUUCAAACUAGUAAACAUGGGUUUGCAAGGAAAUUAAGACAAAGAAAUUAAGUAAAAUACAUUCUUCUUCGUUACCUUCAAAAGAGUUGCGCAUACAACAGCUCAUACUGUAUAGGAGAAAGAGUCAAGCUACGACCUCCAUACUUUCAGCUAUUCAAAGAACUUGCAUGAUAGAUAAUAAGACUACGAAAUACAAUUAGUCCUAAUGCUAAUUAACAGAAUAAAAGAAUGAUUAAGGAGGUUUGAUCGCAUCAAUGAGAAGUAGGUUUUUUGUUUACUAGAAAAUUCUCACCUAGACUUAAGCCCAGGUGAGCCUGGGGCUGGAUCCGCUAGUGCACAGAAGCCAAGGACCAAGCACACCCAUCUUCAUGCUAAAACGUAUUUGUCGAGCCGAGCAUGCACAAACUUCCACAGCGUAUCCAAGCUCAGAACAAAUCGAAUGCAUGUAUGUUCAUAUAUGGAAUUAUGCAAACUAAAUUUCAAAAAGGUGAAGUGGGUACGUACCCAACUUUCUAUAAAUACUUCCUUCUGCUGGGGUUGAAUGGUUGUUCCAAGGAAGGAAAACGUUUAAGCAGAUCUAACUUCUAAAAUGAUCGCGUGGCUGCACUAGGGAGCUAGUUUCACUCUCCAUGAUUUGGACACUAGGGCACAUAACUGUGCUAGAUAAUUUGUUCGAGAUUUAAAUGUCUCUUAAAUGUCUGCUGCAUUUGUCAUUUGUGGUUGGCAUGGAUGGAAGAAAAGGAAGAGUGACGGUGACAAAUACAAAUGUCACUAUGGCCAUGACACUGACUGAGAAGAAUUACCAACUAGAGCUCAAUGUAAGUUUUGGGCCUUAACUUUGAGACCUGUUUCCCUCAGGCCUGGUUCUUCUUAGCUUAGAGCCCCUCUGGUCUGUAACCCUUUUGCCCGCUUUGGGCUCUAAUUGAAGAAGUAAGCGAAAUUACACACUAGAGCACUUACAGAAUUCAUGUUCAAUGCCCAGAUUUCUACUUUGAUAAAGUUUGUGGAAUGUACUUGAUGUUGGAGAACUCGAUGUUUAUAUAAUUGACUUUUUACCCAAAGUAAUGUGGUAGUCGAGCCAAACUGAUUCAUGAAUGAAUAAAUGAAAUGAGUUGUGCUUGAUCUAUCGUGUCAUAUUUCCGUAUGCAUGUUACAAGGAAGUCGGAUUUUGAUGUAAGUGUUGGAAAAACAUGACUUAUAUUAUAAAUUUUUGGUGUUCCACAAUAGAAAUCUGAAAAUUCCUUCUUUGGGUUAUAGGGAAGAAAAAAAAAUUAUGUCUGACCCGGUCUGGAUGCACUGGUCCGGACUCAUAUGUAAUCUAAUAUUAUUCUGUCACGUGUCAUUUUGUUUUUUUUUAUUAUUUUAUUUUUAUUUAUUUUUUUCUUUAAUAGAGUAUACUUCUGUAAGGAUUUUUCAAUAGCAAAAUGUUUAUAUGAAGGUGAAAAAAAGAAAAAGAGAACGCGCGUCUUUGAUACCUCCUCCUGCAUUUUUCUUCCUCCUCCCUCCUUGUUCUUCCUACUUUUUGUAACCAAUUGGUAAUUUGGUAUAUACCGCAUUAAGGUCAAUUGAUUUCAAGCUAUGGCGCAAGCGAAUUUUACAUAUUUAAAAUCCGUUGACAAUUGGCAUCAAGGCUAAUUGUUACUCUAUGUACAGUGACGUAGCACUUAAAAUUUCUUAGCAUAGUUUUUUAUUCUAUAACACCGAUAUGAUAUAGUUUAUCGGAGGUGAAAAAUUAAUUAUUCAUAUCCACACGUAUGUUAUAGGUGCCAAAGCUAGUUUAAUAUGGAAGGUGUUAACACAAUCCUUUUCUUGGAAGCAAGUUCACAUCCAUGUCAACUUUGAAAACCACUCUUUAGCAACAAUUAUAAACAUCUCCAAUUUUAUCAUUCAUGCUUAGUUCACACUAUGUUCUAGUGGGCAUAGAAAACCAAAGUAAAACCCCAAUUCACAAGAGAUUGAUGUCUUAAUAGUUCUUUGAUCAAGAACAAUAGUUGAUUCUAAUUAAGAUCUAUAUAUGAAAUGAUCAAAUCUAUGAGGUGUUUCUUUGUAGCUAGUGGGAUCCCAUUCAGAGGCCUAUUAUUUUGUUUGACAUAUGCAUUCAGUAUUUGAUUAUUCCCCACUAGCUUCAUACCACUUUUUUUGUUUUGGUUUUCCAUUUGAUAUUGACUUGGUGCAUCCCAGCUGGUGAUUAAUCUAAUUGCAGAAAAAAUAUUUGUCUCCAAACGUUUAAUCCAAGUUUGAUAUUAAACGACAACUGCGGGUCAUGAUACCUAAGUUGACUUUGCACGUAGAGAACUGUGAGUAGUGCACACUAAUCAUGGUGAUUAGUGAUAAUGUGAAGAGAUGAUAACUAUUCUUAAUAUUUCUUAAUGAUAAACUGAAUAAGGAUUAUGAAACUGUUAAGUCGUACUUGGUUAGAAUUUAUCGAAGAUUCAUUAUCAGAAAUUAUGGACCUACUACUUACCUGCAUUCACUUCACAUUCUGUCAGUAGCGGAACAAUGAAUCGAUACUGGGUAAAGUUGACCGUAAGUGCAUAAAAAAAUUUGUACUAGAAUUUUUGUAACUAAAGAAAAAGGAGAGAAAAAAAAAAUUAAAAAGAAAUUUUAUUCACAUACUCCUAAAUACUAAAUACACAUCAUUUUUUUCAUAUACUCAUAAUCACAUCUUAUGGGUAUUUUAAAUUACUAAAAUAGACAUAAUUUUAAAUAAACUAGUUUUCUUUUCAAUUACUGAAUUAAAAGAUGGCUGAAGAAUACUAUAAAUUAUAUAGAUUAUAACAUGGCUGAAAUGCUAGCUGUUUUCCUAACUUCAGUUAUCUAGACAAGUGCGUCUAUGUUCUAUGGAGAAAGGAGAGAUAGAAGUUUAUGGUUUAAUUGAUAUUAUAGCCUUGGCAAUAACUACUAGGAAUCUAAAAGCAUUUAUUCUUUAAAAAUAAAAGAAUGAUGAACUGGUACUUGAAUGGAAAAAAAUGAUGUUUAGCUACCAUAGUGGCUCGAUCUGCAAGACAACCACAGUAAUUUCCAAUGUCCUAGACUUGUUUCCUUACUCAUUCUUUGGUCUUAUUAAUAAUCAUAGCCACCCAUCCAAGAGUCUGAUUUCUGAUUUAUAUAUAUUAGUAAUCUUUCUAAGUCGAUGGCUUCCUUUUAAUCAUGAAACUACAAAAUGACUAAUAUGCAAUAGUUUAGAGAUUGAUGAUAUCUUUUUUCUUUUUCUAGGAAAUUGGUAACCUCAAAUAAUAAUCUUCAUCUAGCUGGCAUAAUAUUGUGGUCCAAGUUGGAUGACAAUAAGAAAGAUGCAUGUGGGAAUGAGUAACAUUGAUCGAGUUUUUGCAGAAGAAAUCCAAACUGGAUAAUUUUUUGUCAAGUUAAAAUGGUAUCUAAAUAAGAGGAUGUGUAUGUAGCGAAUAUAUAUGGUGUAUUGUGUAUGAGGAUAGUUUUGGAAGUUUAGGGUUGUGUAUCUAGUAAAAUGUUAAAAUUAAAAGGUUAAUAGAUGGUGUAUUAAGUAGGAGAUGUGUAUCUAGUAUUUUGAGAUGUGUGAAUAAAAUUUCUCAAAUUAAAAAGAGAAGGAGGAGCAAAAAUAAAGAAAAAACAGGAUUCAAACUUAUGAUCAGUCUUAUGGGAUGAAAUUAAAGUUAGCACAUAGCCGACUGAACAAAGUAAAGAUUCAAGUUAUAUGCCACCCAUAACGUAGCCGACAAGAGAAAUUCGUUUGAAUAAUAUACGAAUUUUUGCUCAGUAUAAACUUUGAUAUAUCAAGUUUUGAAAUUAUCAGAAUGAUAUUUUAUGUUUCUAUCCCGAACUAAAAUUAAUAUAUAUAUAUAACUAUUAAGAUUACUAAUUUACCCUCAGACAAAAAAAAAUGACAAAUUUACCCUUAAUUUUUAUUUUUUUCUUAGUUUUUAUUUUCUAAUUUUUUUUGGCCUUUUAUAUUUUUAGGAACGUAGAGAAAAAAUUUAUCGUCACUUUCUCAUUGCUAAUAAUUAGUUUUUUAUCUCAAUCAUCCUUGAAUAUCAACGGUAACAACAAAAUCCUUGAGUGUCAACAGAAACAACAAAAUCCUUGAGUGUCAACGGAAACAACAAGGAUUGAACUUCUGUAUGUUUCCCCGCUUCCUUGAAUGUCAACGGUAACAACAAAAUCCUUGAGUGUCAACAGUAACAACAAAGAUUGAACUUCUGUAUGUUUCCCCUCUUCAAUUUUCUUCAAGUUUAUAAAUGUCAACCCAAAUUAUCAAAUUCUAAAACUCUUCUAAUAUUUCUUGAAUAUGAAAGCAAAUAUAAAAAAAACUAAGAAAAAAAAGAACUUAAGGAUAAAUUGGUCAUCUUAAUGGUUAUAUAUAUCAAUCUUAGAUCGAGAUGAAAAUAUGAGAUACCGUUAUAAUAUUUUCAAAACUUAAUAUACCAAAAUUUAUAAAAUGUAAAAGUUUAUAUAUUAUUCAGACGAAUUUCUCUAGCCCACAAUGUUGAGUCGUUGAUUGGUAUUUUGAUAGUAAAAAGUGUUUUACGCCUCCAGUAACUAUGGCAUAAGAAGUUUACCCUGGGUAACUGUGGCUGUUUCUUUGUUUGGUGACUUGGGUCAAUAGGGUAACUGUGGCCUCUGUUCUCUGUUUUUGGUCAGACACCUGUUCUACCCCUACCCAGUUCACCUCGCUCCAAUUUUGCCCAUUUGUUUUCUCCCAAUCCUUCUCCAGUUUUCUACCUUUGACCAACGCAAGAUUGCCAACCCCAAGUCACCAAAACCACCACGGGAAGAUUCCUUAACUUAUCGUUUACCAAACACAGCAACCUCGUGGUCUUCGACUCACUACCCGAAUCCGACCCAUACCCUGGUUUGAACAAGCAGCAACCAUCCAUCCCCAAAUUCCCCCAUUUGUUGUUUGUUUGAGAAUUGAGAGAGCAAUGAUAAGGGAACGAGGAAGAAGAAAAGGCCAAGUGUUUCGAAGAAUAUUGCAGAAAGUGAAUAUCCUAAUCCUACUACAUACGCUAAGCCCAGAACAAUCGAUCAUCACCAUCAUCAUAAUCCCCAUCAUGAUUGCUAGAUUAGAAAAUGUCCAACAACACCGACAGCCACUAACAGCCGCCCACCACCACAAAGUAAACGCUUUCUUCUCCCUCCCCUUCUUUGAUUUGUUUAUCAUUAUCAUUAUCAUUAUCAUCAUCAUCUCUCUAUGCCCAUGUCAACGUCACUUGGCCUCUCUCUCUCUCUCUCUCUGUACCAGGUAGCUAGCUAGCUCACACAGACACACAUAUACAUUGGUACCCCCCUAUUAGACUGGGGGGAUGAUUAAAAUGAAGGCGACGUGUUUGUUACAAUGACUGCCGGCCAAGUCUUCUUCAUGUCUUCUUCUCUCGUUCCGAUGAAACACGACAAGCAGCAGCCAACAUGUCCAACAUUGGCUAAAUGGGCUUCCCUUCUGCUGCUUCUACUUCUGUUUCCUUGCUCUGCUUCUGCUGUUUGUAACAAACUGGACCAAGAUGCUCUCUUGUCUUUGGAGCUGUCUUUCAAGGUUUCCACCCCAUUGAAUUGGUCUGUUUCUUUUGAUUGUUGUCUCUGGGAAGGAAUACUCUGCGGCGCAGAUGAUCGAGUUGUUAAUCUGUCUCUACCCGGAAGAGGAUUAAGUGGUCUGAUCAGUCCAGCUAUCACUAACCUCACAUAUCUCACCCAUCUUGAUCUCUCCCACAAUUCCCUAUUGGGUGUUCUCCCUGAGGGUUUCUUUCAAUCCCUGUCUCGACUUGAAGUUCUUGACUUGAGCUUCAAUCGGCUCAACGGGUAUCUGCCACUCUCAGCUGACGAUGCCAGCAAGCUUCAGAUUGCUGACUUAUCGAGCAAUUACUUCAAUGGGACAAUCCCAUCUUCGAUCCUUAUGCCAUCCGUUGCUGCAGGUUCGCUUGCCGUUUUCAAUGUCAGUAAUAACAGCUUAACUGGCUCCAUUCCCAUUUCUGUUUUGUGCAAAAAUGGCAGCAAGAUCAUUAUCUUGGACUUCUCCUCCAACAAAUUCAAUGACUCUAUUUCCACCGGACUCGGCUCUUGUUCGAAGCUCCAAGUCUUUCGGGCAGGAUUCAAUGCUCUCUCUGGUCCUCUACCUGAUGACAUUUUCGACCUGGCUGAUCUCCAACAGCUGUCCCUGCCUGUCAAUCAGUUAUCAGGACCCAUUGGUGAUGGCAUUGUGCGUUUAACAAAUUUGAAGAUCUUGGAGCUCUAUUCGAACCAAUUCAUGGGGACAUUACCAAGCCAAAUUGGUAACCUUUUCAGGUUGGAAAAGCUGGUUCUCCACAUCAACAACCUCACAGGUUCCUUGCCUGCAUCUCUCCAAAACUGCACAAAUCUAUCCACCUUGAAUUUGAGGGUCAAUAAUAUGUCUGGACAACUCUCUGCCUUCGACUUCUCUGCACUCAAACACCUCACCACACUCGACCUUGGCAACAACAACUUCACUGGUGAGUUACCACAGAGCCUCUACUCUUGCAAGUCAUUAACAGCACUUAGAUUUGCUAGUAACCGGCUCACAGGUCAGAUAUCGCCUGAAAUAGUUGGACUAGAAUCCCUGGCUUUCCUAUCCAUCUCUAACAACUUCUUAACCAAUGCCACUGGGGCUUUUAGAAUUCUAAGGAGUUGUAAGAAUCUGACCACUCUUGUGCUCGGUAAGGGUUUUAUGAAUGAACCCUUACCAGAUGAUGAAGGCCUAGUAGGCUCUGAUGGAUUUCAGAAUAUACAGGUUUUUGCCUUGGGUGGCUGCAAUUUCACAGGUCAAGUUCCUACAUGGCUUGGGAAGCUUAAGAAACUUCAAGUCUUGGACCUGUCGUUUAACCUGUUAACCGGUUCAAUUCCUAGUUGGUUUGGUAGUCUGCCAGACCUUUUCUACAUGGAUUUGUCCAACAACCAACUUACCGGAGGAUUUCCUAAGGAGCUCUGUGGGAUGCCAGGUUUGACAUCAAAAGAGGCCACCAGUUUAGCAAACAGCAGUUACCUAGAGUUGCCAGUCUUUGUGAUUCCUCAAAAUGCAACUAAUCUGCAGUACAAUCAGCUGUCCAGCCUUCCACCAGCUAUAUAUCUCGGAAAUAACAGCCUUAGUGGCACUAUCCCCACCGAGAUAGGGCAAUUGCAGUUCAUUCUUGUGUUGGACCUUAGUCACAACAGUUUCUCUGGCAGCAUCCCGGUUCAGAUAUCUAAUCUCACCAACUUAGAGAAAUUGGAUCUCUCCUACAACCACUUCUCUGGUGAAAUACCUGCUGCUCUCAAAGGUUUGCAUUUCUUGUCUUCCUUCAAUGUGGCAUUCAAUGAUCUUCAGGGACCAGUGCCAUAUGGAGGUCAGUUUAAUACUUUUACCAACUCGAGCUUUGAAGGGAAUCCAGGAUUAUGUGGUCCUUCGACUACACAGCACUCUUGCUCUCAAUCAACAGCACCUCAAUCAUCAGCACCGGUUCAUGUUCGGAGGUCAAACAGAAUCCUUCUGAUUGGUCUUGCAUCUUCUAUUUGUUUUGGCAUUGUUUUUAUCAUUGCAAUGCUAGCUGUGUGGAUGUUAUCUAAGAGAAGAAUCAUCCCAGGAGGGGAUUCUGACAAGAUGGAAUUGGAUACAAUCUCUAGCUAUUCCACUUCUGCUGUUACUCCUGAGCUCGAGAAGGAUACCAGCCUAGUCAUCGUCUUCCCUACCAACACCAAUGAAAUCAAGGAUCUUACUAUAUAUGAAAUCCUAAAAGCAACCAACAACUUCAAUCAAGCAAACAUCAUUGGCUGUGGAGGUUUUGGUCUGGUAUACAAGGCAACAUUAGCAAAUGGAACCAAUCUGGCUGUUAAGAAGCUCUCAGGAGACUUGGGUUUGAUGGAAAGAGAGUUCAAGGCAGAGGUUGAGGCGCUUUCCACUGCUCAACAUGAUAACCUUGUUUCACUGCAAGGGUAUUGCGUGCAUGAUGGUGUUCGCCUAUUAAUGUAUUCUUACAUGGAGAACGGAAGCUUGGAUUUCUGGUUACAUGAGAAACCUGAUGGUGCUUCCCAAUUAGAUUGGCCAACACGGCUGAAGAUUGCACGGGGAGCAGGGGAUGGGUUGGCUUACAUGCACCUAAUAUGUCAGCCACACAUUGUGCAUCGUGAUAUCAAGUCCAGCAACAUCCUGCUAGAUGAUAAAUUCAAAGCACAUGUUGCUGAUUUCGGGUUGUCCCGAUUGAUUCUUCCCUACGAAACUCAUGUUACAACCGAGCUUGUUGGUACCCUCGGUUACAUUCCUCCUGAGUAUGGACAAGCAUGGGUGGCCACUUUAAGAGGAGAUAUGUACAGUUUUGGUGUUGUAAUGCUUGAGCUGCUCACCGGAAAAAGGCCGUUUGAGGUAUGCAAACCUAGGACGUCACGAGACUUGGUUAGUUGGGUACAGCAAAUGAGGAAGGAAGGCAAAGCUGAGGAAGUUUUUGAUCCUCUUUUGAGAGGGAAAGGCUUUGAAGAAGAGAUGCUGCAGGUUCUUGAUGUAGCUUGCAUGUGUGUCAACCAGAACCCUGUUAAGAGACCAAGCAUCAAAGAAGUUGUUGAUUGGCUGGAAAAUGUAGGGGCGUCUCAGCAAGACUUAAAUAAAGACUAGUGAAAAAAUUUCUUAACGUAUCCCAAGUUCUUCAUAUGUAUACUUGCACAUAGAUAUCAGGUUUUGUUGUUGCAGAUUUUCCCAACCUUACUUCUGUAAAUGGUAUUGUUUUGAAGCUCUAUGGAGUCACAUCUUGUGUUAUAACUUAUGAGUACAUGGCAUUAGUGAGAAGAUUGAAUGAUUUCCAGGCAUACCAGGGCAGUCUUAUAGUUCUAAUCAUUUUCAUCUCUGGUACUGAAAACCAUUGUCUUACUCAUGCUCUUACCUUAAAUUCUUUGUUAUUUUGUACUUGUGGAGAUGCUGCUGAUGCAUUACUGCUAUAAGCAUAAGACUUCUGAUACUCAGCAGCAUAAACAAUCCAAAAGCUGUAUUGAGGUGACCCAGCCAAGUUUAACUACAAAUGUACGUGUGGGUUUUGAUAUUCAGUUUUUACUUUUGGGAAAGUGUACAUGUUUGUAUUGCAUCCACUGCAGUAUGAGAAAUCUGCCCAGUUUUGAUUAUUUUUCUUCCAGAUACUCAAAACUACAAUGUUGCUGAGCAAUCUUGUGUAACUGAUAUUGCAGUCAAGUAUUGUUCUUUCUUUACUUGGACAGGAACAACCAAGUUGAGAGUGAUGUGUAGAGCAUUAUGAGGCAGAAAAGAUUAAGGAGUGGGGGAUUGACCUCAUGAGUUUGGAGGUUGAAGUUGAAUGCCUGUCUAUUUGCUCAGGCAUGUGGAUCAUACAUACUUUCAGUAGAUAAAGCUUGGUGUUGGACAACUUUCUGUGCAAAGUGCUUUUUUGAGUCAUUAAUUUUGGAAAGGAAAAUUGCAGACGUGACACCAUAAUUGUGACAAUAAACAGUACCAGAUCAAAUCUUGUGAUUCGUGUGUAGAAAGUUCUGCAACAAAUUAUCAUACUUCAGUUGNNNNNNNNNNNNNNNNNNNNAACUAACUACUACUCUCUCUCUCUCUCUCUCUCUCUCUCUCUCUCUCUCUCUCUCUCUCUCUCUAAAUUGACCUCUGUCUGCACAGAGCUUUCCUUUCCUCUGUGAUUCCUUUCGAUCCUAAUGUUACGAUUAUUUCGAUGCCAUCCUUGUUUGACUCUCAAAUUCAAAAUUCAAAUCCGUGCUUCUUGCUGAUGUGCAUUGUAUUUGUUUCACUAUAUUUGAUUUCAUCAUCCAGCAAUUCUCUAAAGAAUGUUAGCUUUAGAAAAUUAUUGUAAUGAGUUGUAGGCAUUGACUUUAUUUGGUUAACUGUUAGGUAGAAGGAAUGUUAGUCGUCUCAAAUAAUUUCUCCAUGGAGGACGCAAGCAAGAAAGACAUUCAAACAAGCCAGUUUAAGACAUUUCUGGAAACCAUGAGUUCAUGAUAUGGGCUGUGUCUCCACUCCAGUUAUCGACAAGUAUGAAUGUCUUGUGAAUCUGUACUUGUGUGCAUCACUGAACAUAUUUUAAUGAUUAAUGAGCAUAGGUUUCUUUCUUUAAAAUAGGACAUUAACCAAGAAGGUGUGAUACUGUGAUUCUGUUAAGUAUCUAUCUAAUUAAGAUAAACUUUAGGCUGAGUGAAUAUUUGCACAAAUGCAACCAAAUGUAGCUGGUUUCCAGGACUUUAUUUGUGUAUAUUUCUUUUGUAAAUUUGCUGCAGUAAAAGCUUGUCAAGAAUUUUAUUAGAAUGAGCAUGCUGCAGUAGUUUUCUGAUAUGUUUAAUUAUCAAUUAGUAUUUUUUUUUUUUAAUCCUAAACCAGGAGGAUCAUACGAUAUGAAAAGAGUUUUGGUAGCCAAAACUAUUGAUUAUACAAAAAGUGGAGUUUGUUGCCAUUGAUGCCCAAGCUAUUGAUGGUAUGUAUUGAAUCUGUAUUUUCUCUUUUGUUCUGUUUAAUGCGUUCAAUUUAGGUACAAUAUUAUCUUAGCUUUUUAGCAACAGUACCCUUUCCUCGCCUUUAUUGUCCUUUGUUAACACCAAAACCCUUUACACAAUUUUAGGCUAAUCAUAUAACUGUCCUAAUUAGUUCUUUUGCUAUAAGGCAAUUGUUUGAUUUCAAGUUAUCCAUAUCAGUUAUUGGAUAAGAGCUGUAAAAGCACCUGUUGUUUUUAGAUUGUACUGUUUGGCAAAAUGAAAGACAUGGUUGGUUACUUGGCUAAGUAUCUUUUCCAGCUGAGUGCUGGUUGCAUAAACAGCAAGUUUCAGUAAUAUUGCCAUACAUAACAAUGUCAACUAAUUAUGUUUGACACUAUUAAUAUGGGUCCUAAAAAUGUCCAACGCCUAUCCGGGAGUUGAUAUAUCAUUGAGGCAAUCUUAACUCAACUAUGCUUUCUUCCAACUACACAAUCUGAUAACGUCUUCAUGUUCUUGUAAUCUUGAGUAGCAGCUGAAAGUACUCCAUUGAAGCCAUGUAAAUUUGGAUGGAGUAUCAUUUUGUUAGAACCAAUCCAAUAUCCGUUACAAAACAAUAUAUAUAUAUAUAUAUAUAUAUAACAAUGAAAUCAAAACGAAAUUGAAAAAUUAACAAUGAAAACAAACAACACUAACUUGAUUGAUCAGAUAGAGGCCUGCCUUGCAGUGACCUAAGACAGAAAUUCGUUCCCACUUGUGCUGCAGUUUCGGACGUCUAUCCAGAGGAUACAACUAUCUGGUUCAAGUUCUUGCACACGAACUUGACCCUGGCGAAUUUACUUUAUGCUUCAGAAGAAAUAGUUUUGGGGAGGAAGAAGAAGAAGAAUGAUUCGGAUAAUCAAAACAACAACAGAAGUCGUCUUUAUAUAAAAGUCAAUUUGAACAGGUAUAACUGUUCAGAAAGACACAACUGCUCGGACAGUUAUGUCUUUUGAUAUUUAUCCAAAUUUAAUAAUUAAAUUAAAUAAUAUUAAUUUCCAAAAAAUUAAAUUUGGAUUUAAUCAACAUAGCCCAAUCUUUGACUUUUAUUAAAUAUAUAUAUUAUAUUUAUUUAUAUCUAUUAGAAACCCAAUAGAUAGCCCAUCAAGCCCAUACUAGGCCUAUCAUCCAUUUAAUGAGUCACAUGGGUGUUUCCAUAUAAAGACUCACACAUUUAAUUAUUCUUCAAUGUGGGAUAAAUACCACACAAGUUCCAACAAUUGACUAUUUUAUAGAAAAAACAUGUUUUGCAUAUCUUUUAACAGUUUCCCAAAUUUGAAUCUAGCUAGUCAAAUUUCUGAGGAAUCUCUAAUAUAAGAGCAUGCUAUAGAUCCCACUGCUAACAGAAAAUUUGUAUGAUCAAUGCUAUCGAGUGAGUAGAAUAAGCACAAGUUCAAUUUCACUUGAUUUGAGUUUGACAUAUGCUUGAAGAUUUAAGUCCAAUUAUCUUUUAACAUCACAGGUACUAAAGAUGAGAAACAGAAAAUCCUUCUUUAGAUUCCCUCUACAUAUUGUCAGCCAGUUUAAAGGGCACAGACAUAUUUAGUUGCAACUGGAAUGACAUAGUCUUAUAUUGAUAAUUAUGAAUCUAUAAGACAAUUCUCAGCUUGUCAGCAUAUCUUUUAGCAUCUUAUUUGAAAUUUGUUCUCCCAACUUUGUUAGAGCUCCUCCAUGGUGUCUAGGCAGCAGUCUCUUCAAGGCAUUUUCAACACACCAAAUCAUUGACUGCGCCAAACUCCUCACAGCAUUAGAUGUGGAACUUACUGUUUAGAGUGGAUUUCACAUUUUCAUGUGUUAAGAGUCCAGCGCAGUGCACCCAGCAGAUACAAGAAUCUCUUCUGAUGCAAACAAUGACACAUUUUAUUGAUGCCAAUUAUUGCACAAUCCAUGAUUACAGAUUCUUAUGUUUUUGGCCACUUGAAUUUACAUAACAGCUUACCUCAUUUUCACAUCAGAACAGAUUAUGAAACAAAUAGAUCCAUAUUACUUGGCUACACUUCAAAUAGCUCUUUCAGAUUACUGUAAGGCUCUUUGGCAUUAGGAACUUGGUUCCACCAUAGCUCAGCAAGUUGUUGAUAAACCCUUUCGGUUGGAUGGAAAGAGUCGAAAAAGACAUACUCACUUACAUUGGCACAUAACCGAUACUCGGUCACACCUCUCUUCCCCCCACAGCUAUAAAUUCCUCCAUAUGGACCAGAGCCACAGCAUGCACUCUUUCCUUCCUUGAAACCUUUACAACACAAUCAAUAAUAACAAAACAUUAAAAGACAUCACUUAGUUUAUGACAAUAAUGCAGAUAAGAGAAAUGAACACCAAUUAAUAUACUAAAAGGGACUGAGGUCAUGCAAUACAUACCAUAUUUAGAUGGGUAAUUGAUUCUUGCAGUUAGGUAAGUGUCUAAUUUAGCAAUGGAAUAUUUGAAUCCUUGCAGCUUGCCCUUCAGCUUUUCGAGGUGUUUAGGAAGUGCUGUAUUGUGCAUGUUCACUAGCGACGUAACUUCUUUAACACAGGUGCCAUUGUUUCCUGGUCUCUGGGAUGGUACAAGACCCAGAGGUGGCAAUCUUGUAAACCCGAAUUUCCGUCCUCCUUUGUUGUAUAUUUCCUGAAAAGGCAUAUGAAGUAAGACCAAUUCCUCCAACAAAAUGUGUAAGAUGGUUCAUAUAUGAAAAUAAACUAUAACAGAAUGUAUGAAAAGGAGAAGUCUAAUACAUUGAUCACAUUUGUGAGGUUUCCAAUCACCAUGCCAACAUAUUCCUCUUGUGAGUGAGUCUCAAAGUAACUGCAAUCUGUAGCUAACGGAGCGAAAUAAUCAUUGCCUCCAAUGCUGAUCAGGUAAACAGCAUUGGAGAGCAAUGUGUAGGUUUCUGCAUCACCUAGAUUGUGCUUUAAGUGCUUCACCACAUCCUCGAAAAGAUGCAGUUGAUAAUUAAGGGGUAUAACCUAACAACAAGAAUUCACAAAAUUAAAUCAUGCUAAUCACCCAAGAUCCAAGUUCUAAAAAAAAAAAAAAAAAAAUAACACCCAAGAUCCAAAUUCAGAAACAACAGUAUAAAUGUAACCAAAAGUGUAGAAGGCAGAGGACGUACUAAUCCUUUUUUACGUGUUUCAUCUAAAGCACCAGCUCCACCAGAAGCAAAGUUGACCCCAUAAGUGUAGUCCACAAUCCUCGGAUAAAUAGCAGGUACAAUUGGCAACUUUGCAUACUCAGCUGCACCAUUAAUGGGAAUUUAACAAGCAGUCUCACACACAAGUUGUUCAAUGAAAUGAACCGAAACAAAUAAGUAUGCGAAUGACUAAAGGAUCUUACCAAUGAAAUCUGGUAUUAGGCGUCCGUCGCAGAAUCUGCCAGUUGGGUACUUGAAGAAGGUUUCACCAUAGGGAAGCCAAUCUGCCUUGAAAUCGUUGGUGGUAUUUAUGUAGUUAUUGUUUCCUGGGUCAAACAAUGAAUCACCAAAUAUGUACAGGGCUGCAUGUUUUCUCAUAAGGCCUGAAUGACCAUGGCAGCUGCUAGGAAUAAGCACACCUGCCCAGAAUGCCAAGAUAAGAACAUGGAACUUCAAAGCUGCCAUUCCAGAUUUCCAGUCUGUAUCUUUUUGCAUCAUCUUCUCCCCUGUUUCAGUUCUAUAUAAAGUGUGAGUGUCGGGUCGAUCUUGUCUCUUGAUUGCCUCUGUUUCUCUCGAAAUGGAAUUCAACGCAAACGAAAAUUCAAAGUAACCGACGAGUAUGAGAGUAGUAUAUAUGACAGAGAGAUUUUGUCUUCCUUAUCUAAACUUUCUUUGUCCUCUAUACACUAUAAUAAGAGAAAUUCCUGACAAUAAUUCAAGAGAUUGAGCUUCAACGUGAAUCAUAAUUAUUCUUUGGUCAGCUGCAUGAAAUUGAUUUAACUUAUCCAAAAAGAUAGCGGAGGAUUUUGAAAAACAAUGUCUGGUGUUGAAGUCAAUUACUUGAAAUAAUGGAAGUCUUAAGAGUAUCAACUGCAACAUUAUCUGCAGCGUAAGUGUAAUUAGCAGCCUUCCACAGUUAGCUUUGUAUAAAUUCAAAGACAACUUCUAGAAAGGAAAGUCUAUAUCAUUCAGCCAACUCUUGUUGACUUGGCUGAUGGGUAAAGAUUGGCGCAGCUACGGGUCAGAAGCUGUAGAUUCAGUUAGCUAGAAGUUGUUAAGCCUAGCCUAUAUAGUAACCUGUAAUCUGGGUUAGGAAUCUGAUGCACACUAACAAGGCCAAAGAUAAUCUCCCAUUCAAAACAUGUACAGUUGCUGGUUUUUGUAAGAAAGUUGUUCUCCCAUUGAAAACAAUUGCUGAUUCUUGUAAGAAAGGAAUCGAAGACGUACUUCAUAUUGACAUGAGCAAAUAAAAUUGCAAAUGUUCUAACUCUGCAUAUUAACUGCGUGAAGGAUUUAGCAUAACGUCUUCUUCGUUUCUCCUCCAGUGUCGAGAACUCUAGAAUAAAAAAAACAUCAAUAACGUCUGUUUGAUCUUUCAAUACUACUUCAAAUGAAAUAUAACAUGCUCACUAAUAAGUAGCAGUCCUCCUUUUCCAGAUUUAUGUAGGGGUCUCCUCUGACAUUGGGAGUAAGGCUUCACCAUAACAUCGAGAUAAAUCCGGGGUCCACUGAGUAAUCUGUUUCAUUUACUAGAAAGUUGAAACAUAAACAACCCUACAGUAUCUAAGUAAAUGGGCUUGGCACAGGGACUAGUGGUGAUCCCAAAAUAGGUAACCUCAAAGUAAAAGGCAGACCUGUCAACCCAAUAUUUGAGCCCAGUAUUUUUUUUUUUGAAACAUAUUUGAGCCCAAAUUAGCAAAGCAGCUUAAAACAAUUUGGACACCCAAGUCACUGUGGGCACCCGACUCACUGCUUUGGGCACACAAAAGGCUCUCACCAUCAAAUUUUUCUUUUAAUUAUUAAAAUUUCUUAAUCUAUCACACCCUUACAUAUCUUAUUGGGGUCACCAACUGAGGUUUUUAGGCAAUUAGUAUUUCCGUUUCAUGGGAAUUAGAUAGUUGUAGUUUGAAGUUAUUUGUAUAGGUUUGAUUUGUGCUCACUUGUAAUAAAAACUACCUAUCUUUCGUGGAUACCUAUUUUUCAUAAAGCUUGUUACCUCCGAGUUAAUUAUUUGGGACAAUGUUGUCACUUGAUGUAUGAGCUUUUUAGCCGAGGAUAAUCAAUGAAACUAUAUCCAUAUUUAAUUAAAAAUAAAAGUUUGCCUCUCAUUGCAAUUUUAUAAUUUAAAAGAAGAUGUUCACGUCUGUCUAACACAUCACGUGUAUUGACACACCACGUAAUCAAUUUUUUUACAAAAAAAAAAAAAAAAGAACCAAAAUUUGGUCAAUUAUUGAUGUCAAAUGUUGCAAAAUCCAUGAUUGCAAAUUCUUUUAUAUUUGGCCACUUGAAAUUACAUAGCAGGUUUACCUCAUUUUCAGAUCAGAACAGAAUAUGAAACAAAUAGAUCCAUAUUUGGCUACACGCCUCCAAAUAGAUCCAUAAUAGCUCUUUCAGAUUACUGCAGGGCUCUCUGUCAUUACGAGUUUGGUUCCACCAUAGCUUGGAGAUUUGCUGGUAAACCCUUUCGGUUGGAUGAAAAGAGUCGAAAAAUACAUACUAACAUUAGCACAUAACCAGUAGUACUCAGUCACACUUCUCUUUCCUCCACAGCUAAAAAUACCUCCAUAUGGACCAGAGCCACAGCAUGCAGCUUUUCCUUCCUUGAAACCUUCGCAACACAAUCAAUAAUUACAAGUGGAACAUCAGAAGAGAUGCAUAAUUUUGCUUAUGACACAAAUUCAGAUAAGAGAAUGAAUACAAAUAUACUAGUUUAGGAAGGUGAGGGACUGAGGUCAUGCAAUAUAUACCAUAUUCAGAUGGGUUAUUGAUUCUUUCAGUAAGGUAAGUAUCUAGUUUUGCAAUUGAAUAUUUGAAUCCUUGCAGCUUGCUCUUCAGCUUUUCGAGGAGUUCAGGAAGUGCUGCGUUGUGCAUGUUCGCAAGCGAUGUAAGUUCUUCAACACAGGUGCCUCUGUUUCCUGGUCUCUGGGCUGGUACCUGACCCAGAGGUGGCAAUCUUGAAAACCCGAAUUUCCGUCUUCCUUUGUUAUAUAUUUCCUGAGAAAAAGAAUAUUAAGUAAGCGCAACUCCUCCAAAAUGUGUGUGAUGAUUCAUAUAUGCAAAUGAACUAUAACAGGACGUUUGAAAAGAAGAAGUCUAGUACUCUGAUCACAUUUGUGAGGUUCCCAAUCACCAUGCCAACAUAUUCCUCCAGUGAGUGUGUCUCGAAGAAACCGCAAUUUGUAGAUAAUGGAGCGAUAUAGUCAUUGGCUCCAAUGCUGAUCAAGUAAACAGCAUUGGAGAGCAAUGUGUGGUUUCUACAUCACCUAGACUGUGCCUCAAGUGCUUCUCCACAUUCUCGAAAAGAUGCAGUUGAUGAUUAAGGGGUAUAACCUAAAAAUGAGAAUUCACAUAAUUAAAUUAUGCUAAUCUGUUGGUAUAAGGAUUAUUGGCUAUCCCUUUUAUGAUCAAAACACAAGACACAAGCUAUUUUAUAUAUCCUGAUGGUAAGGAUAUCACAAGUGAAGAAUGAAGACUUGACAAGAUCACAUGUGUCUAGGUAACUGGUGCAUAUGCAUCUGAUGCUUUUCAUUAAGAAUUUUACAUAUCCUGAUGGUAAGGAUAUCACAAGUGAAGAAUGAAGACCUGCCAAGAUCUCAUGUGCAUCAGGUAGUUCAUGCAUAUGCAUCUCAUGUUUUUCACUGAGAAUGGCAGCUUUGCUUGUCAUCCUAGAUAAGAUGAUACCUCUUGGUGUAUCUGUCCUAAUCUAUUGGGUCUAUAUGUAUGCAUGUCUAAAUGCUUUUGCUAUUUGUGUAUCAUUAGUUUGAAUUCCCCUGUUUGAAUUCAAAUCCCCUUUAGCAAAACAUUUGUCGUUGCCUUGGUGCUUCAAGUCAGUCUAAGGUUGUGUAGUGUUUCCAACCCGUGACCACAUGACUAGAGUUUAGAGGCUCCAGCAAGGUUUGUGAUACGCAAACUAAUAUAUUAGCUGACUCUUUGUUUUUAUCUCAUGUACAUCAGGUAGUUCAUGCAUGUGCAUCACAUUCAUUCAGGAUGGCAGCUCUGCUUGCUAUCCAGAUUUGGUGGAUACCCCUGUUGUAUCUAUCCUAAUCUCUGAGUCUGACUUCGUGCAGAUUUAAAUGGUUUUGCGUAAGCUUUUCAAGUAUUUGAAUUUCAAAUCUCUUUUAGCAAAACAUUUUUCAUCGUGCUUGAGCUCGAAGUUAGUCUAGGGUUGUGUUGUUCUUCCAACCCAUGAGCACAUGACUAAAGCACUUUUAGGCAGCUCCUUUUUUAGUCCAGCUGGGUUUUGUGAUACACAAACCAAGUCAGCUGCUGAGCCAUGUGAUGCACCGCCCAAGCUAUCAGCUGACCUAUGUGAUCUCAUAUAGGAAUAGGUUUUGUUGUGUCUCUUUCAUUCACAAAACCUUUUGUCUCUUCCUUAUUGGACCAUUAUGAUAUAAGAGAGUUGUGUUUGUCUUUACUCUCUUGGAGCCUUUUGUUUGUCCCUUGGCCCUCUCACUUUAUGAGUUUGGAUAAGGACUAAAGUCCAAAAAGUUGCCUCCCAUUUUGGUAAACAUGCAUGCUCUCCUUUAGCUUGCACUUUGCCUAUAUAUAUGGAGCAAGUCUCUUCUUGCUCUUCGGUUGUUCAAGAUGUAGUUUUCUACAUAGUUUUAGCUGGGUAUAGGUUUUACCUUGCAUUGCUCAUUUGUCUCUAAGUCUUCCCUUGGUGAUUGUAAAUCUUAGAGCAAGAGCAAGAGCAAAAACUCUUUUUAUAAACCCAUUAGCAUUCUGCAUAUCAUGAGUGAUGGUAGUGCAGCAACCCCAGAAGUACUCAAGAAUGAUCAGUUGAUCGAGGAGAGCUGAGUUCUAGAGAGUCAGUUAAAGGCGUUAGCUGAGGUCUGAAGAAUCCCUCUCAUUAGGAUAGCUGAGUUCUGAGUUGAGUAUUCUGAGAAGUGUUCAAGAAGAAUCAGUUAAAGGCGUUAGCUGAGUUCUGAGUUGAAACUUCUUCUUAUACCUUCAUAUGUAAACACUUGAGAGACAAGAGAGGUAAGUCUAGACUAGUAGGUAGACUAGGCAGGAUAGCAAGUCGUUGUUGUAUCCCUAGACUAUAAUCUUGUGAGGAGUGAGGUGAGUCACUCAGAGACAGGAGAGAUAGAUCUAGACUAGUGGGUAGACUAGGCAGGAUUGCAAAUCGUCGUUGUAUCCCUAAACUAUAAUCUUGUAAGAAGUGAGUUUUACAUAGUGGAAAGGUUUGUCCCUCAAGAGUUAGGGGCACGCAGUUUUUCUCUCUGGUGCAGGGUUUCUGCGAAUAAAAAACGUAUUGGUGUUAUUUCUUUUACUUUCCAGUACUUGUUCUUUUAUUUAUUACUACGUCUCCUUGUUAUCAGGAUACAAAUUCAGAAAUUAUGAAUGUGACCCAAAGUUUAGAAGUCAGAACACGUACUAAUCCUUCAUGUGUUUCAUUUAGAGCACCAGCUCCACCAGAAGCAAAGUUGACCCCAUAAGUAUAGUCCACAAUUCUCGGAUAAUAUGCCGGUACAAUUGGCAACUUUGCAUACUCAGCUGCAACAUUAAUAGAAAUUUAACAAUCAGUCACACACAAGUUCAAUGAAAUGACCCGAAACAAAGUAUGCCAAUAACUAAGGGAUCUUACCUAUGAAAUAUGGUAUAAAUUCGGCCCUUAACAACUUUUUUUGUAUAAAUUCGUUAUCAAGGAUAACAAGGGUUAUAGCUAUCCUGGAUAACAAAUACACAAUGACAAUAAAUAAAAGUUGCAGUAAAAUAACAAUGAACACCAAUAUGUUUUUUACUCGCAGAAACCCUACAACCAGGGAGAAAAACUACGUGCCCCUAACUCUUGAGGGACAAACCUUUCCAUUAUGUAAAACUCACUUCUUACAAGAUUAUAGUCUAGGGAUACAUGAACGACUUGCUAUCCUGCCUAAACUACCCACUUGUCUAGAUCUAUACUUUCUCUCUUAUUUCUGAGUACCUCACUCCUUACAAGAUUACAGUAUAGGAUACAGCAACAACUUGCUAUCCUAUCUAGUACCAAACCAGUCUAGAUCUACCUCUUUUGUCUCUAAGUGGCUACACAUGAAGGUAUAAGAAGUUUCAACUAAGAACUCAGCUAUUACUUAACUGAUUCUUCUUGAAGGCUUUUAAGAAGUUUCACUCUCAAAAACUCAGCUAUCCUAAACUGAUUCUUUCAUGAACCCAGCUACCUCAGCAUGAUACAUCAUAACUUAGCUAUCCUCAGCUGCUUCUUUCAUAAACACUUCCUGGGUUGUUGCACUACCAACUGAUCUCAUGGUAUGCAGAAUGCAAUGAGUUUAUGAGAAGAUGUUUUGUUCAGUUCUAAGGUUUAUAAUCACAAAAGGAAGACUUAGAGACUAAGGAACAAUGCAAAGUAAAACCAAAACAAAGGGAUAAUCCCAACAAAGCAAACGUAGAAACUACAUUUUGACAACCACUGAGCAAAGGCAGCCUUGCUCAGUAUAUAUAGGCUGAUGGAGUGCUCUAACAAGAGAGAGACACAAACCAAAGAGGUGCCACAAGAGGGCAAGCACGAGGGCCAAAGCAAGGAGGGAGUUUUGGACUUUUGUGCUUGGCCAAACUCUGAAAAGGAGAGGACAUAUAUAGUUGUUCUAGGCCAAGAAAGAAAGAAACAAAACUAUCCUAAACAAUGUUUGAUUUAAAAGCAAGAGACAAAAGGUUUUGCAAACUUUUUCCAAAAGCAUAAUACCACAUUGGUUUAGCAAACCACUUUUCUCUGAUAUCAAACAAAGACAGCUGCAAUAUUGGUUUGUGUAUCACAAACACAGCAAACCACAGCUGGAGCCUAAAAGCUAAAACAUGGGUCACGGGUUGAGAUAAAGGCAUCAAAUCCUAGACUAAUUUAAGCACCAAAGCAUGUCUUUUAUUUUAGUUGUCAAUUUGAAAUUCAAAUGAGGAUCUCACCCAGACAUAGUUUUUAUGGAACAAGGGUAAAGAAACUUAAACAUAAGACAACAGAACAAAAGAUCAAAAAGUUGGAAACCCAGAUUUUUAAGAUGGCAAGUGAUACUGCUAUCCUCUAUGAAAAACCAUAAAAUGCAUAUGCAUGAUUUUACCACCUGAGUUCCAUGAGUUCAUGUUGGUUCUUCGAUUUCUUCAACUUGUUCUUCAGAUGUGCAAGACCAGUCUCAAUUGCUUUAGGCUUCAUAGGUUGUGUUUUGUUCUAUAUAAGGAUUGCCAACAACCUUAUACCUUCAGGUUAGUUUGAUAUUGCUGUGAUUUAAAAAAAAAAAAUUGUUGUUGUUGUACUGCGAAAAUAAUCAGCUGUGAAUUAAAAUAAUUUUAAAAGUGUUGUCAAGAUAAAAUUUAGGGUGCGUCUAUUGCCACCUCACAAACCAUUUUGUUCACCCCACAUUUUCUUCACACCCUACUUAUUUAUUUUUAAUUGUAAGUCUACUUAAUUUGUCCACCCAUUUAUAAUACCAAAAAUACCCUUUUUCCAAUUCUAUUUUGUUCACCUUACAUAUAUUUUUUUCAAUUUCACAUUUGCUUUGUUCACCUUACAUUCUCUUCUCACCCUACAUAUAUAUUUUUUAAUUUUAUAUAAUACACACAAUAUCAAACGACCAUUACUUGGAAAAAGCUCCGACUCUGAUGAAAAAAAACAAAUCGAAUAUAAAUGAGCGAUUAGACAUGGAAAUUUAUAUGCAAAAUCGACAUAGGAAAUGUUAAGGAAUAGACAGAGGAUCAACAAUGAAAAAAAAAUAAAAACAGUUCACCUCAUCUUCAGGUUGAAUGCUAGUGUCUUUAGACUCCAUAUAAUAACCAAAUAUGAUAAAUUAUAAGUUAGUGUUUACGAAGUACGUGUUCAUCCAAAACAAAAUGAUAAAAUCAUAAACUUUUUAUCUACCCUUAGUCGGCGGUAGAGGGAGGAUAUGUAAUGGUUUUCUCUAACUUGAGAAUUAUUAAUAUAUCAUUUUGAUAUUUUUCAAAAAAAAAAAUGAAAAAAAAUUGUAAUUUAUAAUAAAUUAUUGUCUCUUGCUGUAAUUUUACAUCAGAGCAUUUUAGUCUUUCAAUAAAUCAACAUGUGGGGUGACAAUAGACGCACCCUAAAAUUUAUUAAUUUCUAGUGUUUUUAGUGACAGCUGCUUUUAAAAUAAAAGUUGUUGCUAGUGACCUGUAAUUUGAAAAAAAAGUUGUUUUUCUUUCAUUUACCAAACAUUAUAAAAUCUAAAAGUUCAGAUAGAAGUUGAUUUUUUUUUUUUUAAAAAGCGAAACUGUACCAAACUAGGCCUAAAAAAGAAACAAGUACUACACAUUAAAAUAGGCAAACAUUUUUGCCUUCAGUUGCAAAUGUUCUAACUCUGUUUGCCUUCAAUUAUGUGUAUCCUACAUGAUGAAGUGAUGAUAGAUAGCAAUGAAAUGCAUGCAGGAUUUGUCGUUUUCAGUUCUCUUCCAGCUGGUUUGAGUUUUGAAUACUAGUCCUAUAAAACCCUAAACAUAUAUCCACAACAAUAGCAAGCGACACCCACACUUGGUCUUUAGAGCAAGUUCAUCCGUUGGGUUAGAAUGAACUCAAUAACCUGGGUCACUUAACUUAAGUGACCUGGGUCACUCUGGGUCACUGUGACUGGGCAACAGUUUCCAUCAUUCAGAAAUGUGAGAUUGCUGCCACGUGGCAGUGACUGUUUAUUGAAUUUAAAAAACAUGUUUGAAAUGUUUUAACUGUCACUAAAUAAGUAAAUAUGACUUAUUGAAAAAUUAAUUUUUUUCUAUGAUAUUUAAUUAACAGGCUAAGACUAGAAAAUAUUAUUUUUUAUUCCAGGUCAUUAUUGAGAAUUUUAUAAAAAUUUAAUAUUCUUUUUCUUACCGUUACUUGUAUAUUAAUCAUCGUAAUUAAAUGACCAUUGCAUUUACUUUUAAGCCUAACAAAUAAUACAAAUAGGGUUUAUCUAAUUAAAAGAAUGAAUAAUUAAAUGUAGAUGGCUGAAGCAAUUAAGUAGGGCUCCACAUAGUCGUAUAUAAUUGGUUGAACUUGAAAAUUAAAGCCAAGCAGCCUUGCACGUGAUAGUUGACGCGCUCCCUUAUUGGUCCGUAUGGGUUACAAGUCUCUUUGGAGCGUGAGUGGCUUUUGUAUGCGUGCUGAUAUCACCCACGUGUGUGGGCUAGACUGACGUGGAAAGAACUCACCUGGACUGGAUUACUCCUCUAGUCUGGGUAGUUUGCUUAUUUUCCAAUUAACCUAGGUUGAAUUGAGAAGAUAUCUCAUUUGUGAGUGAAAAAUGAAUUUUUUCUCUUGGGUUGGAUUGCACAUGUGUCAAGUAACCCAGGUUGAAUUUUUUUUAAUGGGUGAACUUGCUCUUAGGGGCGGAUCCUAAAAAUAUACACAAAAGGUACACUCUUGUGUGGUUAGGAUGGAAAAAGCUGCACUUAUGUGUGAGCUUUUUUUUUGGGAUCCGGCUCCUAAAUGCCACACAAGUGUAAGUGUGGUUGUUGCCCUAUACAUUGUAGUAGACACUCGCUCCAUCAUCUGGACUAAAAAUCAAGGAUCCAUAUAAUAAGAGCUUUGAAGGUAAAGCAAGAGGUGAAAAGUAUUAAUAUGUUCUUUAAGCUGAUGAAGUGACUAGUGCUAAGAUUGGGUUUGCUAGGAUAUAAACUGGGCCUGUUAGGAUUUAUGUUCUUUUAACAACUUUUACUCAUCCUCUCCGUUUCCAUCUGUCUGUUUCUCAUCUAUACUGAAUAAACUGAAUCAUGAUCAGCGGAAAAGACGUCUACAAUGUCCUUGCGAGCAUUGUGCCUCUUUACGUAGCCAUGAUCUUGGCCUACGGCUCGGUUCGGUGGUGGAACAUCUUAACCCCGGACCAGUGCUCCGGCAUCAACCGUUUCGUGGUGGUUUUUGCCGUUCCUUUAAUGCCAGGUUGAGGGCAUUAAUACUUCCAAGGCUUCUCAACAUGAUCCAAUUGAUGGUUCAAAGGGCGAGCAAAUUAUUUUUGAUAUUUAACAGUACCCAGUUGCUAGUUUGAGUAAAGCUUCGAUUUUUAAUUGUUAAUUUACUAGUUUGCAAUUCUGGUUGAUUGAUAUUGGCAAAGUGUGUGAUACUGGAAUUGGAUAGUUUUUGAAAAGUUCGUAUACUGGUAACUAUUUCAUUGAAUAGUACGUUUCUGAAAGUGUUCCCGUCUUGCAGAUUAAUUUGGUGAAAUUUGAGUCUGUUUUUCCCAAAUCAAAAUUUAACCACUAGAGUUUAGUAUUUGAAAUGUAUCAGUCGCCCUUGCAUAUAGAAUGUUGGCAAUUAGUUCAUACUUUUCUUUAACAUAUUGUAUUCCACGGUCGAACUCUAUCAAAUUUGUUCACUAAAGAUCACGUAACUAUACUUGCUGCAUAUGUUUUAAUGAUCAAUAGAUAUUUGAACUGAUUAUAAAUAGUCAAAUUUAUGUGUCCUGCAGGCUGCAAUGUGCAGGGAAUCAUCAGUUGAUAAAUAAUACGAGUUCUGGAAGGAAAAUGAGUGGAGAUGAGGUGCUUGAAAUAGAAGAAGGAAAAAUGUUACCGGCAAGUGCACCUCCAUAUAGUAGCGGCCAGAAGAAGAUGGACAUGGAAGAAGCAGGUAUGGGAAAGAAGCAACAAACUCCUCCUGUAAGUUUCAUGACUAGGCUCAUCUUCAUCAUGGUUUGGAGAAAGCUAAUUAGAAAUCCCAACACCUACUCCAGUAUCCUCGGUCUCGCAUGGUCUCUCGUAUCAUUCAAGUACAUCUCUCUUCCUACUCUAUCUCCUAUAGUUCCAAAUCUCACAAAGUCAGUCAAAAUAGUCUUCUUACGUGUGUGUCUUGUUCAAAUCAAGGCCGCACAGGCGCGGCUUCUAGAGACGCUCCAAGCUUACCCUUCCCCUGGGAGCGCCUAGCGAGUUUCAAACCUUGCUUGCGUGAAAGCCCUCAAAUAUGAUACCAGUAGUGGAAUAAAAGUAUUUUGUGCCCUCAGAGUUAUCCCAACCACAUCAACUAAAACUAAUUGUCAUUCCAGGUUACACAUCAAAAUGCCAACAAUUGUAAGUGGAUCCAUAACAAUAGUAUCUAAUACUGGCUUGGGAAUGGCUAUGUUCAGUAUUAGUACGCAUCUUCUAUUGACUGAUUAACCACCUAAAUGUGUUCAACUAUAAAGUGCAAACCUUGUAUCCAUCCAUACUUACCUUAUUUUUCUUUUUCUGGUUUCAGGUUUAUUCAUGGCUUUACAACCAAAGAUUAUAGCUGGUGGAAAAUCACUAGCAACAUUUGCAAUUGUUGUUAGGUUCUUGAUAGGCCCAGCAGUGGUUGCUGCAUGCUCCAUAGCUGUUGGUCUUCGUGGAGUUCUUUGCGUGUUUCAAUACUUCAGGUUAACCACUUCAAUCUUUAGACUAUACAACUUUACUAUGUUUCCCUCUUCUUUUUUCUCAAUUAAAAGCUUACCACAAGGAGAAUUAUCCAUUUAUCACAGGCUGCUCUUCCUCUAGCGAUUGUUCCUUUUGUAUUUGCCAAAGAAUACAAUGUGCACGCAGAAAUAAUUAGCACUUCGUAAGUAUUUAUAUGUGUCUGAAGAAAAUCCAUAUAAUGAUUGAUGAAUGAAGGUAAAUAGUAAUGAAAAAACUCUAACUUGUAUCAUGGUGUUGUAACUAUUGCAGAGUCAUUUUUGGAAUGCUGGUUGCCUUGCCUGUAACGAUAGUGUACUAUAUUCUUCUCGGACUAGUUUCUGGCAAAUUGAGGGCUUUUGGAAGAUAUAUAAACUGUACAGUUCGGACACCCAAGUCACUCUGGGCACCCUCACUGCUUUGGGCACCAAAAGGCUCUAUCCAUAGCUGCUUGCAUUGGCUGCCACUCUAGCUCUGGUUCACUACUCUUCUAUCUUGGGCUUCAUUUUACUGAAGGCUCUCUUUUUUCUUUAAACUUUUUACUGAAAGCUCUUUUUUUUUUUAAACUGUUUUUUUACUGAAAGCUCUUAUGACUUCAGGAACCCACCGUUUCACGGUUUCUUUGUAUUUCCUCAUCUUAUGGUGAAAAUUAUACGCUCUCAUCUUAUGGCUCUUAACAUAUAUUGUUCUUGAGUUCCAUAGUCGUUAUUGGAUUGAUUGAUUCUUGACAUGUUGUAUAAUAUGUCAUCUAGAAUAGAUCUUACUAGGGUCAUUUUUCCAACUGCCAGGUACCUGUUAACAAACCCAGCAGUCUCCUCUCCUAUCCUAUAUCAUUUGCAUUCUCAACUAGCCACUUGGUUCUUGAAAGUAGUAUUGGCCUAAAAAGGCAAGUUCUUGAAAUAAAAGGAGAAUAUAUCUUUUCAGUUGUUACUUCUUUCAACUACUUGACUACAUCAUAACAUCAGAUCAGUAAAAAGUAGCGGUGUAGCCUAAUCUACACCUAAACGAGAUUGACACAGUUUCUUGUUUCAGUAUUUUGAUGUAAAGAAUUUGUAUACAGAUAGUAUCAAAGAUAUGAACCAAGUACAGGAUAGGUAUUUACAAAUAUGCUAUCUCAAAUUGGAAAAUUGGAGUCGAUUACUAGAACUAUGUUGUAUUCUAAUUCGUAUUCUAUACUUCAAAUAGCUCUUUCAAAUUGAUGUAACGUGCUGUGACAUCAGGAGUACUAUGGCUCCACCAUAACUUGGAAACUUGCUGGUAAAUUCUUUCCGUUGCAUGGCCGGAAUCAAAAAAGACAUAGUCAGUAACAUUUUCACAUAACUGAUACUCAGUCACACCUCGCUUCCCUCCGCAGCUCAUAAUUCCUCUGUAUGGACCAGAGCCACAGCAUGCCAUCUUUCCUUCCUUGAAACCUGUACAACAUACAUGUAACGAAAUGCAGAUUAGAAAAUAGGGAUCGAUUAGCUUUUGACAGAGACACAGAACAAACUAAAAUUAGAGGACAAGUUAUGAUGACUACAUAUACCAUGUUUUGAUGGAUUAUGAACUGUGUCAUUUAGGUAUGAGUAGAAGUUUGGAUUUGAGUAUAUGAAUUCUGGGAGUUGUCCUUUGAGCUUCAGGAGGACUUUAGCAAGAACUCUGUUGUGGAGUCUUGAAAUAUCAUUGAUUUCUUCUCCACAGGUGGUUGUGUUCCCUGGUUUGAUUGUUCUCAUUCCUGGUAAACAACCCAAAGGCUCCAUGCCUGCAAUCCCAAAUUUCCUCCCUCCUUUCCUGUAUAUUUCCUGAAAAAUAAAAACGCAUCAAAGGUGAGUAACUCAUCCGAAUUCAUUUUAGGAUUCAUAAACAUAUUCAUCAGAAUUCAGAAGACAUUAUACAUACUUUGAUCACAUUUGUCAGGUUUCCUGUCACCAUGCGAACAUAUUCUUCAUGUGAGCGGGACUCGAAUAAACUUGAAUUCGCUAUGAAUGGGGCAAUAUAAUCAUUGCUUCCGAUGCUAAUCAAGUAAACAGCUUCGGACAACAAUGUGUGAGCUUCUGCUUCACCUACUCUGUGCCUCAACUGCUUCUCCACAUUCUUGAAAUAACCCAGCUGAGUUUUAAGGUCUAACACCUGCAAAAUGGAAAUCAAUCAAAAAUUCAUACCUACCUCUAAUAAUGUGUUACAUCAUAUAACUUGUAUAUAUGUAUUCUUUUCAACUAUGCCUGGAGGCAGUCAACCACAAUCAUUUUCAUGUACAAUGAAUGAAACAGUAUCUACAAGUCAGCAACCAGCGAUAACAAAAUUAUGAUGGUUUUGAUGACUACAUUGACUAGCUGUUGUGCAGGUUCAGAAUAACGGCAGCCUUUGAAAAAAUUAAAAAUUAAAAAUUAAAGAUCUAUAGUGAAAUGAAGGCAGAAGACAUACAAAUCCUUGAAACGUUUCAGCUAGAGCACCAGCCCCAGCAGAUGCAAAGUUCACUCCAUUAGUAUAGUUGUCGAAACCGGGUUGUAAGUAUGGUGGAAUCAUUGGCAAGUUUGCAUAUUCAGCUGCAGAAAUAACAAUUCCAUUUUAACAGUUAAUCACUUCUGUCAUAAUCCCCAUCUGUUAAAAGAAAACACUGACAUUAUGCACAACAAUCUUACCUAUGAUAUCUGGGAUUAGACGACCAUCGGAAACCCUACCAGUCGAGUACCCGAAGAAGGUUUCCCCAUAUGGGAAGAAAUUUGCUUGAAAGUUGGUGGAAGUGUUUAUGUAGUUAUUAUUUCCAACAUCAAAUAGUGAAUCCCCAAAGAUGAACAAGGCUGCAUGUUUUCUGUGAUGCACAGAAAGGCCAUUGCAGCCACUUUGAACAAGAAGGGUUGCACAAAAAGCCAGGACAUAUAUUUGUAAUCUUGAACGAGUUGCCAUUUUAGUUCUGGUAUGCAAUAUCUUCUCCUCUGUCUGAGAUCUAUAUAUAUAUAUAUAGGUCGAUUUCUGAUUCAGUUUGGGAAAGUCUAACCCAAUUUUAACUACUCAGAGAAUAGAUCUAUGGAGCUUCUUGAAGCUUUUCAGAGUCAACACCGUAUUGAACUACAUAUACAUCACAAAAGAAAGACCUUUAAAUCUGAUAGUCUAGUUGAACUGGUCAUUGCUUUGUAAAAUGAUUGAAAACAAUUACAAAGAGGAACACGUAAACUAACAAGUUUCUCCUCUGUUUCAUUUUAAAAAGCCUUAAAUUUAUACAACAAUUCGUAUUCCUCGUGUUUGGAUCCUUCUUCUCUAUAUAUUAAGGAGGUUAAUUUUGAUCAGUUAAGACGUAUUUUGGUCCUCUAGUGUAUACAUUUCUUGUCUUCUAGACAAAAUUAUCUAACACGGAAUUGGUAACACGUAUCUUGGCAGGACCUUCACUUGUCAUAUAUACUAUUUCAAAGAUGUCUAGUAGAUCGAAUAUAUAACAAUACUGUUGAACAUGUUCAUAUGAUUACUGUACUAAUAGAAUAAGAAGGCUUCCACAAGGAAGUCAGGUAUAUAUAUUUGAAAUCAAAGCGGCCGUUCUAGAUUUCUAGUUCUGCUUUGCUCGGUGUUACCUUCUUUUCUAUCUGGUCUUGGCUUCAUAUAGUUCAUAUAGGUCCUUAAUUGUGAUCAACUUCUGCUUUUAAACAGCUAUAUAUAAUCAGAUUAUGAACGUGUAUUUGAACUUGUUUCUGCAACUCAAGUCAUGAAAGUCGAUGAUGGCAAAAUCAUAUGCUAUGAAAAUAAAAUACAAAAUUGAACGAAGAACAAUAACGGCAAUACGGUGAUUUUAGCAUUUGUUAAAAUGAGGUACUGGUUAAUGUUUUCCUAUUUCUUCUCGAUUUCUUCUCUUUUAUUUAAUAAAGCUUAAUUUUUUUUGCCAAAAAAAUAAUAAUAAUAAUAACAACGGCAAUAUGGUGUCACAUCUAUCACAUAAGAUGUCCUGAAACACUGCUAUGAGUGCUAUCACAUAAGAUGUCCCAAUUGACACUCGAUGUUAUUCCCUCACAAAAUGUAUCUGAUUUGAAACUGGCACACUGAACCUUCUGUAUCGCAUUUAUUCUAACAAAAGAAAAGAAAAAAAUUUGUAACAGUGAAGACUCCCAGCUCUAUAACUGACAAUUUAGAAAGAUUUUGGGAGGAAGAGUACAAAGGUGGCUGAUUCGACUCAUGAAAUAAGCAAUUCCUCAUACUUCUCAUGUUACUAAAAUAAGAUCAUGUUAAAGUACAGCACAAGAACUACACAGAAACACAUAUCUGAACAUAUUAAAGAUUAGCAGUAAUCUUAACUGUAGCCUCUACUUAGUUCUUGACCAGUAAAGUCGUUCAGGAAAUUCAUAACACAUCCAUAAAAGGAAAUAUUCGUCAAAGAACAAUGGGUUUCUCGGCUUCAUCACCUCUUUCCUUCUCUAGGAGUUCAGCUGGGAUGUCACCUCGGAGGAUUUGGACUCUUAAUUCUAGUUUUGUAGUGCUGCACUCCAUGACUUCAAACACACAUCCAUCGCCAGCCUUUAACUUGUUGUCAUCAACAAAUGCUUUCCAUGACUCUUUAUCCAACUUGUGCUUUCGGUGUUUUCCACCACAUGUCAUCUCCCAACUUUUUCCCGCAAAGUUGAGAACCGUAGGGAUUGAACAAGGUGGUAGUAUUGAAUGAAGUUUGGCUGGAAUUCCCUAUAUCAGAUAAAGAAAUUAAUACAGCUAAUUAAACAAUCAAAUCCUAACUUAGUGUAAAAGUCCCUAGUAGCCAAUCUUAUUAACCGGUUGUGCUCAAACGUACAGCUUGAAUAUCAACAUAUAAUUUUAGAGGGCCUUGCUUCUUAAAUUGCCUGCCUCUGAAGACCUGAUUGCGCCUCAUCUUUAAAGAAAAAACUUAUAACUUAUAAAUAUAUGUUACAUAUCCCAAUAUAAGAUCUUCCCAAGCAGAGAGCAGAGCAUUAUUUACAUGCAGUACUUACCAAGAAAACAAAAUACUUUGUGUAACCAACAGCCAACAUUUUGAAGACUUCAAAGUGACUCACUCAAAAGUUCAAAUUGAAUUAGCAAUUAAAAUGUCUAGAUGAGUCUGUAUAAAGAUGAAUAAUGGUUUCCCUAAUGGUAAAUUUGUUUAGCUUGAUCAAGGGCAACCCUUCCUAUUAAGGUGAGAAGUAUAUACUGGAAACACAACUCUAAACAAACUGUCACUUCAUUUCCAAUAACUAUUAGGAAAGGUAUCAAUCGAUCAAAAAUCACAUUUCAUCAACAGUAGAGAAAAUGAUCUGCACAGAAACUAUUAUAAUGAGAACUUUUAGAAGGUAAAUUACCAGCAUGUAAGAAGGUUUGACAUGUGAUUUUGCGAGUAUUAUAUCAAAGAAAGGUUUUCCUGAAAGAGGCCAAAAUUCUUCACCAUGCAAUUGAAUUAUUGUAUCUGAUGAGGAUCGGGCCGAGUCUGCCAUUUCAGGAUCUUCUGCUUCGCCAACUGGGAAUUAACAAAGUAACUUAUCUGGAACAAAGAUGAGUACUGUCAUGUUCUCCAUGUGAUGCAGAUACCAUGCAUAUGAAGCACAAUAACCAUAAAUUGUGCUCUUAGUUAGGGUUAACAACCUUUUCUUUCCUUGAUCACCUGUACUAACCCAUUUUCACUAGCGAAUCACACCCAAUUAAUCCCUAGCCUAAUAAUUCUGUUCUUUGAUCUGUCGUCUUUAAACAUCAGACAUAUCUUGCGUAAAGCCUUACCUGGUACAUAAUUCUUUUAAGGAGCUAACACUCAAUAUCCACCAAAGAAUUUCAAGACUUUCCAAACCUAAAGUUGAAGAUCUUCAGAAAGGCAUUCAACAACACCAGACCUUUUCUUCAUAACGCUGACAUUGCAAUUCUUUAUUUGAAACCAAAAAAGCUAAGACACUUUGCGCAAGAGUUCAAUAGACAUGAUAAUUCAAAAUAUAAAGAGGAAAAAAAAUGAAGAACAAUAGACAUGAUAAUUCAAAAUAUAAAGAGGAAAAAAAAAAAAAAAAAAACUAUAGUGCUUUAGAAAGUACCUGCGAGGAUAAUCUCUGGUGAGAGUUGCCUGAGGAGGGGAGAAUACUUAAAGGACUUAAAGGAGUGGGGUAAUAAGGGUUAAAUUUGAAAAAGGAAUUAGGUGGUAUCAGUAUAAUGUAUACCAUAACAGAUGCUUUCAUUGAUGGAGUCAUAGCUGCAUCUACAGUGGCAUCUUGCUAUUUCCAGAAAAGUUACACCAGCAACAAGACAAACUUGUCACACCUUGGAGACCAACUUUCAACAUAGAAAAUCAAGAAACCAGGAUUCUUGUGAGCCAAACUUUAAAACCCACAUGGCUCUUGGUAAAGGAACUUCUCUGCAGUGAACUGCAUCACCUAAUUUCACUGACAAGAUAAUUGUGAUGUAACAAUAAUAAUGAUGACUUUUCUGUAGUGUACUAUGGUUAUUGACAAAGAUGAUGACUACUCAUGAAGCCACCCAGAUGUUCUACAUUAUCAUGAUAAGCGAAAUUGAAAGUGAAAUAAUGUAUACAUCUAAUUUAACACUGAUGGAAUUAUAAAAGUGCUAAGAGAAUAGGAUUGACGAAUGCAGGCCCCCUCUACCUUGAUCAAUUUCAGAACAAGAAUUCAAGACAACAAUGAAUUCCUAAUACUUCAAAGAAAAGAUCCAUACUUGUAAUCAAAAAAGUAAAAAAAGAAAGAAAAGAAAGAUCCAUACACUUGUAUUCAGGAUCAGUGAAGUAUUUAUACAUAAUGUACUGUUCUACUCAUAAGUAUAGAGACCUAGUUCCCAAAUGCAUAACCGUUAAUAAAACAUGUUUUGCUCCAAAAUAGAGUAGAUCUUCUUUCACAAUCUAUCACUGUCAUGAAACAUGUUCAGUAAAAGAUUUUCUACACUCCAUUGACAAGUUUAUCCAUACUUACACCUGUUUCUUUUGUUACAAUACAAAGUACUGAUGAUAAACAAGGAAAAUGAAGACAGACCAAUCUCCUCUGAUAUGAGAGAAAUUAAAAACCAAUAUUUCUGGCAAUAAUUACGAACAUGAGCAAAAGUGCAUUCUUUUUAAGGUUAACAUACAUUCAUGUUCAUUUAAUUAAAAUAGGAUAAUGUCAAAUGACAUCACAGAACCAAUACAUAAACACAUAGAUCUAAACACAUUAAAAUCUAGCACUCUCAACAGGCUCUACUGAGUUCCCCAUUAUAUUAGCUCCUGGCCAUUGAUGCAAUUAGGUGAAUGAUAAAUCAUCCAUGGAAAAGGCCUCAAUGUAUAACAACGGGUUGCUCUGCCUCAUGGUUGGCCUUCUCUAUAAGUUCCUGAGGGAUGUCACCUCUCAGGAUUUGGACUCUGAAUCCUAUUUGUGUGCUGUUGCACUCCAUGAGUUCAAACACCAAUGCAUCUCCGGCCUUCAAAUUAUUUUCAUCAACAAAUGCUCCCCAUGACUUUCGAUUGAAUUGUUUAUGACGUUUUUCUCCAUUAUAGGUCAUCUCCCAACUCUUAUCCCCGUAUACGAGAACUGUAUGGAUUGAACCAGACGGUAGUAUUGGAUCAAGUUCGGUUGGGAUCCCCUAUAUCAAUCAAAUGGUUAUUUCAAUGAACUAAACUGCAGCUAAUAUAUCAAAUGAUCCACAACUACAGUAAUAGUCCCUAUAAGCCGGUCAUGCUUGUCUGUUGCAAUUAUACAGCUUGGUAGUAGUACAAAAAACUAUAAGGGAAAAUAACUUAUCUGGUUAUACCAUAUAAGAAUAUGUCAUGUAAAGCACCAAGAUAUUUCAACUUAUAAAACGUAUAUCAGUAUAUCAAAAAUCCGUGCAGUUGCAAAUACUGUAUCCUGGAUGUCGUUGGCAAACUAGUAAACACUAAGUAUCCCAGUCUCUUGUUAUGAAAAGGCGCAUGCAUUUGAAGAAUUUGAAAUUUAACUUAUAAAAAAGCAAAAACACAACAAAUUCAACUUGAAAAUUAAGGAAUCAUAUCACCUUCUCCACAUAUCUAACAAAAAGGGAACAUUUUGAAUCAGCUUCUUAGGCGUGUAGGCUCAAGCGAAAAAGUAACUUGUUGCUGAACAAGGGUUCAAAUUGACCAACUAUUUUGAUCACCAAACAAAUUGUUACUUCUUUUUACAAUAUGAUGAUCUGAUAAGAUCAAAUGACCCCAUCAAAUAUGAUCAUAUGCACAGACACUAAUAGUAAACCAAUCUUGAACUAAACUGAUCCAAAGAGAAGGAAAAAUUCACCGUCUACAUAAAUAUAGGCAUAAUUACCAUUUGGUAAAUGGGUUUCACAUGUGAUUUUGUGAGUAUGAUAUCAAAGAAGGGUUUCCCAGAAAGUGGCCAGAAUUCCUCUCCAUUCAAUUCAACUACAGGAUUCGAUGAGGAUUGGGCCAUUUCAGGGUCUUCAACUGGUUCACAUACAAAAGAUCUGCAACAAAGAUGUGUACAUUCAGAUUAAAUUUCAAGGCAAACAUACCCAAGACUACAUAAACACAAAACACAACAACAACAAAAAACCUAUGAUGGGCAAUCAAGUUUCCGAUUUCUUAGUGACUAUCGUCAGCAAAGAUCACCACAGUAUCAUGUUUCAAACACACUCACAUUUGAAUUUAUUUACUUUUUUAAACAGAACAAAAGAGCUAAGACUACCUUCCACACACGAGUUCUCUAAGAUUGAAAAGGCAGAAACUUUCCCACAGAUUGGUUCGAGAGAAUUGACAAACAAAUGCAUAAUGGUUAUAUUGUGAAGAAAGUAAAGCAGUAUUAGAGUUUGAAGAGUGAAGACCAUACCUUUGGAGCUUGUUGGUGAGAGUUAGUGAAGAGUAAUGGCAGGUUGUCUCUUAUUAGUAGCUGUUUUCAAGAAACUUCUGAGCUUUUUUUUUUUUUUUUUGUUUCUGGGCAUAAUGCUCUCAUUUGACUGUAUGAUCCUGUGAGGAGAAGCCAUUGAAACUUGGUGAUCCUGUCCACUGGGUAAUUCAAAUUCGACAAAUGCUUCUCGCUCUUGAGUUGUCAGGCGUCACGAAUUGUGGAAGCAGAGUACAGUACUCACUUUUCAGUGUCUUGUCCUGUCAAUAUUUUCUCUUAAAUAAUGGGCCUGGAAAAAAAUACUAAUUUCAUUUUUUUAUCGGAACUAAUUUCAUAUUUUCAAAUUAAUACCAAUCGAAUCAUCUGUGUUUAAUACCAAUAUCAACUGUAACAAAUUGUAUUAGCUGUAUUACUCACCUAGAAUGUCAAGGAUAGUUUGUAUAUAUUAGAACUGAUUGUAAACAUUUUGAAUAAAUGAAAAACUCUUUUCUACAUGGUAUCAGCCAAAAACGAUUAUUACCUGUGAUUUCUUCAAUCAAGGAGCUUCGCCCCGCCGUGAGCAGUGUGACUCCCAACCGCGCAACUCCUCCGACCGGAAUUUUCAUAACGGCGGCCGAAACCAGUACAACAAUAGGAAUCGGCGCAAUUCAGGGUAUCAAGGUCGUAAUUCUGGACACUCCUAUGCGCAACCAGCGCCCUUUUCAUCCCCUCCUUGGGCUAAUGGGCUCCUAGGCCCAGCUUCACAACCCAACUGUCGCUCAAACCAUCAUGCUUUCUCCCAAUGUCCUCAUCGCUACUCUGGUCCUCCAAGUCUCCAACUGCCGCUCCGUGUGAACAUGUACGUUUGAAAGUCUUGAAUUCUUCUUUUUAUAUACAUAUUCCAGAUUCAGUGUGAACCCUUGGAUCGAGUUAAACCUUAACUAGAUUAUAAGCCAAUACUUUUAUUCAAGGCAGAGUAGUUUAUCCCAUAUGAAGUCGCAGAUUACUAAACCUAAGAUCAUGUACUAUACUAUACCCGAGUAUUUGUUAACGAUCCAGAGUCGGUGCAAGUAAACGAGAAUUAAAUUCCAUAACUUCUGGGAGCUAGGCACAAACUCAUGGUGCACAUGUUGUUCUGUUCCCUGACCCUGGAUUGCUGCAUGAUGCUAAUUAAGUUCACACUUUACGCGUUAAUUAAACAGAAAAGAUGAACAUAAAUUGACAUCUUGUACUAAUAAACAAUUUAGUGGAAGCUGGAAGUAUUGUAUAGAUCCUUAAUCCUACGUUGAAUCGAAUGGGCUUAUAAUUUUGAUUAGUGAAAAAUCAAUUCCAGUUAAAGAAAACCAUCAACCUUAAAAUGAACUAAAAGCAAGGUAAAACAGAUUAAAACCGGACAUCCAUACAACUGAUGGAAUAAUAUAGAUUUUUUUAGCCUCUACAAUCCAAUUACAGAACACAAAUAUAAGUUUAUGACAAUGAAAAUAACAGAAAGUUAUGCUGCACUCAUUACAGGAUCACUGCAGAUGUUUCUUAAUUGGCACAAUGUGCUGGGAACCGAAUCAGCGGUUGAGACCGUCCACAUUGGCAAGCUGUUGCAUGCACACAAAAGGGUGCUUCAAAAGCAUCUCAGCCGUGAACCUCUCCAAAGGGUUCAUUAUGAAGCACCUCCUCAUCGUUUAGCUCAUCCGGUAUAAUCGGAAUUUCAAUCGGAUACCCCCAGUCAUCUUUUGAGUCAGUGUUGACAUCCAAAUAUAAUUUCCCAGUCAGCAUCUGCAGAACACUGCAGCCUAAUGCCCAAAUGUCAGCCGGCGGCUCUUGAAUGUUUUGCAUUGACAUUUCUGGAGACGUAUACAAUCUUGUGCCAUGUAUUUGUUCAGAACGCUUCAUCACAUUGUCUUUGGCAGCCGUCUUUGCUAGCCCGAAAUCCCCGAUUUUUGCAACGCGAGAGCCAAUCCCAGUAUCCUUAGGAUCAUUACUUACAAGGAAUCAUUACUACUUACAAGGAAUAUAUUUGCAGGCUUAAUGUCAGUGCACAAAUCCCUUUUCAUGAAUGUACUCGAGCCCCUUCAAAACGGACAAUGUAUACUUCCUUACGUGCUGCUCAUACAACCCAGAAUUCUCCGGUUUCUCUAUAUAAUCCAUUAUGGUUCCUCUUUGAGCAUACUCCAAGAAAACGUUGAACAACCUUCUGAUCUUCAACUUCUACCGUCACAUCGCUGCCAUACGUGUUUAAGAUAAAAGGGCAGCUCCGAAAUUUCUUGAGAAGUCGACUUUCGUUAGCCAAAGCCGCGGAUUCCGACAAAUCUACCGACUUGACGGCCAUAAUUGGAGGCAGUUUCUUACUUGGUUUAGCCGGACGAGCCAAGAAAACGGUCGCGACCUCUUGUCGAACCCACCCUCUGGUCCGAGCACGCUUGCCGGAAUCCGGCUCCUCAUAGAUCCUUUUCCUCUUGCGAGUGUCGAUAGUAUACAUGACUAAUCCGACAGAGAUGAAGAGACAAUAAAGAAAGAAACUCAAUUUGUGUGAAAAUGUAACUUGCAGUGAGAGGAAUUCCACUGCUUUUGGGGUCUUAUAGGACAAGUUUCAUCUUCAUUAAUCCUAGUGAUGUGCUGAUUGGGGUUAGUAGAAUUGAGGAUUUUUCAGGUUUUCAUUAUUCCUUUUCCUAGUUGUAUGCGGAAUACAUAGGAAAAUAGAAACCCUUUCCUAGUUGGGUUAUACGUUUUUCGUUUUUCCUUGUUUAUAUAAUUGCUAGAUGAAAAAGACAAUAUCGUUUGACUAACAAAGAGAGGAACAAGGCUGGGACAGAAGAUAUAUUCAAAUAACUCAUUUUAUUCAUAAUACUUGUGAAUUAAUAAACAUGAUGUUGCAACUAGGAUUCAUCAUCAUUUUGAAUUGCGUCUGCAAAGAAUCAAAACAUUUUCAAUAAACUUCAAAUAGCUCUUUCAGACUAAUGUAAGUCUCAGUGUGUGUAGGUUUAUGGCUCCACCAGAACUUGGAAACUUUCUGGUAAAACCUUUCUGUGGGAUGGUUGGAAUCGAAAAAUACAUGUUCUUUAACAUUGUCACACAGUUCAUACUCUGUCACGCCUCGCUUCCCUCCACAACUAUUAAUUCCUCUGAAAGGACCAGAUCCGCAACAUGCUGUCUUCCCCUCCUUGAAACCUUUACCCAUAUAAUAGGAAAAAAUGGUCUUAGCUUAGAACACAAGAUAAAGAAAAAGAGAAACUGAAACUGUAAUUGUCAUGUUUACCGUAUUUAGAUGCAUUGUUAAUUAUUUCGUCUACAAGAGGGUAGAUAUCUGGAUAUGAAUAUUUGAAUCCUGGGAGAUGUCCUUUAAGGUUUAGGAGGACUUUAUCAAGUACACUGUUGUGUAAUCUCGCUACCGCGUUCAAUUCUUCCACACAUGUGCCUGUGUUUCCUGGUUUCAUUGCUCUCAUGCUUGGUGUACAACCCAGAGGAGCCACGCCUGAAAACCCAAAUUUCCUUCCUCCUUUCUUGUAUAUUUCCUGAUAAUUAAUUUGUAUACGAACCAUGAAGUAAGUGAAUGAUCAAAUUUUGUUAUAUCGGAUCAUGAUAUAUAACUGCAUAUAGUAGUACCUUGAUCACAUUUGUCAUGUUUCCUAUCACCAGGCCAAUAAAUUCUUCAGGUGAGGACGCCAACAAACUGGAAUUUGUAGCGAGUGCAUAAGAGUAGUCAUUGGAUCCAAUUGCAAUUAAGUAAACAGCUUCUGACAGCAAUGUGUAGGCUUCUGCAUGGCCCAGUUUGUGCCUCAACUGCUUCUCCACUUUCUUGAAAUUACCCAGUUGAGUUUUAAGGUCUAUAACCUGAAAAUAAGGAAUCGAUAACCCCAAUCAUGCAUAUAUAAGUAUAUUUCUCUUCUGCUUACAUUAUACAUGUAAUCUGGUUACAAACCUAAUGUUCAUAGACAUGCUGAGAUGCUGUUAUUGUAACCAGAAUAAUCAAGACAUAGAACAUGUACUCUUUUUUUUUGGUAAGAGAGAUUCUUAUAUAUACAAGAAGAUGACAUACAUAUCCUUGAUAAGAUUGAGCAAGAGCACCAGCCCCGGCAGAUGCGAAGUUGACCCCAUGAGCAUAGUAGUUGAACCCAGGUUGUAAAUAUGGUGGUACAAGUGGCACCUUUGCAUACUCAGCUGCAGAAAAUGGAAAUGUGACAACCAGUUCCCUAUUGUUAAACAGAAUCAUCAAAUAUUGCAUAGAGAAACUCAUACAAAAAAAAAAAAAACUUACCAAUGAUAUCAGGGAUUAGACGUCCAUCCGAAAAUCUUCCAGUGGGGCGCUUGAAGAAUGUUUCCCCAUAUGGCCAGAAAUUUGAUUGAAAUCCAGUGGAAGUGUUCAAGUAGUUAUUGUUUCCAACAUCAAAUAGCGAAUCACCAAAGACAAACAAGGCUUUGUGUUUCUUGUGAAGCCUGGAGUGGUCAUGGCAGCUGCUUGGAGGAAGAAGAGUUGCAGAAAAAGCACAGAUCAGAAAUAUUUGAUACACUAAAGUUGACAUUUUAGCUCUGGAUUACUCUGUAUUAUCUUCUCGAUCCCUUGUUCCAAAUCUAUAUAUAGGCCACUGUGAUUAACUUCUAUAGAAGAAAACUAAUAUAAACUGCAAUUCAAUCCUACGUUAGCUACCUAGUUGUAGAAUUGAAAUGGGUCUCCAGUCUAAUAAUGUGUCGAAAUAUCAAUCACACAUAAAAAAUAUGAGACAUUGUUUGUGGGUUUAUAAGAGUUUGGGUCACUCCACCCAUUGUCAGUUGGUUUUGGAUGUGACCCUCGUGCCAAGACUACUUUAUCAAUAUGGUAUAUUCUCUGUUCCAAAAUAUAAUUAUUCAAAACAAUAUAUAAUGAGGAACAACCAAAACCAAUCUACCUUUGGCUCCUUUUGAGUUGUGCUUCUAUUAAAAUUUAAAGAAUUUUCCAUUAAUUAUUGAUUGCCAACAUAAAUGAUGAACUUGAGGAAUAUAAAAGUUGAUGCCAAUGCUUCGACUUGAGCAUCUGCCACCGUAUAGAAAAUUUGGUAAGCUAUAUAGCUAUAUAUGGCUUAUGAUAAGAGAAUAUGCUAUAGAAUCUUUUGAUUCAACAUGCAGGUGUUUCCACCGUAUGGUAAAUGUGAUAAGGCAUAAUUGAAAUGGGUGGGUUUGCAACAGCUAGGUUUCUAUUUAGCAUCUAAUAUCAUUUUUUUCAAUUAUUCUCAACGGUUAGUUAACAUAAAUUUUUAGAAAUUUUAUAGAAACUCAAUCCCAUGAUCAUGUUCAUCACUUUAUUUUUCUUUUCUUUCGAAAAUAAUUUAGUCUAAACAUAUUUAAUAUUAGACUCAAAUGAAAGAUAUUGUUCGGUUCUUUGUAAUAGUAUGAUUUUUAUUACUUACAAAUUUAUAAACAUGAAGUUUAAGGAGAAAAAGAAAUUGUAACUAUACUUAGAGAAAGGAUACAAGUGGAAUAAUAAUAAGGUUACUUGAAAACAAAAGGGUAAAAUGGAACAAAAAAAGAAAAUAAUUAAAAAUAGAAGUGAUACACCAUACCAAAUGGAACGCUAUAUAUGCCUUGUUACUGUAGACGUAAGGCAAUUUUUUUUUUUAGGAAAUGUGAAAUACCUUACGAUGGGAGAAGGUGGUAAGGUAUAUAUGGGGUUUAACCUUACGGUGGCAGAUGGUCAGACAUAGAACCUUUUCUUCUUUAAGUAGCAAGACAUCGUGAAGGCUGCUUAUGAAGCUAGUCUAAAGUCAAUGCUCGGGGCCGCGGCUGCUGCCUCUCUUUCUGCUUCAUUUCUUUUUGUUGCCUGAAUAGAAUAUGUGUGGAACAUCGCAAACAUGUACCACGGGUUGAUUUAUUUAGGGCCUGCAGGCCUGCAAAUUAAAAUAGUACAGUUGUUCCCGGUCCUUCAGCAUUUCGGAAACUAAUCUGAAGGUGCCUAAUUCAGUUCAGAUAGUGCUUGAACAUGUGAAGGACAUGUGACGGUGGAUUUCUUAAUCCACUUUAGCUUGAAAAAUUGCUGCUUAGUUUUUUCAGUCGGAUGAGCAUAACUGAAAUUGAUUUAGUUCCUCAUAUAAAGUAUAAACCAUUACCUUCCUUAAAAACUCUCAAGAGUUCAAGUAACAGAAUGCAUAUUUUAGCCUAGACAGUAGCUAUUUUGUUCGCUGAUGCAGUCUUUUGCUCAUGGAAGUAUCUGAAUCGAUAUAUGAAGUUAUGAACAUUUGGAUCAUCAAUUCAUCAUAGCUUGAUCUGUAGUACAUCUAGGAUUUUCUUUUAGUCAUGCAUAUAUGAAAGACUUUAGAGUUUAGAUAUUACAUUAUACAGUGUCGACAUAGGGAUCAAGAACGUAAAUUUUUCUUGAUUUUGUUUUGUGUGUCAAGAAUUACAAUACAACAAACAACAAAUACAUGUUUAUAAAAUUAUUAAAGAAGAAUAUGAUCUAUCAAACAUUCCAGUUUAUUUGUAAAUGAUAGUGCAUCAGCAAAAUGCUGAUAUUGCUUAUUGAAUCUAACGAAUCCAUAUUCAGCUAAACUUCGAAAAGCUGUUACAGAUUAUUAGAGGACCCUGUGACAUUGGGAGUUUGGCUCCACCAUAACUCGGAGGCUUUCUCAUAAACCCUUUCAGUUGGAUGCACAGAGUCAAAAAAGACAUAGUCAGUAACAUUGUCACAUAAUUCGUAAUCUGUCACACCUCUCUUUCCUCCACAGCUCGAAAUUCCUCUGUAUGGACCAGAGCCACAACAUGCUGUCUUGCCCUCCUUGAAACCUAUACAAUAUGAUGAUAACAAAUAGGAAUAUUAGGAAACAGAUAUAGCAUUGCUUGUAACAAAGAAUACUCUACAUACCAUAAUCUGCAGGAUUGUUAAAUACUCCAUUUAGGUAAGUAUAGAAAUCUGGAUUUGAAUAUUUGAAUCCUUGGAGCUUUCCUUUCUUCUUUAAAAGCGCUUCAGAAAGUUCUGUGUUGUGUAGUACCGCUAGCGCAUUCAUUUCUUCCACGCAGGCGCCUGUGUUUCCCGAUGUAGUUGCCCUCACAGAUGGUACACAACCAAGAGGUGCAACACCUGUAAUCCCAAAUUUUCUUCCUCCAUGCUUGUAGAUUUUCUGACAAAAAAAUUAUGGUGGAGUUAAUAAUCCCAAAGUUCUUUCCAUGAUGGAGGAAAUUUGUGAACUAAACUGGAAAGAAAAUAGAAACAAGAAAAAUUGGUAUUUAGUCAAGCUUCUCAUGUUAUAAAGUUUCUGUUACUUUGAUCACUUUGGUCAGGUUGCCAAUGACCAUUCCAACAUAUUGUUCAGGUGAGUGAGACUCAAAGAUGCUAGAAUUUGUUUCGAAUGGGUAAAGGUAAUCAUUGCCUCCGAUGCUAAAUAAGUAAACAGCUUCAGACAGAAAUGUGUAGGCUUCCGCAUGACCUAGCUUGUGCCUCAACUGCUUCACCACCUUAUUGAAAUAACUGAGUUGAGUUUUCAGGUCUAUCACCUGAAUACAAAAAAUCAACCAGUUAUGAGUACUACUUUUAUGAGUUUGAUCCUUUAAAAAAAAAAGUUAAUAUAUCAAGGAUCACAUACAAAUCCUUGAUGAGUUUCAGCCAGAGCGCCAGCCCCAGCUGAUGCAAAGUUGACCCCAUAAGUAUAGUUGUCCAAACCAGGCUGUAAAUACGGUGGAAUGAGUGGCAAUCCUGCAUAUACGGCUGCAGAAAAUAAUUGAUAUUCAACUAGCUAGUUGUGGUAACAAUCUCUAGUAUUGAAUACAAUGGAAAUAAUAUUUACCAAUGAUAUCCGGGAUUAGACGUCCAUUUGAAAAUCUACCAGUGGAGUACCCGAAGAAGGUUUCCCCAUAUGGCGAGAAAUUUGCUUGAAAGUUAGUGGAAGUAUUUAUGUAGUCAUUAUUUCCAACAUCGAAAAGUGAAUCACCAAAGAUGAACAAAGCUGCAUGCUCUUUAGGAAGACCAGGAUGGCCAUAAGAGAUGGUUGGACUGAGAAGGCUUGCACAAAAAGCCAGGACAAGUAUGUGAAACUUUAAGACAAUUGCCAUUUUAGUUAUGGUUUACUCUGUAUAAUCUGCUCUUCUGUUUCAAAUUAUAUAGAGGUCUGUAAGUUGAACUUGUGGAAGAAGAAACCAAUACAAACUGCUCCUAGCAGAUCACAAUGUGCAUUUGACCUUUUAUUGGUCAACUUCAAAUUGUCAUCAAUCUGAUAUGUGGCAGCAUAUUCUUUCCAUCAUAUAUAGUUUCUGAUGUGUGCUGAUGACAUGCUUGAUAUAAUUGAAAACAAGCAAUCAAGAAAUAAUAUUUUCAUUAUUUUGCAAUAUUAGCAGAUAAGUUUAUAUCUUGCAAGAUCAGCGCAAAAUUAGAAAACGAAAAUACUCGUGGAUGUGGUGGAUAAUAUUCAAAGAACGAGUAUUUCCUGAUCAUCAGAUUACUUCAAGUAAAGUCAGUGAAGACCUUAUAGUGAAAAGCUCUUAUCUGUUGGCUCUUCUUCAGUUUUAUUGCUUUAUAUAUGCAUACAACAUUAAGCACGCAGAUGCUUAUUUGAAUUUAACAUAUUGUUGAAAGCUAAGGUAUAACAAACUUGUUUAUUCAGAAAACAUAAUUAUUGACUAGUCCAGUCCUAGAUGUUUUCUUCAGCUCAAGAACUUGGUGUCGACUAGAUUUAUUUUUCUUAAGAAGAUCCAAAUAGUUCUUGAAAAUUGCAAGGCCAUGUGACAUUGGAAUUUCCACUCCACAUUAGCUUGGAGAACUGCUGGUUAGUUCUUUCUGUUGGAUGACCGCCAUCAAAGAACACAUACUCUGAAGGAUUGUCACAUAGUUCAUACUCCGUCUCUGGCCCCUUUCCUCCACAAUUGUUAAUGGCUCUGUAUGGACCGCUUCCACAGCAUACCUUCUUCCCUUCCUUCAAACCUAGUUUUAGGUCACAAAAAGAACUUUAGCAUAUAAAACAGCUUAGUUUAGUCUGGAACAAAAAACUAGAUGAUCCACAAAUGUUGCUUAUACCGUAUUUUGUUGGGUUAUUCAAUCUUUCACUCAUGGAAGUAUAGAAGUCGAAGUACGAAUAUCUGAAUCCUUCUAGUUUGAUCUCUAGCGCAUGGAGGGCUUCUGAAAUUGCCUUAUUGUGUAUUUGUGCCAUUUCUGUGAGUUUUUCUCUGCAAGUUCCUAUCUUUCCUGCUGGCUGCUGAAAUACUAACAAAGCUGGAUGACAACCAAUUGGCCCCAAGCUUAGAAACCCAAAUUUCCUUCCUCCUUUCUUGUAUAUUUCCUGCCAAUUCAAAACACAUAAAGUGAUAACAUAACCAAACUGGGAAGUGAUUAAAACAAAAAAACAAGUAGAAUUACUUUGACUACAUGUACUAUAUUAUUUCAAGAACAGAAAAUUGGGUAAUGGAAAAUUACUUUGACCACAUGGGUUAUGUUGCCAAUCACCAUCCCUAUGAAUUCUUCUUGUGAGUAGGACUCAAAGAAUUCCUUGCUGAUGUUAUAUUGCAGAGGGGCUAUGUAAUCAUUGCUUCCAACGCUGAAAAGGUCGACAGCACUAGAAAGUAAUGUCUUGGCUUGUGCAUAGCCUAAUUUGUGCCUCAAUUGCUUUUCAACAAUUUUGAAAUAACUAAGCUGAGUUUGAAGGUCUAUCACCUGGGAUAAAAACAAAAGAGAAAAAUCAAUGUUGUAAAACAAAAAGAAUAGAUUGAGAAAAGAGAGAAACAACCAAGAGAAUGAGAGAAUAUGUAUAUUUUAUUGAGUAGGGAACCAUCUCUUAUAUAGAGAUGAGGCCAUGAUGUAAAUUACAAUAACAACCUUAGUCGGUUAAUUACAAGAAUGCCCACUAAGUAAUAACUAUUUACAACACUCCCCUUUGGGUAUUCUCUGUCAUUAGCUUUCCCUAAUAUGUGCUUCGGGGUUGCCUCGUCAAAACCUUGCCAGGUAAUAAAAACCCUAUGGGACAAAAACAAUCCUGGUCGAAGGAGAAAAGAGUACAACGCACAAGUAGCAGUGAUAGUCAGAACCCUUGAUUUCGGUGAAGCGGUUCAGUCUGGAUCAUAAGUUGUGAGUCUGUGGGAGAUAGAUGCAUAUUAGUUGCUACACCAAAACCUUGCCCGGUAAACCCAGUGAAACAAACCCGUGGUCGAAGGGAAAAGAUGAGCAAAUGCAUAUAUUUCAAAUAAAGGCAUCUUCAAGAUGCAGCAUGAGCAAGGUGACCAAUUACAUGUGUGCCUCAUUAAAACUUUGUCAGGUAACAAAACCCAGUGGGACAAAAUAACCCUGGACGAAGGAUAAAAAGAGUACACAAUGGUCAAGAGUAUGCUUCAGGAUACUCCCCCUAAUAUUGACUCCCCCUGAAAACUACACACUAGGUAAAACUACUACAUUGAUCAUGCUUCUUGAAUAACUUAAUAGUCAGCAUGAUUUAAAGAGGUUUUUGUUUCAUAUACCUCUAAGAUUAUUGUAUUCCCUAUAGUAAAGACAUAACCAGUUGGGAAUAAGCCUUGUAUGGGUUUACAUAACCCGUGUCAGCAUAUUUAACAAGGCAAACAUCAUUCCAAGAAUCAUAGGCGGUUGAUCCAUUCCAUGAUGCCUAGGGAUAGAACGAGCCAUUUUCCGUCAUACAUUUAAAGUAACGAAAAAUUGUCUUUUAUGCCAUUUACAGAGGCGGCGUGUUGGCGCAGAUCUAUAUCUAGCUAACAAAUUCACAUCGGGUGAGAUGUCCAGUCUAGGGCAUUUAGCCAAGUACAAUAAUGUGCCUAUUGUACUUAGAUAUGAGUCUUCUGGUCCCAAUAUCUCUUCAUUAUCAUCUACACGAUGAUACGAGUCUCACUAGACUUUAGACGAUUAUGAGUGAGCUUGAAGACUUUGAUUUAUCCUCAUUAAAGUAUCUUAACAUCUUCUAGAUGUAAUUUGAUUGAUGGACCAAAAUUCCAUUUGCACUUUACACGACUCCAGGUCGAGAAAAUGAUUUGGUCUCUGAAAGUCUUUUUAUCUCAAACUCCGACUUCAGAUGUUUUAUGGUUUUCUUGAUCUCUUCAAGAGUAUCAAUCAAAUUCAUGCCAUUGACGUAGAUCACCAAAAAUUGCAAACCCGAAGUUUGUUUUCUUAAUAAACACGCAUGGGCAUAGUCCAUUGUUCAUAUAUCCCAUCCCAAGCAAAUAUUCACUUAGACAGUUAGACGGUUAUACCAACUCCGUCUGGAUUGUUUGAACCCCUAAAGUGAACUACUCUAGCAAAUGGAGAGCAUGUUCUGUAGUCUAGAACUAUUUGCAUUGGGUAACAGAAGUCCUUCAGGAACCUUCAUGUAUAUCUCUAUAUUCAGAUCCUCAUAGAGAUAAGUUGUUACCACAUUCAUAGGCUGGUUAUUCAGUUAUUCGGAAACUACCAAACUGAUAAGGUAGUGGAACGUUUAUGACUUCCAUUACAGGAAAAUACUUCUCCUCAUAAUCAAUCACAGGGCGUUGAGAAAAUCCUUGCGCCAUUAGAAGAGUUUUGUAUAUCACAAUCUCAUUUUUCUCAUUACGUUUCCUUACAAGUACCCAUUAAACUCUAUAUGCAUGUUUAACAUGGGGAGGUGUGAGAACAACAGGCCCAUAACACCUUUCUCUAAGUUAAGGAAUCUAAUAUGACCCGGAUUGUUUCUUUCCUCUUUAGCCAGUCGUCUCUUCGUUGAGAUCUAUCAACGAAUCAAGGUUCGACAUCAUGGCUUAUUAUAAUUUCGGUGGCCACCGCAAAUACAAAUACAUCAUCGAUGAACUCUCAUUCCGAUUCAAUAUCUCACUAAAUUUACCGAGAUUUUCUAUUCUCGGGAGUGGGUUUAAAUGUUGGAGCGUCCCCCAACUUCGUCUCUUCUAAGACGAACCCAUAAUCUGGAUUAAUCUCGUGAGUUGAAUUGGUUUGAGAUUGCGAUGGCAAGAAGAUUCAUUUGUGCCAAGUUUACCCUCUUCUAGGGAUAAGAAUCAUUCGAACCUAAUGGUCUACCUCGCUUCAGGGCAGGGACUAUGACUAGUUAGCCGCCAUGGCCGUACUUUGUCCAACUAGGACGAUACGUCCUACGGGGAUAUUUAUCCUUGCAGGUUUGCAGCAGGUAUAUAUGAUCUCGUCACUUUAACUAGAUCUAAUAAAGUGUCUGGCAUAUUCUGGGAUACACUACAUAGAUCUAGAAUUCUUUACACUUCAACUAGAAGUAGAAUUCUUCGCACUUCAACUAGAAGUAGAAUUCUUCGCACUUCAACUAGAAGUAGAAUUCUUCGCAUUUCAAUAUAACAUGUGCGGUUUGGGGAUCAAGAUGAGACAUUCUACAUGUCGUUCAUCAGGAACGCUCACGUUCUUAUCUCCCCCUAACGGCGGGAAGACUGUCUUAUCAAAGUGACGACCGCAAAUCUAGCGGUAUAGAGAUCUCCUGUCAAGGGCUCUAAGGAGCACAUAUAUGGAUAGGGUUCAUAAUCGAUAUAUAUGCCCAUCAUUUGUUGAGGACCCGAUUGUGUACGUUGUGGCGGCACAAUUGGCAUGGAGACUGCAAACCCAAUACGUGUAAGUGCAAAAACAUCAGGUUCACACCCAGUCACCAACUGUAACACGAAAUAAGACGGGUAGCAGUGGGCCUCAACUGGACCGACAUAGCUGCAUGCAAGAUUGCAUAGCCCGACGCAAAUAGUAGAAGCUUGGUGCACAUUACCAAGGUUCUAUAUGCGAGACCAUCUUGGGUUUGAACAUAGAAAACUAUAUGUUUUACAAAACCCAAGGGAUAUGCAAUAAUCAUCGAAAACCUUCGAUGUAAACUCUCCGGCAUUAUCAAGUCUUAUAGACUUUAUGGUAUAAUCCGAGUGGUGUACCCUCUAUUUCAUAGGUGAGAGUUUAGCAAACGCAGCAUUUUCUUGUGGACAAUAGUGUGACAUCUGAUCACUUUUAUCGAUGCAUCAACCAAAACCAUUAAUAUUUAACUGGUCCGUAUGAUGGUUGGAUAGGUCCACGUAUUUUUUCUUGCAUUCUGUGCAUAAAAAGAUAAUGUACAUUCUAGUCUUUGCAUGUGAUGGUCUAGAAUUCAACAUUCUUAACGAGCAGCUUGAUAUAAUGUGUCAUUAAAGACAAGACCCUUAUUCUAAGGGGGAUGCUCGUGUGAUAAUUGAGUUGAGGAUACGGUGCAUCAUAUGUUUUUCCCGGGUGCAUCAAACACCAAUACUAUAGUUAGUAUUUGCUCGAAUCAUUUAGCUUCUAGCUAAUAAAUCUGAAUGUAUUCAAUGUACGCUUCUAGCCGCACAUUCAAAGGUUAUGCAAAGAUAUUACACCAUUUUUCUAGUGGUUUCAAUGUUUUAAGCAUUGGUUCAAAUGAACUUACCUUUUGAUAACGUUCUUCUAAAACGUAGAGGUAUUUUGCCUCGUCAGUUAGAUGAGAAUGCUCAGUUCCUUAAUAUUGAUAACACGUAUCAAUUUUGAUUUAGAUUCUAGGGCAUCAAGCCUUUUCAUUUCAAUAUUCUCUAAUUAUGAUUUGCUUCAAGCAAGGAAGAUGUCUACUUCAAAUAAUUUCUUCUGGAGACUACCAAUUAACAUGAUAAAAGCUACCGAUUUUAUCAUGUCUGGUGAAUUUUGGAAUGAAACUUCAAGUUUCUUAAUGGAGGGAUUAUCGAAACUACAAGUUUGAUUUAUACAUGAACUACUGGUACAUUUCUGAACUACCGGUUCAUUUCUGAACUACCGGUUCAUUAGGUAUAUGUAUUUUCAAAUUAUAAACAUGUAACAAUUGAUGAAAUCAAUUCCACGCUACUAAUUUAGCAUAGUGAAUAUGUCAUGUAAUUAUGUGUAAUUGCUUCUAGUAAUUAAAUACACAUUAAAUAUGGUGAAUAUAUUAACAACAGUCAUUAUGAGAAAGUAUUUGGAGUGUCUUAUAGACAUACAUAAUGACUAGGUACGAAAAACCAGUGUCAUUAGAUUAUUUUCCUUUUGUUUGAUUCUGCUGGACCAAAGGAAUUGACUGUAAUUAAAGUGAAAUAAAUAAACCUAGCCUCUACAUACUUUACAAGCCUACGGGGCACAAUCUGAGAGGUAUGUUGGCCGGGCUCUUAGGCCCCGUAGAGGGAGAGUGGCCUACUGGGCUCAGAAUGGUCUGCCAAGAAAUGCAAUGUUAUUAAUCAACCCUUUCGGUAACUCCAAUUGAAUUGUAUACGACCAGGUAAGCCAUGAUGAGGUGGUGGAGCGAGGCUCACUUAAGUACACAUCCUCAAAAGUACUUGCCUAGACAUCGCAUCCAACUAGGUGAGCCUAGUUUGAGAAAAAUUAUAAUCAUUGUCAUGGACUCAAGGCGACACAUGAUGAGCUUAUGUUCUAGCUUUGCAGCUUACGUCGAGCUUCUGGCUCAAUUUCAUUUAUAUUCAUGUUUGAUUUAAGCUUCUGACUUAAUAUCAUUAAUAUUCACCAAUGUAACAUAAACCAGUGCAAUAUAUGUUAUUAAAUCAUAACAGACAAACUUAAUGUGAAAGUAAUUAUAUGAAACCGAAAUAAAUUAAAUUAUAACGGAAACAAUUUAAUUCUCAUUGACAUAAUGUAUAUGCAAUAAAAUUGGUAUUUACUGAACCAAUAAAUGUCAACACCGUAGCGGUUACGUGCAAAAUAAAUUCAUUUGCAUCAUUAAUUGCUUCCGGCAAAAUGCGUCAUUACAUCCCCAUAACAAUUCAUAUAAAUAAUAAUAUAAUAGAGAAUUGAUUAAAUAAAACUGACGCAAUUUGAAUUUGGUAAUUAACCGACAUUUAAUAUAUGGCAUAAAUUACUAAAUAAAUAUCAUUUAUGCAGCGGUUAAAUAUGUACCAAAGACAAUGAGUACAAAUCUCAUUAAUGCUUCUAGCAUUACACAUAGGUAUUAAAUUGGAUAAAUGCUUCUGGCAUAACGUUUAUGUAAUAAUCGCAUAAUUAAAAAUCAAAACUCAUGCUUCUAGCAUAAUGGAUUAUAAUGACAUAAUUUAAAUUGGUAUAACCGAAAAUUAAACUCAUAUCGUCUAUCGUAAUUUGCACAAUGAUUUGACCCAUAAUGCUUGUACUAUAACAUAUGGGUUAUAACUUGGUAAAUGCUUCCGGCAUUACAUGCCCUUAAAUGCUUCCAGUUAUAACGUCUUUAUACAUGCCCUUAAAUGCUUCCGGCAUUAUAUGCCCUUAAAUGACAUUGAAUUUGACACAAUUCAAAUCUGUAACUGACAAAACGUAUAUAUUAAGUCACAAUUAAGUAAAAUCAGUGCUACGCGUCAUUAUACAAAUAACGUUACAUUUCUAAAUGGAUUUUAUUCAAACCUCAUUAUUAGCAAUGUUAAUUUGUAUCACUAAAUGCUUCAGGCAUAAAUAUUCCAUAUAUGUAACCGUUGAUAUAAAUGACAAAAUUAAUGGUCCUACAUUACCGAUUACAUGCAUUACUUCCAGAAUGCAUUCACGCUCUUGUGUUCGAAUGUCAGAGAAUGAUAGUGGAUCUGAAGUUCGUUCAUCCAUGCGCCUUUUGGUAUGCACUACUAGGCAUGCGAUUGGGCUUAUUUCGGUGGCUACUGGCCUCCCUGAAGAUUUUUAUGUCUUUUAUGUCAAUCACAAAACAUGAACAAAUUUAUAUACCACAUACGUAUUUAUCAUCUGAAUAAAUUAAGAAUAUAAAUUUAGGUCUUCAUGUAUCGUAUAUAGAUUUCAAAAUGCAACCAAAGACAAUGGGUUCAUGCUUCAUGGUGAUUUGUUCAUCAUAUAAUCAAGGCUAGCAAAUAUGAAUUGGAAUUAAGAUAAGAAAACGUUACUCAUUGCAGAACGGAUAAUCUCCAUCUUUUAUGUGUAGAACGGAGAAUGCCAUUUGUGUAGCUACUCAGCCAAUCCAAGAGCUUGGUUAGAUAAUGAUCCUCAUAUGGUUGAUCAUCGAUUUCAGAGCUUUCCAUGUCAAUGUAGAGCGAAUUCGAUGAAUCAAAUUGAAAAAUCAUCCUUUGCUUUUAGAGCUUCACAUGCAAUAGAAAACAAGAUAAUAUUAGAACUAUUCGUACUGAUAACGUGUUGUAAAACAAAAAGAAUAGAUUGAGAAAGGAGAGAAACAACCAAGAGAAUGAGAAAAUAUGUAUAUUUUAUUGAGUAGGGAACCAUCUCUUAUAUAGAGAUGAGGCCAUGAUGUAAAUUAUAAUAACAACCCUAGUCGGCUAAUUACAAGAAUGCCCACUAAGUAAUAACUAUUUACAACAAUAUGACCCUUUUUCACUUGGGGAUAAGUAACUAAAGAUAUUGGAUAAAAACGAAGGGUAAAUUUAAAUACAGUAUGCCAUAUGAGUAAAGUAAAGCAAUGCAACUUGAUGAAGCAGCAAUACAAAUAAGUGAAUGACUUGCUACUAAAUGUUUAGGAUCGCAUACCACACCUUGAUGAGUUUCAUUCAGAGCACCAGAUCCCCCAGAUGCAAAGUUCACUCCAUAAACAUAGUUAUAUAAACCGGGUUGUAGAUAUGGUGGAAUCAAUGGCAAAUUCGAAUACUGAGCUGCAGUAAUAAUUUGAUCAACCAGCUGUUAACUUACAAUACUAGAUGGUAAGGAAAUUAAAACAGCACACUUCAGUUGCAGCUUAUGUUACCAAUGAAGUCUGGAAUUUGACGCCCAUCAGUGUAUCUCCCGGUGGCGUACCCGAAAUAGGUUUCUCCAUAUGGCUAGAAGUUGGCCUGUGCAGUCUUGGGAGUGUUAAUGUAGUUAUUGUUUCCAGCAUCAAAUAGUGAAUCCCCAAACACAAACAAAGGCUUGUGUCCCUUUUGAACAGAGAAGUGACCAAGGCAACUGCCCGGAAUAACAAGCCUAGCACAGAAGGCCAACACAGAAAUAUAACAAAACCUUAAAGUUGCCAUGUAUGGUGAUCAAAUUACUUUGUGCCUGCUUAUCUUAUAUCUCCUUGGUUUGCUAACUAUUACCUAUUUAUAGAUCUUCUGCUGUAUACCGGUGAGAGAUUAAGGAAUCUAAUAAACAUUGGAUAGUGGACUAGAAAGUUUAUAUUACAUAUUUUUACGAAGACAAUAGUACAAUACAAUUCAAACAAGCAAAAUCAUGAACAUUGUUCAACUUUUGUGGAGAAAAAUAUUUUGAUUAAACUCCUGGUCAUAGAGGAGAAACUAAACCGAAAGUUCUGAAGACAUCCAACUGUUGAUCUAUAUACCAUAGGUUUGGAUUAAAGAAUAUAUAUGCACUCAACAAACUGCAUAUAUACUGUUCUAGAUUAACUAGCUGGAGAAAUUUUUUGCAGCUUUACAAUAUAUUCAACAUCUUUGGAGUAGUAUAUGAAAUUAAAGUUGAAGAAAACUAUUGAAGAAAAAUUCAGAAGAAUUAGCCUAUUCCAUAUUUACAUAUGACUUGUCGUGCAUCUAGAUUAGUUGAAGUUGAUGGCUUCCACCUUUGUUAUCUUGGUUGGGUGAAGAUUAAUUCUGAUGGCUCAUGGAAACAUGAAGAGGGAGUUUAAGGGAGUGUAAGGUUAUUGGUGCAAUUUUUGGGGAUUAUAACUUAUAAGGGUCACUUUCUUGGUGCUUUUGCAAUUCCUAGUUCGAUUGCUGCGGGGAUAAUGGCUGUUAUUAAGCUAGGCUUGAGCUUGCUUGGGUUUGUGAUGGGAAACAUAUUUGGCUGGAGAUAAUAUUGUGCUUGAUCGUAUACGUAGACUUUCUCUUGUCCCUUGGCCACUUUUGAGUUCGAGUAGUACUAGAAAGGCUGAUAACUUCACCGUAUACUAUUACUCUGAUCAUAAACUCUCUACACUGAAGUGACUUUCUUAAUUUCCAAUAAUGUCCCGUAGUAUUUUGCAGUUGGAAUCACCAAACUGCAAGUUAACUGUCAAUUUGAUCAAUGUAAUCAGUAGUUUCAAAUAGUGCUUUAAGAUUGUAGGGGCUCAACAUAACUGGGCGGAUAGUUUGGCCAGCUGUUAGUUGAUAUAUAGACCCUUUCAGUUGGAUGAGAAGCGUCGAAGAACACAUAUUCACUCACGUCGCAGAACACAUCAUUCAUACUCUGUCUUUUACACCAUCCUUCCCCGAUCAACAGUUUGGAAUUCCUCCAUAUGGACCAUUUUCCACAGCAUUGCCACCUUUUCUUUCACGAAACCUUUCGAAUCAACAAUAAUAGUCUAAAAUGUGAGAAUGCAUGUGAAGAGUUGUACGUACCCCCAUUUGAGAAGGUAGUCAUUUACCUCGAUUCCUCAAGGGGGUGAAGGGGCAAAAUGCAUGGAUUGUCAAAAUUACAAAGAAACUGAAAUUAACAACAACAAAAACAUAUAUAAUCGGACUGCAUCCAUGCACAAUUGAUGNNNNNNNNNNNNNNNNNNNNUAUAUAUAUAUAUAUGAUUUUUUUCAGUUGCGGACGUCCGCACCAAUGAUUUUGGUNCGGAUUUCCAUUUUUGCACCACUUUUUGAUCGAAUUUCCUCAUCUCCACCGUCUAGUAUCUAGAUAAUAUUGUGUAGAUCAUCUCUACAAAAUUUCAGCCAAUUUGGUAAUCGUUAAGGCCCUCAAACUCGAAAAACAAAUGGACGGACUGAAUUCUGUCCGGUUCAUGUUUAUACUAGAAAAACACAAUUUUGAGGGCCUUAACGAUCACCAAAUUGGCUGAAAUUUUACAGAGAUAAUCUACAUAAUAUUAUCUAGAUACUAGACGGUGGAGAUGAGGAAAUUCGAUCAAAAAGUGGUGCAAAAAUGGAAAUCCGCACCAAAACCAUUGGUGCGGACGUCCGCACCCAAGAAGGGCUAUAUAUACACACACACACUGAGUCAUGGAAAGUUUAAAUUGCCAAUACAACAUACACUCUGUUAGCGACAAUCUCUCAUAACCACUCUUCUCCUCAAAUCAAGAGUGAUUCUGAUUCUCUUUCCUAAUUAUAUGCUUGAUUUCAUUCUGUGUGAUUGAUACAUUUUACACACUCGACCAUAUCGAUAAUCUCUAUCUUGUAUACAUAAGCAAGAUAAGGUACUUGGUCAAUUUCAAUUUUCGAAUAGUGCUUUGAGAUUGUAAGGAGCAGUGGAGUUGGGAGUUCCACUCCAGAAUAGCAUAGCAAAUUGCUGAUUGACCCUUUCUGUUGGAUGACCAGAGUCGAAGAAGACAUGGUCACUUGUAUUCGGGCAUAAAUCAUACUCUUUGGUUCCUCUCUGGCCUCCGCAGCUGAAAGUUCCUCUAAACGGACCACUUCCGCAACAUGCCACCUUCCCCUCCUUAAAACCUAAAGAUACCACCAGGACAAAAUUAAAAUGAGUUUAUAACCUCCAUACACAAGAGCUAUAAUAUGAUGGCAACUAGAUAGUAGCGGAAGUGGUGUAAACCCAAAUAAACUAGAUAGUAGCACUAAACCCAAAUUACUGUAAUAUGCAUAUCAAAAAGUUAUAUAAACACACACACAACCAAGAAAUGAAAAUGUACCAUAUUUAGAAGGGUUAUUUAUCCUGUCACUCAGAAACUCAUUAUAGUUGGAAAGCGAGUAUCUGAAUCCCUUGAGUUCAGUCUCCAGCUUCUGAAGGAGUUUGGGAAGUUCUUCAUUAUGGAGUUGUACAUAUGGUGUAAUCGCUUCAAAGCAUCCACCUUCUUUCCCCAAUGGUCUUGAGAAUGGUAUACAACCAAGCGGAUCAAGGGUAAGAAACCCAAACUUUCUUCCUCCUUUGUUGUAUAUUUCCUGUUACAAUCGGUCACUCUAUUAAUAAUUUAUUACCAAUUAUCAUUAGCAACUACCAUAUGUAUGAAAAUGAGAAAUUGAGUUAUCUAAUUUAUUUUGGAGUACAUAGGCUUACUUUGAUCGCUGUUGUUAUGUUGCCUAGAACCAUUCCUACAAAUUCUCUGUGAGAGUGGGUUCGAAGGAUGCUGGAGUUUGUCCCGAAUAUGUACGAGUAAUCGUUGCUUCCGGCACUAAACAAGUAAACAGCUCUUGAUAUCAGAGUCUUGGCUUCUUCAUCCCCCAAGUUCUUCGUCAAUGACUCACGAACUCGCUCAAAAUGUGAGAGUUGAGAAUGAAGGUCUAUCACCUGAAACAAGGUUCAGAGAACAAAUACACAUCUUGUUAAAGCUUAGUCAAGCAUAUAGACAAGUCUUAACUUUCAUGAUUAAGACCCAGUUAACUAAUUCUAUAAUCAUGUAAAUGAUCUUAAUUGUUAACAAAACUUCAGACGCGAUUAGGGUCAUUUACAUGAUUAUAGAACUAGUUAACUGGGAACUACAUAGUACAUAUGGUGCAAAAUCACACGUCACAUACCAAACCGUGGAAAGUUUCAACCAGAGCACCAGCUCCUGCAGAUGCAAAAUUUGAGCCAUUUGUAAAUUGCUGGUUGCCGGGUUGUAGAUACGGUGGAAUUAUUGGUAGGUUUGCGUACUCAGCUGUAUCAGUAAAAAUAUUAGGGCAAAGCUAUUUUUACUCUUAAUAUUUAUGUACUAGUCUUAUUCGUGAUAGUAAAGUAUCUGUAAGAAAGUUACCUAUGAAAUCCGAAAUUAGACGACCAUCCGAAAAUCUUCCCGUUGGGUUCUUAAAAAAGGUUUCACCAUAUGGCUGAAAAUUUGCCCGAUAACUAGUGUUGGUGUAGUUAUUGUUUCCGGCAUCAAAAAUUGAAUCCCCAAAGAUGAAAAGGGAUGCAUGUACCUUCGACGACAACCCACUCACGCUGUGGCUUAGGGUCGUGAGGAUGAGAAGGCUUGUACAGAAACCAAAGAUAAAAUCAUGGAAGCUGGUGUCUGCCAUUUUAGACGCAGUGAUCUUCACCAAUUGUAGUUUCACUUGCUAUUUAUAAAGGCAUGCAUGCAUUUGGGGGAAGGUGCAACAGAAACAGAUCAGAUAUCAAGCAUAUGAGGUUUUGGAAAGUUAGACAACCAUUAACAUGCAAGCUGGUGUUUGCCAUUUUAGAUGCAAUGUUGUAUCUUCACCGAUUUUAGUUUCAGUUGCUAUUUGUAAGGGCGUGCAUUUGUUGUCAGGUGCAACAGAAACAGAUCGACCAUAUAAGCUUUUGGAAAGUUAAACAACUAUUAUCAAUAAAAAUCCCAAACCAAAACAAUUGAACGGAAGUCAUCCUCUUUCAUAUUAAUAUAUUACAUCGUUUUUAUUAACUUGUUAAUGCAUGGUGGCCAACGUGUUCUUAAUGCAUGCUUUGCUCCAAAGUGUUCUCAUAUCGAGUAAUUUAGAAAUUUUAUGACAAUUUUGGGUCGUCGCCGAUAUCAUUGUUUCUUGUAGUGAACAGAGAGUUAACAUUGUCAAAUGUGAAUACAGUGCUAAAAAUCAAGGUCCUGAUGAUAAAAACUUCAAGGUAUAGCAAGUAAGCAACAAUGACGAAAAUUGGAAAACAUAACGAGACAAAGAACAAAGAGAAAGGUGAAUUGGUAUUAGAAUGUUGGUAAUUAUACAAAAUGGUUGCAAUCUGUAAUGAAAGAAGAACGAAGAACCAUUAUCCCAACCUAUUUCAUUAACGAAGAACUUCUGCAUAUAUGAGAGGGUGAUGCUGAUUAUAUAACCUAUUCUCCAAGCUGAUAAGAAUAUUGUCGGACUAUAUAUGGUUUGGGCCUGCUAGGAUAUGGACUGGGCCUGCUACACUAUUGCCUCUAUAUUCUUAACAUACAGAUCCAAUCGAUAACUCAAUCUAGUAUCUACAUAUGAAGAAUUUAAUUAAGACAUAUAUAGUUUGUAAUUUUCAUUCGAAUAGUGCUUUGAGAUUGUAAGGAGAAGUGGAAAUAGGAGUUCCACUCCAGAAUAGCCUAGCAAAUUGCUCAUUGACCCUUUCUGUUGGAUGUGCAGAGUCAAAGAAGACAUAUUCACUUGCAUUAGGGCAUAACUUAUACUCUCUGAUACCUCUCUGGCCUCCGCAGCUGAAAAUUCCUCUAUAUGCACCGCUUCCACAACAUGCCGCCUUCCCCUCCUCAAAACCUUAAUUUGCCAAAAAUGAAGUACAAUGAGUACUUGAAUAACCUUAAAACUUAACAUACAUAUACAGUAUAUAUGUAUACGUAAAUAUGUAGCCAAGAAAAUGAAAAUGUACCAUAUUUAGAAGGGUGAUUUAUUCUCUCUCUCAGAAACUCAUUAUAGUCAGAAAGGGAGUAUCUGAAUCCCUUGAGUUUCGUCUCCAGCUUCUGAAGGAGUUUUGGAAGUGCUUUAUUGUGGAGUUUUACGUACGGUGAAAUUUCUUUAAAGCAUCCUCGACCGUUUUGUUCCUGCUCAACUACUCUUGCGAAAGGUAAACAACCAAGAGGAUCAAGGCUAAGAAACCCAAAAUUUCUUCCUCCUUUCUUGUAUAUUUCCUGGUACAAUGAAAAUCACUUUCUUAUUACUAUUUAUUUUCCCCUUCAUCAUUUAGCGAGUACCAUAUGUAUAAAAGGGCCGGAGAAACAACUUGGUUAUUAUUUUGGAGUACUGAAAGCUUACAUUGAUCGCUGCAGUUAUGUUGCCUAGAACCGUUCCUACAAAUUCUCUGUGAGAUUGAGUUCGAAGGAUGCUGGAGUUUGUCCCGAAUAUGUACGAGUAAUCGUUGCCUCCGACACUGAACAAGUAAACAGCUCUUGAUAUCAGAGUAUUGGCUUCUUCCUCCCCCAAGUUCUUCGUCAAUGACUCACGAACUCGCUCAAAAUAUGAAAGUUGAGAAUGAAGGUCUAUCACCUGAAACAAGGUUAAGACAACAUCACACCAAAUAAACAUUUUGUUAACAAUUAAGCAGAGACAAGUCUUACAAAAUUUUUAUAUACACGCAUGGCUUUCUUAACGGCAAUUAAUUAAUCAAUUAAUUAAUUAAGGUCAAUUACAUGAUUAUAGAACUAGUAAAUUGGUGAACGAUAUAAUUGAACAUAUAGGUGCAAAAUCACACGUCACAUACCAAACCUUGGCUAGUUUCAACCAAAGCACCAGCUCCUGCAGAUGCAAAGUUUGCACCAUAUGUAAAUUGAUGAUUGCCUGGCUGCAGAUAUGGUGGAAUGAAAGGCAGGUUUGCGUACUCAGCUGGAACAACAAAAUAUUUAAGUACGUACGUAUGUAAAGUUAUUUUCACUAAUCAAUAGUAUUCUUAGAACUCCUCGAUAUAAAUUGUAUGGUAUAUUUAUUUUACCUAUAAAAUCAGAAAUUAGACGACCAUCGGAAAAUCUUCCCGUUGGGUGCUUGAAAAAGGAUUCACCGUAUGGCCGAAAAUUUGCUCGCAGACUAGUGUUGAUGUAGUUAUUGUUUCCAGCAUCAAAAAUCGAGUCGCCGAAGAUGAAAAGGGAUACAUGUUCCUCCGACGGCAACCCGAUCUCGCCGUGGCUUAGGGUAGUGAUGAUGAGAAGGCUUGUACAGAAACCAAAGAUAAACUUAUGGAAGCUGCUGUGUGCCAUUUUAGACGCAGUGAUCUUCACCGAUUGUUGUUUCAGCUAGCUGCUAUUUAUAAAGCCAUUUGGGGGCAGGUUCAACAGAAACAGAUCAAGCACAUGAGGUUUUGGAAAGUCAAACAACCAGAACAAUUGAACGUCAUCAUCUUUUAUAUUACACUCUUCAUCGACUUGUUCAUAGAAAUAUAAGUUUCCAUACAUCUGCUCUUGAAAAUUUUGACUUUUAAUAUUAGGAAGAUAAUUAUAUGUGAGUAGAAUCUGGAUUGCUUGUAUCAUUCUGUGUUCGAGAAUAAACUUUCCCCAGCAGACACUCGCAUUUUGAUUGCAUAUAAUGGAACUAGUACCUCUUCCAGAAGCAAAGACGUAUUCUUUUUCGCCAAGAGAUAACUAGUAGUGGCAUAUGGAUGCAUAAGAAUGAAAACUUCAGUAUGUGUUCAAUCCUAAAUUCCAAAUCGAUCUAUAUUCUCCUACUUGAUACCAUAUAUUAUAUCUCUAUAUGUGCACUGGACCAAAUUGUUAAUUACUUUGAUGAUAUGAAAGGGUCAUUUAUAAAAGGAUGUGCUAGCUAGCUAGAGCAUCUUCCUCUUUUAUUUAAAGGUUAAAAUUUAGCUUUAGUAGAUGGCGAAGCUUCUCUAUACGUUGAGGUAGGCAACUUACUCAAGCCUCGACGGCACACGCACAAGUAGUACACCCAUUCAACAACUUGAAACUUAUUUUGCAUAUAUUUAUAUAUAGAUGGAUCCAUUGAAAAAUUCUGAAUGUGAUUGAAACAAUUUGUGUUAUUAAUCCCUCUACAAGAUAGGGUUUUAUUUGUGGGGUUGUGCUGAUGAUAUUCUUCCUCCUGCUAUCUUAACUUAGUACUUGCUUUGGAAUAGUUCUUUCAAACUGUAAAGUCCGGUGGAAUUGGCAGGUACUCCGCUCCAGAAUUGUUUAACAAAUUGCUGAUAGAGCCUUUCAGUUCCAUGACCCGAGUCAAAGAAGACAUGCUCGCUAACAUUCUCACAUAACUCAUACUCAGUCACACCUCUCUUUCCUCCACAGCUCAGAAUUCCAUUAUACGGACCGCUUCCACAGCAUGCCACUUUUCCUUCCUCAAAACCUUUUGAUAAAAAAACAAUGUAUCAACAAAGAAGUGUAAAGUUAUUUCACGUAUGACAUAUAUAUCAUGAAGAAUGAAAGAGAUGACUGCACAAGUAUGUACGCACCAUAUUUUGAAGGGUAGUCCAUUCUUUCUUUAAGAAAAUCAUGAAAUUCUGAAAAUGAGUAUUUGAAUCCCUCGAGCUCUUUCUCUAGAUUUUCCAGGACUUUUGGAAAUUCUCUGUUGUGCAGUGUGAUAUAUGGUGUAAUUUCAUCCAAGCAUGCACCACUUUGUCUCACUUCAAGUAUUCUGGCGAAGGGUACACAAGCGAGGGGCCAAAUGCUGAAAAACCCAAAAUGUCUUCCUCCUUUCUUAUAUACUUCCUAUCAUAUCAAAAUUUACAAGUAUGAUUUGUUAUCCAUGGUGACCAACAAUAUAUUUGGCUUAGUGUUAUCAAAAUGGAUAAUAUGACAAGUGAACACACUUGUUUUAAUUUUGUUGAGUCUGAUCAUAACAUAACAUGCAUGUUUGAUAUCUAACAAUAGAGAUUGUUAUUUAUAAUCAAGUACUAAUGAAAAACUUACCCUAGCCUGACCAGUCCAGUUAUGUUGAGUAUAACCACCCCUACAUAUUCCUCAGGAGAGUAAGAUCGAAGCGUGCUGGAGUUUGUCUCAAAUGGAAAAACGUAAUCGUUGCUCCCAAUGCUAAAUAAGUAUACAGCUCUUGACAGUAAAGCCUUCACUUCUUCACUCCCUAAUUUCUGCCUCAACGUUUUCCUGGCACUCUCAAAAUAUAUGUUGAGUAUGAAGGUCUAUCACCUGAAAAAAUGCUCGAUCGACUAAUUACAAGAAUAAAUUAGUUGCACAUUAUUAUGGAAUGAAGUAAUCUACUGAUAUGCAUUCAAGUAGAUUGGAGAUAUAAUGGAGUAAAUGGUGGAUCGGGAUUCUGACAUAUCCUUUCUAUGAAUGUUUAUAGGAUCUUAAUAUAUGUAAUCAUGCCUUUCCUAGAAUAGUUAUCAUGGUAGAUGUAUAUAGACCAAUUCAUUGUACUGUUAUCAUAUCUAUAUAGAACAUAUUUCAUUCACAAUUUCUUUAUGGUAUCAGAGCACUGAUCUUGGUGACUCUAGAGACUCAUCCAUCUUCCGCAAACAUAUCAAACACAGUCAAACUAGACACUAUCAAAUCGACGUUAUGGCCAACACAGAAGAACACACUGUCCAAAGCCUCACCAGAUAUGACAUACCUGCAUAUCCUACACCACAACGCAUAGUCACACCCAACUGCAAUAUCACACAUACUGAUCCUCAUUAUACAUUAUAUUGGAUCGUAGACAGUGGAGCAACGGAUCAUGUUUCUUAUUUAUCACCUACUCACAACAAAAUUACAACAUCUCAUAAUUUUGUUGGUCUACCUAAUGGUGGGAAAGCCACCAUUGAGAGCAUUGGAACAAUUAAGUUGUCAACAGAUUUGAUCUUGAUGGUGUUCUUCAUGUACCUAAAUUCCGAGUAAAUUUGAUAUAUGUGAGUAAAUUGACUCGAGCUUUGAAAUGCAUUGUGAUUUUUUACCCGGAUUUUUGUGUUGUGCAGGACGUGGAUACGAAGAGGACGAUUGGCCUGGGCAAGCAUUUUAACGGACUCUACUACCUCAACCCAAGCCAAAACCCUCACCUAGCAAAUCAUGUCACACGUACCUCAGACCUUUGGCAUCAAUGGCUUGGACACCUGUCAUCUUCACCUAUUCACUGGUUAUCUCAAACCAUUCCUAAAAUAGUUUUUGAUCCACAACAUGUGUGUGAUAUUUGUCCUUUAGCCAAACAAACUCGUUUAUCUUUUCCUUCAGGUUCAAUAAAAUCCACUACACCUUUUGACUUGAUUCAUUGUGAUAUUUGGGGCCCUCACAAAACUCACACUCAUUCUGAAGCACGUUAUUUUCUCACCAUUGUUGAUGAUUUUACUCGCUUCACUUGGGUUCAUCUCAUGAAAUUAAAAUCCAACACACAACCCUUGAUCCGAAAUUUCUUCUCUUGGGUUAAAACACAAUUCCAACGUGAUAUCAAAAUCUUGCGUGCCGAUAAUGGGGGUGAAUUUACAUCAAUGCGUUCUUUUUUUGAUUCCCAUGGUACCAUUUUCCAACACACUUGCACUUACACUCCACAACAAAAUGGAGUCGUUGAGCGCAAACAUCGUCAUCUUCUAAAUGUGGCUCGUGCUCUUCGUUUUCAAGCCAAUUUACCUUUAAAGUUUUGGGGAGAAAGUGUUACUACUACUUGUUAUCUUAUAAAUCGACUCCCCACACCACUUCUUUCCCACAAAUCCCCUUAUGAGUUGUUACAUGGCAUUCCACCCACUUAUACUCACCUUCAGGUUUUCGGUUGCUUAUGUUUUACCACCAAUCUUACCCCAAAACACAAAUUCGACAAACGUGCAAAUCCUUGUAUCUUUCUUGGGUACCCUCUUGGACAAAAAGGUCAUCGAGUUUAUGAUCUUGAGAAUCAAAAUUUUUUUACCUCUCGAGAUGUUGUUUUUCGUGAACAUAUUUUUCCAUGUUCUGCACUUCCUAAAGAGGACCAAGAGGAUUUUCUAGUCCUUCCCAUCUCUGACACAAACCCAACCUAUUCUUUCAGCCCACUAUCCAAUCAGCCCAAUCCAAUUUCAGUUGAUAAUUCUCAUUCCACAACCAGAUCGGCCUCCACUUCUUCUCCAGACCCCAAUCCUUCUCCUCCUGACCUCACCUCGCCGUCACAGCCACCGGCGCCGGUCAACUCCGACCCCAUAUCGGCACCCCCCAACUCCGACCCUAAUCCGGUCGUUCCGGAUCCCAUGCCGACGCCGCUCCACUCACCUCUAAAGAUGUAUUCCCGUUGUCCUACAGCCUCCGACGCCACCACCUCGUCGGCGCCCCCUCCAGCGUUGCCAUCGUCAGCGGACCUUCCUCUUUCUUCUUCUCCAUCUCUUCUGCCGCCAUGCCCAAGCCAGCUGCUUCCCUUCCCGGCAGGAACCACACCACCAUCCCAGCCUCCGCCACCACCGGUGCAGCCUUCUCCACCACCACACUUACCACCACCGGCUUCCACUCCACCACCAUCACCUGAACCAGAAUCAACUCCAUUCCCGGAACCAGCCUUGACUCCGUCCUCACCUCCACCUGCAGUCACACGCCGAUCCCAUCGUACCCGCCAACCACCUCCCUACCUCAGUUAUUACCAAACUCACCACUCUGUUUUGCUUGGCCCAGACAACGGUCUCUCCUCCACGUCCGGCACUCGUUAUCCACUUCAGAGGUACGUCUCUUAUUCUGGCUUGUCAUCCGGUUAUCGCUCUUUUAUACACAAUGUUUCUUAGUUGGUUGAACCAGCAAGCUAUGAGCAGGCUCGUCAUGAUCCUAAUUGGGUUGCGGCAAUGCAUUCUGAGAUUCAGGCUCUUGAAGAUAACCGCACAUGGUCUAUGGUUCCUCUGCCUUCUGGUCAUCAUCCCAUUGGCUGUAAAUGGGUUUUCAAAAUUAAAUAUCAUGCUGACUGCACAAUUGAGCGCUAUAAAGCCCAGCUUGUAGCCAAGGGAUUCACACAACGCGAAGGUAUUGAUUAUAAAGAUACUUUUGCACCUGUUGCGAAAUUGAUCACUGUGCGUUGUCUGUUAGCAGUUGUUGCAGCAAGGCAUUGGCCUUUGCACCAAAUGGAUGUCCAGAACGCCUUCCUCCAUGGUCAACUCACUGAGGAGGUGUAUAUGCUGCCACCUCCUGGUUAUAGUCGACAGGGGGAGAACAUGGUUUGUCGACUUCACAAAUCCCUCUAUGGUCUUAAGCAAGCAUCUCGCAGUUGAUUUCAGCGUUUUCAUUCUGCCAUCCAAGAAAUUGGUUUUCAGCAAUCUCAUGCCGAUUAUUCUCUGUUUACACAAGUUCAUGGGAAUUCUAUUAUUGUGAUAUUGUUGUAUGUUGAUAACAUGGUUAUAACAGGGAACAAUGAGAAGGCAAUUGAAGAUCUCAAGAAGUUCCUCAACAGUUGUUUUAAGAUUAAAGAUCUUGGACCCCUCAAGUAUUUUCUUGGCAUAGAAGUUGCACGAUCCAAAGCUGGAAUUUCAAUUUGUCAACGUAAGUAUACGUUGGAUAUAUUGGAGGAGGCAGGACUUCUUGGUGUGAAACCUACCAAGGUACCUAUGGAGCCUGACUUGGUGUUAACUGAGAAAGGGAGUGAUGCUCUCAAGGAUCCCUCUCGGUAUAGGAGAUUGGUUGGGAAGCUAAUUUAUCUUACAAUCACUAGACCAGACAUUACAUAUGCUGUGAACACACUCAGUCAAUUUAUGCAGGAACCUAAGGUGCAUCAUCUCAAAACAGCAAACCGACUUCUUCAAUACCUUAAGGCAGUUCCUGGACAAGGCUUAUUAUUCCCUUCAGAUAGUUCACCCUUGUUGGUCGCCUAUUGCGAUGCAGACUGGGCAAGAUGUCCCAUCACCAGAAGAUCAGUAACAGGGUAUUGUAUUUUUCUUGGUAAGUCACUUGUGUCAUGGAAUUGUGUCAUGGAAAAGCAAGAAGCAAGCCACAGUUUCAAGAUCAUCUGCCGAAGCUGAAUAUCGUUCUAUGGCUGCAACCACGUGUGAACUCAGUUGGUUGAGAUACUUAUUGAAAGACUUGCAGGUGCAACAUCCUGAGGCAGCAAGGUUAUUCUGUGAUAAUCAGGCAGCCUUACACAUUGCAGUAAAUCCAGUAUACCAUGAGCGAACGAAGCACAUUGAGUUAGAUUGCCAUACGGUUCGAGAGAGAAUUCAAAAGGGUGAAGUCAAGACUGCUUAUGUGCAAACUGGAAAACAGAUUGCAGACUUGUUUACCAAGCCUCUGCAUGCGCCAAUAUUCCACACACACCUUAGCAAGUUGGGUGUGAUAAACAUUCACUCUGCAACUUGAGGGGGAGUAUUAUGGAAUGAAUUGUAAUCUACUGAUAUGCAUUCAAGUAGAUUGGAGAUAUAAUGGAGUAAAUGGUGGAUCGGGAUUUUGACAUAUCCUUUCUAUGAAUGUUUAUAGGAUCUUGAUAUAUGUAAUCAUGCCUUUCCUAGAAUAGUUAUCAUGGUAGAUGUAUAUAGACCAAUUCAUUGUACUGUUAUCAUAUCUAUACAGAACAUAUUUCAUUCACAAUUUCUUUACACAUAUCUACUGAUUUAUUAGACGCAUGCAUUUAGUUUUCAUUCAGUUUUCAUAGCUAGAGUUUACAUAUGGACUAUAUGCUGAAAAAUAAGUAACAAGCUUUCACAUAGGUUCCACUUUUAUUUCACAUACGUACAGAGCCUGCGCGAGUUUCAACUAGAGCACCAGCUCCUGCAGAAGCAAAGUUUACACCAUAUGUAAACUCAUGAUUACCGGGCUUCAGAUAUGGUUGGAUAAGUGGCAACUUCGCAUAAUCCGCUGCAAACAAUAAACUUAACAUGUCAAUGCUUAGGUUUAAUACACAACUUAACAAUAUUUCAACUUUCGAAAACUGUAUUACAUAUCAUACCAAUGAAAUCUGGGAUUAUGCGACCAUCGGAAAAUCUACCGGUCGGGGACUUGAAGAAGGUUUCACCGUACGGCCAAUAAUUUGCCUUUCCAAUUGUGUUGAUGUAGUUAUUAUUGCCAGCAUCAUAUAUUGAAUCGCCGAAUAUGAAGAGAGGUACAUGUUUUUUUGACUACCCGACAUGGCCGUGGCUUUGGGUUGUAACGAUGAGAAGGUUUGUACAGAGUGCAAAAACAAGCAUUUGAAACUUCACCAUAUUAUUAACUGAUCUGUCUCUACUACUAGAUACGUAAUAUAUAUCUUCACCUUGUUUAACUUAGAGCCUCCCAGUUAUGUAGUACUUCCAUUACUAUUUAUAGGAAAAUCCGGAGGGCCAAAAUUCUACAUAAUAACUAAACGUGCAUAUGAAGAAAAUAUAAUAGUAUGAUUCUAUUGAACAUGAGUUAGUUUAGAUUAUCUCCGGCAAAAAUGUCAAAAGUGAUCGCCAUGCCAAAUUUGAACACAUGCAUGUUUGUAAUUUGUAAAUGAUUCUUUUGUCUAUGUUUUGGCCACACCAGUAAGUCUGGGUAUGCAAAGUCUCUUUUAGUCGUUGCGGGCGUGUCACCGCGCGGACGCGGAAUGUAGUUGUUGUAGUAGCCGGGUGCGCUUAGUCUUCUGCUUCUAAUCAAGCGACUGAGGAUGGAGAGAACACCAACUCCACUACAGGGUUCUUCAGAUUCGCCUUGCGUACUGAGCAAGGACUUACAGUAGUCCGUCUGAGCGUCACAAUAUCGAUACUCGACGUAGGGUCGAGCAGAGCUUCAAUUGGAAAGGAGAGGAAAAAAAAACAAAGCUCCGGAGAGCGUACAAGGAAACUAAAGCAAAGCUCCAGGGAGCGUCUGGAGGUUCGACUAGGUCGAGAAUUGUAUUGUACUUUGUAAUUGUUGAGUUGUUGAGUGUUGUCUAGAGAGUGAGCCUCGAACUCUUUCAUAUAGAGUUAUUUAGGGCCACAUGUAUUGACCCAAAGCAUAUCAAAGACUUAUAGAAGUCUUCAACGAUAAAUGUGACGUAGGUGAUGUUAAUCGUUUGUUUAACACGAUUAUCCUUUCACUACAAAAAAAGUGAUCUAAGGCCACUUUAAUCGUGAGAUGAUUAUAUGGCACGAAAUGGCUAUUGUGGUACAUUACCUCACAUACAAUGGUAAACGUGAGUAUCCCAUUUUUGUAUAAUUUUUCCUUGCUUGCUUGUGUCAGAAAACUGACACUGCCACUAUUUUUUACCCUUAUUUAAUACUUUCUGAGCAAAAGAUGAGAAGACCCGAUUAUUAUUUUCUUUUUCCUUUUUUUCUCUUUAUUUUCAGCCAUACACUGGAUAAGCCUUAAGUUAUCUCAACACUUCAACUUUUUCAUCCCCUCUCUCUCUCUCUUGAUGAAACUCUCUCCCUGCUCUUGUUUCUUCGCGUCUCCGCAAUUAUUCUUUCAAUCUCAGAGGCUUCAUCACUACAGUCGAGCUAACAGCGACCCCAAACUGGUUAUGUCCCUCUCUCUCCUCCCCCUCUCUCUAUUUUCAGUCAGUUUCUCUCUGAAUUCAAUAGUGGUUUUGGUAUUAAUUUGGGUCUAAUAAUCUAGGAUAGGUUGUUCGAGGUUAUGCUCUCCAUGAAUGUUGGUGAUCUCUCUUGUAUGAUCAGCUCAAAGCACCGAUCGUUUUAAAAUUUAGGUAGUUUUCCUUUUGAUCUAGGUUAGGGAUCGAUAAUUUUAUCACAAUGUUAAUAAAUUUGAAGCUUAAUUAAUUGUUGUUUUCUGAUUACCGUGGGCACUCUACUCUGCUCAGGGAUUUCCACAGUCUGGUGUUGGAUUUGCAACAUCGAUCGAUUAUGCGAAGCUUGUAACUAAACUGUCAUUUGGCUAUAUGAGGUUAGUAAGACCUGAUUCUUGGUUACUAUGUAAGUUAUUUGACACACUACUUUCUGUAAUUUGCUAAAGUGCAGUUGUCACUGUGUUUUGUUUUAGAUGACAAUCAUGGCAAAGAGAAGUGUCAUGUACCCUUCUGUGGUUUACUAUACUUCUAGUCUCCUUGAGCAAUUGUAAGUGAUAGUUCUCAGAAAUUUUAGACUUCAUUGGUUUCAGUAGUUUUGUUGUAUUAACACCUUGUCAAUGUGAACCACAGUAUAACUACAUGUUAGGCACAUUCGUUGUAUUAUGGAUGUUAUGUGGGUUUUGUCAUGUACAUUAAUUUCUUUAUAUCCUUUGCAACAAUUGGUUAUGUUUUAUAUUACCAGCUUUUUAUUAUACAUUGGUAUCAAUAUUUACUUAUGCAAAUCUAUUGUGACCAUUAGCUUUAUAGUUCUUACGUGAAACAGCAUAGUCAUACUACUCUUCAAAUUCUUUUACGUGGAAGUUAUUUAAAAAGUAAGUUGUUGUAUGUGCAGGCCAAUAUUGAAGAUAUUAAUGUUUCUAAUAAUAAGAUAAAGGUUGCAAAACUAGCAAGGUAACUUCUACAAACUGAUGCUUACAGAAAAAGUAGCUAAGAGAGGUUGAUUAAUAAGCAUGUUGUUGUACUUGUGUUGAUUUCUCAGACUCCUGGUUUAAGUAUGAAAUUUUGAAUUCACAAUGUCCAAUUUGAUUGCCUGUAACAUGAAGUAUUUUGCAAUAUGCAGACAUAGAAUUAUGUUAGUGCAGAGUUUUAUAUAUAUAUGUUGUACCAUUAAAUCUUGAUCUUUAUAACCAUAUGAUGCUCACAUGGCUUGCAAUUCCAUUGCAAUUGAGCGUCGCAGCAAGUCCAUUGAAAUAUAUGUGAGUUACAAAUUAUUAUUAGCACUUUCAAGUACAUGUAUAGUUUCAACAUAUCAUUGCUCAAAGGAUAAUGCUCUUCAUAUUAUUCCUUCUGCUUUGCUGAGAUGCGAUUCAUUUGUAAUAAAAUUCUAAGUCAAUGAUUUUUGGACACCUAACAACUCCCUUUUCAUGAGUAUGGUGUUUUGCCUUUUUGAUAUAGUCUGUGUGAACCGGAAAAUUGAAGAAAUCUCUUCUCCAGUGUUGAUUUGCAAUGGGGGAAGGGCCCAUGUUUUGGGUACUCAAGUCUGCAGUUAGAGUCUAGUGCAAUGCUUGUAACUUCGCUGACAUUCCUCAUCUUCAUCCUACUUUUAGCUGUGAGUUCAUGAUCCUGUUCCAUUAUCAUUAUCACACACUACAAAAAAUAUAAGCAAAAACCAAUUUUUUUUCCCACCACAAAGCUAUUAUGAUUAUUAUUGUCACACGCUGGAAAGCUAUUAUGAUUUGAAUGACAAUGUCCAAUAUGAUGCAAUGCACCCUGAUAUUCUGAUCCUUUUGCAAUAUGUAGUUAGAGAAUAUGUUAGUGUAGGCUUGAAUUAUAUACUUCUGUGUUCACAAUAUGUAGUCUUUUGCAACUGGGCAACUGGGUGUGUUAUCAGAUUCUGUGUUCAAUUUAAGCAUAUGUCAUAAGAGAGAUGAUGUUUGCUUUGUGUUUGAGGUAGUAUGUAUGACUCAUAAAUUUCUUUAACCCUGCAAGGUGUGGACAGCAGGAAACCUGCAGUUGGGGUUGAGACAGAUGAGUCUGGAGGCACAGUGAUCGUGGCAAAGGUGCAUGAAGAGGCUUCCAGUAAUUGAAAUUAUAAUUCAAUUGGUAACAGAAAAAUUCUCAGUUAAUAUGAAGCUGUCUGAUGAGGUUAUUAGUGAGCAGUUAGGUUAUAACAUUUAGUGUGUAGAUAUAGUGUUUUUCAAUUCAUGUUUGUAAUUACUGACCUCUAUUGCGUUUUCUCAUGUGGAACUGAGAGAUUUAAUACAAUGGUUGUUAUCAAAGAAACAAUUUUACACUAAUUGUAUUUGUAUUAAAUAUUGAAUUGAUUUUUUUUUUUAAAUUAAUUUUGUAGAGUCACGAAAGCAGUACUAUAUAUAAUAAUAUAAUAGGCACAAUGUUGAGGCCUCUGAUAGGUUCUGGUGGUAGGUCCCAAGCGAGACCCAUGUGAAGCAGAUCCACGAAUGUUGUACAAUUGUGGGCAACAAGACAAUAGCCACCACACAGCAAAGGCCACAUUACCUGUAAGUGUUGCUGCAGCGUGGGGGAAGCUUAUCCCCACAUUUAAUCGUGGGUAUAGGGGUCAAAGCCCACGAAUAAAAAAAGUGGGUAUUGAUUGGUUUUUUGGUAGUGUUUGGUGAAGUAACUAACUGCCUCUAUGUAGAAGAGUAGAACUCUCGUGAAGAUGUGGACGUGCACUGUUGAUCAUCCAUGCAAACACAAUUAAGGAGUAGAGUCCUUAAUUCUCACAUACAUCUUCACGUGCAUGGGAAACCCUAAACUCCUCAAUUAUCCCUGACAUGCAUGGUCUUUCAAUCAAUCAAGGACACUUGCUCCCUUAAUCAUUCAGUCAACAUAUGUGGCUAAUGCCUUAGUCCUCUCCCAUGCGGACUCUUCUUCUCUGUUUCUUCUUGCUUCAUGGCGAAGUCUCCCGCUCGAAGGCAUCUCGCCUCGCUCAAUCUUCUACGCAAAGUCAGUCCACUUUGCAUGCAUCUCGCCUCCAUAUUUAAAACUCCAUUUCUAUGUGAAGUCUAUAACUCUUUGCAGGCAAGCAUCUUUCUCCGCCUGUAAACUUAUCCCGCUUGCAUGCUCACCGCUUCAUAUUGAAUCAAGUCCACUCACGUCUCUUAGUCCCUCUAUACCACGCGAAGUCUUUUUGUCCAUGCAAACUUGUCUAGCUCGCAUGACUUUGCUAACGGGCCAUCACUUGUAAACCCAAUAUUUCGGGCUCACCGAUGUGGACCAUGAAUUUAACUAAUAUUCAUAUAGACAAUUAUUGUCCAGUAAAAUAUUAAUUUGGGUGUAAACAGCCUAGUUUCAACUCCAUCCGAUAUAUCAAAGUUCAAGUUGCAUGAAAUCAGUCGCCCCAUACAUGCAUUUAAUUCCGGUGCAUGUGUUAUGUUUAGCCACCAGGGAUUCAGUCUUGAUCAUGAUGAUUACAAGAAAUGAUCCCAUCCAUGUUUGCUAGCAUGUUCCUAUUCAGGGUCCGACUUGAGAUUUGGAAACCCGAGACGAGUUUCAAAAAUGGUGUCCUUUAAUGAUUAUACGAGAAGAAAAAAAAACAACGAUGACUAUACAACAUUGUGUCACACGACUAUCUAAUAGUAACUCUACGAGUAUCACAUAUUAGAUAAACAACAAUUCUUCAAUUCUAAGCUCUUUAAUCGUUUACAAGUCAUCAGAUAAAGGUAUAUCAAGUACUGUUUAUAUCUCUAUAAAUCUCUGAAGAGAUCCUUGAGAUUGUACAGACCCAAAGGCUUAUAGUCACCUUCCCCACUCCACAUUUCAUGAGCCAAUUGGCUAUAAACCUUGUCAGUCAAGUGGAAAGAGUCCCAAAACACGUAUUCAUUAGGGUUUUGGCACAACUCAAACUCCUUGACGAUUCUCUUGCCUCCACAGCUAAACACCCCUCGAAACUGACCUGUUCCGCAGCAUGCUGAUUUUCCUUCUUUAAAACCUUCGUCACACAUACACACUAUUAGUUCAAAACCUUAGUGGCUGGAAUCGGCUAUAUACCAAUUGACAAUUGUUAUUUGAUAAUUAAUUGAUGAUUAUUGUAGAUCGGGUAUGUAUGUACCAUAUUUCGAAGGAUGUCUGGUUCUCUGUCUAAGGCUGUGGUUCAAGUCGUAGAGUGAAUACUUAAAACCCUUCAACUGGCUUCCUAGCUUCCUGAGAACUUUGAAGAGAGCUUGGUUAUGUAAUCUGGCAAGUGAUGAAACUUCUUCUAAGCAGCUACCGUUAUUUUCUGGUUUGAUUAUUCUCAAACCCGGGAGACAACCUAAUCUCGGCAAAUUGAUGAAACCAAAUUUUCGACCCCCUCCUGCAUAAAUCUCCUGCCAAAUUAGCUUUACAGUCAGUCGAGAUCGAUAACAUUCGAAAUUUCAGAAAUAUUAUCUUACCAACAAUGACAAUGUUUUAAUUUUCUCACACUAUUAGUACGUAAUAAAGAAAAGGAGUAAAAUAGUGAUGCAUACUUGGAUGAUAGUCGUCAAAUUGCCGAUGACCAUUCCUACGUACUCGGAAUGAGAGUGGGACUUGAAAAUAGGGGAGUCGAUCAGGAAAGGGCUCAUGUAAUCGUUGGUUCCGAUGUUAAACAAGUAGACGGCUCUUGACAGUGUCAUCUUGGCUUCAGCAUCGCCCAAUUUGUGUCUGAACCAGGUCUCUACCUUCUUGUAAUUUCUUAGUUGUGUUUUUAGAUCAAUCACCUGCAAAAUGGAUAAUAUGAAUGUGGUCCAUGCACUUUUCUAAUUUAGUUAAAUAGAUGUGAAAUUCUCUAGACACCAAGAGUUUGCCAAUUUCUUUUUGGCUCCAUACACUUUCACUUUAUACAUUUCUUUAGAAACACAAAACCUGUGAACUAAAUCUAAAGUUUGAGUUAUUAACAAAAAAAAUGAUUUUUGGCCUUAAUAAGGCCUAAAAUUUGUGGUCUUAAUCUUAGGUGGCAUGCUAUGUCACCUAAACACAUCAUCGAUCAAUUAAANNNNNNNNNNNNNNNNNNNNNNNNNNNNNNNNNNNNNNNNNNNNNNNNNNNNNNNNNNNNNNNNNNNNNNNNNNNNNNNNNNNNNNNNNNNNNNNNNNNNNNNNNNNNNNNNNNNNNNNNNNNNNNNNNNNNNNNNNNNNNNNNNNNNNNNNNNNNNNNNNNNNNNNNNNNNNNNNNNNNNNNNNNNNNNNNNNNNNNNNNNNNNNNNNNNNNNNNNNNNNNNNNNNNNNNNNNNNNNNNNNNNNNNNNNNNNNNNNNNNNNNNNNNNNNNNNNNNNNNNNNNNNNNNNNNNNNNNNNNNNNNNNNNNNNNNNNNNNNNNNNNNNNNNNNNNNNNNNNNNNNNNNNNNNNNNNNNNNNNNNNNNNNNNNNNNNNNNNNNNNNNNNNNNNNNNNNNNNNNNNNNNNNNNNNNNNNNNNNNNNNNNNNNNNNNNNNNNNNNNNNNNNNNNNNNNNNNNNNNNNNNNNNNNNNNNNNNNNNNNNNNNNNNNNNNNNNNNNNNNNNNNNNNNNNNNNNNNNNNNNNNNNNNNNNNNNNNNNNNNNNNNNNNNNNNNNNNNNNNNNNNNNNNNNNNNNNNNNNNNNNNNNNNNNNNNNNNNNNNNNNNNNNNNNNNNNNNNNNNNNNNNNNNNNNNNNNNNNNNNNNNNNNNNNNNNNNNNNNNNNNNNNNNNNNNNNNNNNNNNNNNNNNNNNNNNNNNNNNNNNNNNNNNNNNNNNNNNNNNNNNNNNNNNNNNNNNNNNNNNNNNNNNNNNNNNNNNNNNNNNNNNNNNNNNNNNNNNNNNNNNNNNNNNNNNNNNNNNNNNNNNNNNNNNNNNNNNNNNNNNNNNNNNNNNNNNNNNNNNNNNNNNNNNNNNNNNNNNNNNNNNNNNNNNNNNNNNNNNNNNNNNNNNNNNNNNNNNNNNNNNNNNNNNNNNNNNNNNNNNNNNNNNNNNNNNNNNNNNNNNNNNNNNNNNNNNNNNNNNNNNNNNNNNNNNNNNNNNNNNNNNNNNNNNNNNNNNNNNNNNNNNNNNNNNNNNNNNNNNNNNNNNNNNNNNNNNNNNNNNNNNNNNNNNNNNNNNNNNNNNNNNNNNNNNNNNNNNNNNNNNNNNNNNNNNNNNNNNNNNNNNNNNNNNNNNNNNNNNNNNNNNNNNNNNNNNNNNNNNNNNNNNNNNNNNNNNNNNNNNNNNNNNNNNNNNNNNNNNNNNNNNNNNNNNNNNNNNNNNNNNNNNNNNNNNNNNNNNNNNNNNNNNNNNNNNNNNNNNNNNNNNNNNNNNNNNNNNNNNNNNNNNNNNNNNNNNNNNNNNNNNNNNNNNNNNNNNNNNNNNNNNNNNNNNNNNNNNNNNNNNNNNNNNNNNNNNNNNNNNNNNNNNNNNNNNNNNNNNNNNNNNNNNNNNNNNNNNNNNNNNNNNNNNNNNNNNNNNNNNNNNNNNNNNNNNNNNNNNNNNNNNNNNNNNNNNNNNNNNNNNNNNNNNNNNNNNNNNNNNNNNNNNNNNNNNNNNNNNNNNNNNNNNNNNNNNNNNNNNNNNNNNNNNNNNNNNNNNNNNNNNNNNNNNNNNNNNNNNNNNNNNNNNNNNNNNNNNNNNNNNNNNNNNNNNNNNNNNNNNNNNNNNNNNNNNNNNNNNNNNNNNNNNNNNNNNNNNNNNNNNNNNNNNNNNNNNNNNNNNNNNNNNNNNNNNNNNNNNNNNNNNNNNNNNNNNNNNNNNNNNNNNNNNNNNNNNNNNNNNNNNNNNNNNNNNNNNNNNNNNNNNNNNNNNNNNNNNNNNNNNNNNNNNNNNNNNNNNNNNNNNNNNNNNNNNNNNNNNNNNNNNNNNNNNNNNNNNNNNNNNNNNNNNNNNNNNNNNNNNNNNNNNNNNNNNNNNNNNNNNNNNNNNNNNNNNNNNNNNNNNNNNNNNNNNNNNNNNNNNNNNNNNNNNNNNNNNNNNNNNNNNNNNNNNNNNNNNNNNNNNNNNNNNNNNNNNNNNNNNNNNNNNNNNNNNNNNNNNNNNNNNNNNNNNNNNNNNNNNNNNNNNNNNNNNNNNNNNNNNNNNNNNNNNNNNNNNNNNNNNNNNNNNNNNNNNNNNNNNNNNNNNNNNNNNNNNNNNNNNNNNNNNNNNNNNNNNNNNNNNNNNNNNNNNNNNNNNNNNNNNNNNNNNNNNNNNNNNNNNNNNNNNNNNNNNNNNNNNNNNNNNNNNNNNNNNNNNNNNNNNNNNNNNNNNNNNNNNNNNNNNNNNNNNNNNNNNNNNNNNNNNNNNNNNNNNNNNNNNNNNNNNNNNNNNNNNNNNNNNNNNNNNNNNNNNNNNNNNNNNNNNNNNNNNNNNNNNNNNNNNNNNNNNNNNNNNNNNNNNNNNNNNNNNNNNNNNNNNNNNNNNNNNNNNNNNNNNNNNNNNNNNNNNNNNNNNNNNNNNNNNNNNNNNNNNNNNNNNNNNNNNNNNNNNNNNNNNNNNNNNNNNNNNNNNNNNNNNNNNNNNNNNNNNNNNNNNNNNNNNNNNNNNNNNNNNNNNNNNNNNNNNNNNNNNNNNNNNNNNNNNNNNNNNNNNNNNNNNNNNNNNNNNNNNNNNNNNNNNNNNNNNNNNNNNNNNNNNNNNNNNNNNNNNNNNNNNNNNNNNNNNNNNNNNNNNNNNNNNNNNNNNNNNNNNNNNNNNNNNNNNNNNNNNNNNNNNNNNNNNNNNNNNNNNNNNNNNNNNNNNNNNNNNNNNNNNNNNNNNNNNNNNNNNNNNNNNNNNNNNNNNNNNNNNNNNNNNNNNNNNNNNNNNNNNNNNNNNNNNNNNNNNNNNNNNNNNNNNNNNNNNNNNNNNNNNNNNNNNNNNNNNNNNNNNNNNNNNNNNNNNNNNNNNNNNNNNNNNNNNNNNNNNNNNNNNNNNNNNNNNNNNNNNNNNNNNNNNNNNNNNNNNNNNNNNNNNNNNNNNNNNNNNNNNNNNNNNNNNNNNNNNNNNNNNNNNNNNNNNNNNNNNNNNNNNNNNNNNNNNNNNNNNNNNNNNNNNNNNNNNNNNNNNNNNNNNNNNNNNNNNNNNNNNNNNNNNNNNNNNNNNNNNNNNNNNNNNNNNNNNNNNNNNNNNNNNNNNNNNNNNNNNNNNNNNNNNNNNNNNNNNNNNNNNNNNNNNNNNNNNNNNNNNNNNNNNNNNNNNNNNNNNNNNNNNNNNNNNNNNNNNNNNNNNNNNNNNNNNNNNNNNNNNNNNNNNNNNNNNNNNNNNNNNNNNNNNNNNNNNNNNNNNNNNNNNNNNNNNNNNNNNNNNNNNNNNNNNNNNNNNNNNNNNNNNNNNNNNNNNNNNNNNNNNNNNNNNNNNNNNNNNNNNNNNNNNNNNNNNNNNNNNNNNNNNNNNNNNNNNNNNNNNNNNNNNNNNNNNNNNNNNNNNNNNNNNNNNNNNNNNNNNNNNNNNNNNNNNNNNNNNNNNNNNNNNNNNNNNNNNNNNNNNNNNNNNNNNNNNNNNNNNNNNNNNNNNNNNNNNNNNNNNNNNNNNNNNNNNNNNNNNNNNNNNNNNNNNNNNNNNNNNNNNNNNNNNNNNNNNNNNNNNNNNNNNNNNNNNNNNNNNNNNNNNNNNNNNNNNNNNNNNNNNNNNNNNNNNNNNNNNNNNNNNNNNNNNNNNNNNNNNNNNNNNNNNNNNNNNNNNNNNNNNNNNNNNNNNNNNNNNNNNNNNNNNNNNNNNNNNNNNNNNNNNNNNNNNNNNNNNNNNNNNNNNNNNNNNNNNNNNNNNNNNNNNNNNNNNNNNNNNNNNNNNNNNNNNNNNNNNNNNNNNNNNNNNNNNNNNNNNNNNNNNNNNNNNNNNNNNNNNNNNNNNNNNNNNNNNNNNNNNNNNNNNNNNNNNNNNNNNNNNNNNNNNNNNNNNNNNNNNNNNNNNNNNNNNNNNNNNNNNNNNNNNNNNNNNNNNNNNNNNNNNNNNNNNNNNNNNNNNNNNNNNNNNNNNNNNNNNNNNNNNNNNNNNNNNNNNNNNNNNNNNNNNNNNNNNNNNNNNNNNNNNNNNNNNNNNNNNNNNNNNNNNNNNNNNNNNNNNNNNNNNNNNNNNNNNNNNNNNNNNNNNNNNNNNNNNNNNNNNNNNNNNNNNNNNNNNNNNNNNNNNNNNNNNNNNNNNNNNNNNNNNNNNNNNNNNNNNNNNNNNNNAAAAAAAAAGCUAGCUACAUUAACUAUAUAUAGGCAUGCAUAUUCCAAUCACAUUACAGAUCCAAUGUAAUUUUAUAGAUUCUCAUCGAAUGCGAAAACAUUUGCGUACCGAGCCUUGAAACGUCUCAACCAGAGCACCGGCUCCUGAAGAUGCAAAGUUGGCUCCGCCGGGAUACUGGUGAAACCCCGGUUGCAGAAACGGCGGAAUCAAUGGCCGGUGAGCAUACUCGGCUGCGCAGUUCAUAGUGAUAAUGUUGUAUAUAAGAUUAUAAUAUGUUGAAUGAGAUAACAUGAUUAGCUAGCUAGUCACAGAACUCACAAUCAAGCAGACAGACAAUAUAUAAGUUAGCUAACCAAAGUGAUUUGUACAACCAAGGACAACAUUAACAAAGAUUUGCAAAUCUCUCACCAAUAAAGUCCGACAUCAAGCGCCCGUCGGAGAAUCUUCCAGUUGGGAACUUGAAGUAUGUCUCUCCAUAAGGCCUGAAAUUGGCCUGGUCGAGAGUUGAAGUGUUGAUGUAGUUGUUGUUGCCUGCAUCCAAGUAAGAGUCUCCGAAGAUGAAGAAAGCAACUCCAUGGCGAUGAUGAGGCUUCUCUGAAUGUGGCUGGGAUUUGCUUAAUCCAAAACAACAAGUUCUAGUGAAUACUAGCAGUGCAUGAAUGAAGAAAAGGAGGGAGACAAAGCUCGGCCUUGCCAUAUGUGUUGUCGAAUUUAUAUCUGACCCACGUACUAGAGAGGCACAGAAACUUUGUUUCUAUUUACUUGGAAUGGAAUGAACAAAACAAUAGCCGAAUAUUAACAUCUAGUAUUUUCGAAAAUGAUCGAUAGCAAAAGGGGUGUGGGACAAGUUCAUUAGUCUGGUCUAAAGGGUUUGUUAAUUCUCAAUCGAAUAAGAAAGACUUUGCCGACCACACGAGGGACUUCGCAAGUCAAAUUAAUUCGAGAAAUAGAAAAAUGCCCAUUUGGCUGAAACUAAUAUUUGGUGUUGAACUUUGAACCAGCUAUUGCCCAGAAGGAACUUUAAUCGUGUGUAGUUUGCCCCAAGUUCAACACUUUUGUUGGUUUUGAGCAAGCAAAUGCCGAAAGAAAAUACAAGGAAUAUCGGCGGGUUGCUGGGGGUGUGAACGUGUUGAGUUGUAAUGCUGCUCCCUAUAGAUUAAGAGAAGUCAAUUUCUAUCAAUCGUUGAUCCUAAGCAAUAGCUACAGUUGACCCUAUUAACUCCCAUCUCAUAUGACUUUCAUCAUGGUUCACGAGAAUUAAUUAGGCUAUUUCACAUUUCCACUGACUAAUAUAGGUGUUAGCCAAACAUUACGUAAUAAACUAUGAUAUACAUAAAUCAUCGAAGAUGAUAUAGUUGAAACAAUAUUGGUACGUACGUGUUGUGUGAUAUCACCGGUAGAGCUUGAUGUAUGGUGAUAUAAUAAAUUAAUAAUCUCGAUCCUUAAGGUUUUAGCAAACUGAGAAGUGUCAAAAAAGACCUUAUCACACAACAAAAGGAAAAAAAAACAAAGAGAAGCAGAGUGUGGCAGACCCCUCGCCUUCAGGCUAAAGGGUGAGAUGUGCUCACUACAUCGUCUGCUUCUGAGGAACUAAUAUCACCUAAUCAUUUAUUUUAUUUAAGGAAAAAAAAAAACCUUAUCACCUUUUAGAUGUGUAAUGAGAGUCUUGUGUCAAUUUGCUUUGUUAAAUUAAUUGUGUGAAUUUUUUAUUUUUUUCGCUUAUGCUCAAAGUCUCACUUCCCUCCCCAUUUUUCUCUCCCACCUCCCACAUUUAAGCAUCUUUCUUUCUAUUUUUUUUUUCUUGUUUCCAAUAUUGACAAUUACUAAUUUGUCUUUCAUCUAUUAGAAGACAUAUUUUGAAUUUUUAAUCAAUCAAGAAUAUUAUAGGUAGUUCAAGGAUACAUUUUCUUUUCUUUAUUGGUAUUUUACAAGAAUAACCCUCUUUGAUGUAUCUUUUUAUUUAGUGCACUUUCUACCACUAAGGAUGAUUUGGGGAAUUCAUAAAAUUGGUGAAGGUCUGGUUUUUUAAUAUAGUAGAGAUUUGAACAAAUGAAAGUCAUAGGGUAGUAAAAAAAAACAUAGGGUAGUUAAUCUCCAACCCAUUAUCUAAGUUGAGUUAAAAUAGGAUUUACUUAAAAUGUGUCAUAUUUUGACUCAACUAAAUAUGGCCAAAACCUAUAAUUAAUGAGUGAGUGGGUGUGGGCGUGGGCGUGGGCGUGGGAUAGUGUCAUAGUUUAUUAAUAUAAAAUAAUUAAUGAUUAAAAUAUGUUUGGGUUUUUACUCUAUUUAUGAUUAAACAAUGAUAUAAAAAUUAAAAUAUGUUUGGGUCUUAACUCCAUGAGUUAGAGAUGUAAAACUCAUAUGAAUAUUUAUAGGUUUAGUUGGCUUAAAAUUUGAAUUUAGAUUUGGGUUAUAGACCAAUAGUUAGAGAUGCCUUAAUGUUGUGAAAGGCGGAAAAAAGUCAUGAACUCGUACCAAAAGAAGAAGGGAAAAACAACUUUCGAAGUAUAAUUAUGAGAUGACAAUCAUGGCAUAUUUCCCCAUUUGUGAUAAUUAAACAAUUUUGUAAGAGUAAUAUAAUAGCAAUCGUGAUUUGCGUUUUGAUAAUUGAGACACAUGGAGAUUUGAUUUACUGUUAAAAGAUCAAUAACAGAACAAGUGAAAGAAAUUAUAUAAAAGAUGCUCACAUGACUCUAAUCUAAAUAGACUAUGUUUACUUAAAACUCAGUUUCAUAUAACAAUGAUCGAGUCGUGACUUUGAUCUAGAUUUCCAAUCGAUCUGUUCUAUAAAACUAGUUGGCCGGUUAAGCUAGCCAUCAACUAUCAUUUCAAUUUAUAUAAAGAUGUGAUGUAUCAUGCCUACAUUUAAAUGAAAAUGGUUCCGCCUAUAAAUAAUGAGAGUUACUUUCAAGACCUUAUACUUCUUCAUCCUAUAGAUAUUGAAAGCCUCAAUCUAGUUUAUGUAGACGACAACAAUAGUAUGGUUACCAGGCUCAUAGACCAACUGAGUGCUCGUCCCAGUAGCCAUGAGUACAUAUGAGCAAAGUGGGUCGAGGAUGAGCUCAGAGGCCGAGCUAUGCACAAAACUUCUUUCCUGAGUUUCCUCUAUAUGUAUUUUAUCAUUUGAAAUUGGUCAAUUGCCUUCAUCUUGUGAUCAUUGUACACAAUGGUCCCCCUUAAUCCUAAAGUUUGGCUUCACCACUAGAUGAGCUAGACCAAGGUACUAAAUGUUAGAUCUAUAUGGAUACCAAAACAGUUAAUUUGUCCCACAUACAUUGAUUCGCAAGUGAAAAGCAAGACGAUACAGGGUUAUAAUUUAUAAAUGAAGCCCAAUAGUUAAUCUUUCAGGAACAUUAAUUACGACGUCAGUAAUUACACUUACCUACCACUUUACCAUCGGAGAGGGAAAGAUCAAACAAGUCUCGGUCGUUCCCUUACCCGCAAGUUGACGAUGCUAAGAGGAAGGGACCACUACAGACACUUGCCGAGCUUCUGUUGACCCUACGGUAUUACGCAUAAAUAUUUGGCGACGUCUAUAGUAAUUUAUCUUUACUAAAAGUCUACGUGUCUCAAUGGCUGAGCAAGAUGAGCAAAGGGCAGGUGAUGAGUUAGAAUUAAGGGACUUACAACACACUGUAUUCGGGACAAACCCACUGGGUACCGCGGGAAGUUCAAGAAUCACAGGGGAUCAGCAGCGGGAACAGACUCCUGAUGGAGAUAUAGGAUAUCCAAACUCGAAGGAAGUGGCGUAGAUAGUGGAAGCAAUAAAAGCGCAUAUCUCCUAGUUAGAAAGGGACUAGAGGAAGGAUCAUGAAGAGGCUAUGGCAAGGCAAAAGCAAUUGGAGAUUAACAACGCGACCCUCAUGAGUGCAUUGUCCCGAAGGAUAGAACAUGGGGAAACUAAGGAUAGGGCAACAACAAUCACAUCCUAGCAAGAUCAAAGGAUAGCAUGCCAUAACACCCCGAGAGUGCAACCAGCGGAUAGAAGAAUUGAUGCAUGCCCUUAGUAGGAUCAGGACUAGAAGUAACUAGGGAUAGCUAAAAGGGUUGAACGUACACUGAACCCUUAGAGCGGAAAAGACUAGGUUUUUGAUAAACUGAUGUUUUUGAAUUUUCAGAACUGAGAAUUACAUUAGCUACAACUCCUUUAAAUAACCCAAACCAACUAUCUACUCAACUACCCAUAAUACAUGCACUAAGACUCCAGAACCCUCUAGCUAAAGACUACAGAAAACACAAGAAUGAUGACAAAUAAAAAGAUAAAGACAAUAAAACAACACUUAAUGAAACAUUGGGCUCUAGGAGAAUUCUUAAGUUUCUCCAUAGUAAUUACUUACUAUUUCAUUCUCCCCGAGUUGUAGAAAACUCGUCCUCGAGUUUGUAAGGAUUGAGGUGCUUGACAUUGAAGACAUUUGCUCUCUUUACAUGGCUAAGAAGUUGUAGUUGAUAAGCAUUAUCGUUUAUCUUCUUGAGAAUUUUGCAAAGACCAACUUUAUGGUCUUUGAGUUUAAUGUAAGCUUCGGUAGGAAACCUGUUCUUUGCCAAAACUGACCACACCACAUCCUUUUCUUCAAACUCUACCCUUCUUUGGUGUUGACCAGCUGCAGCCUUAUACAUUAGAUUGUUCUCUUCAAUCCUCUUCCUCACUUCUUCAUGGAUGAACUUGAUGUAGUCAGCCAUUUCAUCUGCUCUCUAGCUCAGUUUGUUUAGAUUUGGAAGAGAGGUCAAGUCUAGAACACCAUUUGGAUUCAUUCUAUAGGCUGCUUUAUGUGGAAGGCUAACACCGGGAAUAAGAUCAAUCUGGUGUUGAAUGUCUCUCAAUGACGGCAACCCUGGUGGAAGAUCUUCUGGUAAGACAUAUGUGAUCUCUUCGAUUAGAGGCUCUACUUCUUCCAGAAUAGAUGAGAUAUGGCUGCCUUCUUUUGCAAUUAAAGCGAAGCAUACUCCAACUUCUUACAGGAAGUUGGUGACUGAAAGAAAAUUGUCUCCCUUUGCCGUUGUCCUUUGUUUUGGAAAACCAUCAUCCUUCAUUUGUGCUAAUACUAUUUUCACUUUAUCUUUCCAAAAAGUAUAGGUAUUCUUUCUGUCAUCAUGGAUAUCACCUCUAUCAUACUGCCACAGUCUUCCCAGAAGGAUGUGACAAGCAUCCAUUGUAACUACAUCACACCAAACAUCAUCCAAAUACUUAUUUCCAAUAGAGAAUGAUACAAGGCAGAGUAUCAACGAUUACCUCGUUACCCUUCUUGAACCAUGAGAGCUUGUAAGGUUUUGGAUGCUUCACUUGCUUUAACUAGAGCUUCUUUACUGCUUCAGUUGAAACAACAUUCUCGCAGCUACCUCCAUCAAUUAUCAAUUUACAGACCUUGCCUCCAAUGGUGCAUGUGGUAUGAAAUAUAUUUCGCUGCAACAAAUCUUCCUCAAUUUCUUCUUUAGGCAUUAGUAUUCUCUUACAAAUAACUAAAGCCUCACUGAUGUCUCCAUACACCAGGUCUUCGCUGUAUUCCUCCAUUUCUUCAUCAAAGAUGGGAUCUCCGAUGUCAUCAUGGAUUUCCUCUCCUUCAAUCAUGAGUUGCUUGUUUUUAUCCAAACGGCUACUCGACGCUCCUCUGCAGUAAGAGGACUUGUGAUUUGGUUCUCCACACUUGAAACAACGAAGUUGGGAUGCAUUUUCUUGACCUUGCUUUACUAGUCCUGAAGUAUUCGAGCGGUUUCCAGCUGCUGCAGAUGAACUUUGAGUCCCUAAUUGACCACCCUUUGCUAAUUCUUGACCAUUGAAUGGUGCUUGAUAGUUUACUGCGUUGGUACCAGCUCUGGUAUGUGGCCGAGCACUAGACUUGCUCAGUCGUUUCUCAAUGAUUACAGCUCGCUGAUGUGCUUCAAAUACAAACCAAAAAGUGUGAAGAUUAAGAGCAUCCUGCAAACUUUCUCUCAGACCUCCAAUAUACCUCGCAACCAGUUGUUCUUCAUGCUCAUUUAGGUUAUUUCUAGCCACCAACAUAUAGAACUCCUCAAUGUAUUCAUCCAUAGUUCGCUCUCCUUGCCUUAGAUUUUGUAAACGCUGGUAGAGAGUACAAACAUAAUUGAAUGGAAGGAAAUUCUCCCUGAGCUAUUUCUUCAUCUUCUCCCAGCUUCGGAUCUUCUCCUUUCCUCGUCUUUCAUGUUUCAUCUUCAGUUGCUCCCACCAAGCAGGGCAAUCACGCAGGCUAUACGGACCAACGCAAUGAAGCUAUUGAACCUGAGUUACAACACGGAGGGAGACCCGUACUAAUUUAUGGAUAAUUCAAGUCACAUACGAACACAAAAGGGUAUGUUGUUGCGAUAUACUACAACAUUUUCCAAGAAACACUUACCGAGGAAGCUCUCAGCUAGAUCCCAACAAGGCAAAAGUGGAAACAUUGGAAAAACCAAGUAUCAGUAGGAUGAUCACGGAGAUCUUUGCCAUCGAGACUGACCCGGGAGCUCCAACUUGAAUGGAUCAUAUCAUCGAGGUCAUGAGCGGGGAGCAUUACUGAAGAACAGAAGAGAGGCUCGAAAGUUGCAAUCUUGAUGCGUCAGAUAAUGUAUUAUGGAGGGAAAAUUAUACCGGAGAGGAUAUUGUUUCUCAAAUCUCAAAUGUGUGACAAUGGAACAAGGCGAAACCAACCUCCUAGGAGAUGUGCUAUAGAGCAUCUGAGAGAAGAAAGCCGAGUGUUCUAACUAGAACCUCUAUAAGGUAAUUGGAUACAAGAUAAGUUGGACAAGUUAUGCCUUGCUUUGGCUAACAAUACCAGAUAAGAUGAUCUUGCAUAAUCAAUACACGAGGGAGUCUGCGGGAACCAUGCACGGGCAAGAUCGUUGGUCCAUAAGGCUUUAAGAACGGGCUACUUCUGACCCAAUAUGGGGGCAAUGGCAGACAGAGGGUCAGCGGAAUGUCACAAGUGUCACUUGUAUGCAAAUCAGGCUACUCCCUGCCCAUCGCGAUGUCAAUCCUCCACAUGGCUCCAUAGACAUUUGCACAGUGGGGGCUGGAGGCUCGUUGAAAAGCUACCAACUACCGGCUACCGCUCUCGAGCAACUCAAAUAUGUCAUUGUGGCAGUGGACUAUUACAUCAAGUGGAUUGAAACAGGGCCAUCGGGCAAGAUCACCACAUAAAAUGUCAAGAUCACCACAAUGAUGACAUGGCACAUACGGCCACCAUGGUGGGUGGCGGCCAUAGUCCCCUUUGUUGUGUCUAGUUUAGUUAACUAGGGUUUGUUUCAUUUGGGCCUAUUUUUUUGGGUUUUUUCAGUCAUUUGGUUGUUGGGCCUUCUAGUUAUGAAGUUGGUUAGUUGUUGAGUUGGCGCGCUGUCUUUUUAUGUGUGUCAGGCUGGGUCUUUUAGAGUUCGUUGGUGUGUCAUUUUUGUGAUGUGUGCAUGGUAACGAGUUCUUAAGGGUUCAUAUAGAUUUUCCGAUUUGCACAGUUCGGCUUUCUCGAUAUGCCUUUACUCUAUCGGUCGCAUGCGUGUUAUUGUUCCUUAUAACUCAUCAACAAGCUUGGCUUUUACUUUUCUCUCUACUCUAGGUUCCAAACCCAACCUAAUCUUCGUUUUGUAAUGAAGUUAUCUUGAUUAAAAAAGAAAAAUCUUAAUGACGUCACAAUCUAUCUCAAUCGUAUUUUAGGUAUAAGUUUGGUUUACAGUUUAGAUUGAAUUUCUUCUCAAAAGCAGUGAAGAUUUUCUCCGGUUUCAUUGUUUGGUUCAAGUUUAUUCUGCAAGCCCUGAACCUAAUUUGUAAGAAUUUAUUUUAUUCAGAAUUUUUGUUCUUAGUGUUAUCAAUUUAUUGUAUACAUCAACCCAUGGGGUUUGGUCCAGUGGAAAGCAUGCUGGGUCUGCUUGUUGGGCGAAUGUUAUAGUGACACUCCUGGUAAUAGGAGGUCACUGAUUUGAUCCUCCGCAAGUGAAAAACACCUCAUAAGGAGAGGCCAUACCCAUGUUGCUCCUGGCCUCGGAGUGAUAGUCCCACCCGACCACAUUUUUACCACCACCAAUUUAUUGUAUACAUCAUGAGCGUCUAAUUAAGCCUUGUGUGUUGGCAAAGCUACUGAUAUGAGACAUGCAUGAUUAAUUAGUUGAACAUUACUUUCACAGACCAAACAACAAAAAGUUGAUCAUAUCUUAAAUAUCAGAAAGUGAAGUGAUGCAAUAGAAUGGACAAAGCAACCAGUAUAAAAUUUUUGUUCACUUAAUUUGAUCGAUGUGAUCGAGUGAUGUCGUUUCAUACCAGAAAAGCGGCGCACAAAAUUACGAGUAUUUGCCAAAUUGGUAAACCAAUCCCAUCAAACAACAUGAAUCUUGGACUUGAUUGGUUUCAAGAGUUCAUAGUUGUUGAUUAGGUGUUAUCUACAUUUGAACAACUCUAUACUGUUAUUCAACUACACGUACAAUUAGCCAGUCACUAGAAAACUCAUGUUAUCUACAUAGUUGUUACUUCACCUCUAUAUGUUCAAAGCCAAUGUGCAAUUCAUGAACAUGGACUGGGAAUUGGUAGGAAAAGAUCCAAUGGUGUUGUGAACUUCAUUUCUGUUGGUCAGCUCCUUGUAAUCAAUAUUCAUGUCACACUCCAGACCAACCUACAAGAAUAUGAAUUAUGAUUAAACAAUCAAAUGGAAAGAAUGCUGGAUAUAGACUCGAAAAUCAGGAAUUCAAAACCUUGCAUAGAAAUAUAUAAUACAGUACGUGGUUGGGGGUCACAGUAGGAGUGCAUCAAUAUGGAACUAACCUUGAUCUUCAAAAGAAUAAUGUGAAAUACCAGCAGGUGAGCUCCAACAUCACCCAAUAUUUUCAUCUGAAACAUUGUUUUCCUGGAAUCCUCUUGCAAUGAAGCCUCUGUCACAAUCUGGCUGGCAUUCACACAUGGAAACAAAAGCCUCGUCUGCAUAGUCACAUUACUACUAUGAGCAGGUUGAAGAAACCCGGGAAUCCGAAUUGUUCCUAUAGGCACUCCAUCAUAGAGAGCUUCUAGGUGGGAAGGGGUAUACCAGAUGCCGACUUUGUUAUGAUUUUGAGCAUUCAGGGUCAAUGUGAUUACUGAUGAAACAAACAGGGUUGAACCCGAAUAGGCAUUGAGCUUAUAUGAAUCCACGUUUACGUCUUGAAGCGAAAAAACUGGCUUUUGGGGCUUCAUGACGAAGAUUAUGAUCAAUGUAGCUACACCCAGAAAAACAACUGGUAAAAGAAGAAAGAGGAGGAGAAAUAAACAGGACCUUUUGAAAGAAUAUGCAUGGCAGAGCUUUUGGAAACACGAGUGUUCUGAAUUUUGUAAUGAACUGAUGACAUCCAUGGCAGAACAACAUCUUAGGCAUAUGUUUGGGGGAGUUUAUCAUACAAUUAUAAGCUAUCAUCAGUUCAUCAUUGUUAAAUUAAAUGGUACUACUUGUACAAGAAGCGAGAAUUUGAUGUCUUUCUUUAGACUGUAGCUUUGUGUUUUGCUUUAUUCCUUUCUAGAGUUAUACCAGGGCCUUCACAACAGCAGCUUUGUAGAGAAAGCUAGAGCUUGUUAGAGGCUUUCUGUGACUUGGUUUACCCGAGAAGACAGGCAGGACUCGGUAGACUAUCCUUCCCUUUCCCCUCUACUUUCCCUAGCAAGCAACACAAAUUCACUUUUGAGUCGACCCUCCACCACUUUCGACUCUACCGAAUAAUUCUAGGCGGAUGAGAGAAAUACCCCAUCUGCGACUCUAAAGGCUGAACUGAACAAAUGUUCAUCUGCUAGACGAAGUUAUUCUGUAGGAGAAGUUUUGCGAUACAUCUAAUAUAUAUACAUCGAUAUUUCAAGUAGACUAGUUCGAUAUAGUCUCGACUUAUCUUAUGAAUGCAUGGAGAAGUCUAGUCUCAAAUUAACUAGUUGCUCAAUGUGGGUGCACUAAUGUACCUUAGACCAACUCAUUCUCCGUUUUAGUACUUGAAGUUGUACAUAAAAGGGUCACAAAUGGGAGACCUUCAUCUCUUAGUUGGAAUCAGAGGUACCCGUACCACAGCAUAUCCCAGCAUCCUCACUAUCAUUUGGCACGAGGAUGAUCCCACUUUAAUCUCUCGGGGUCUCUAAAGAACAAGCUUUUUAGGCCAAUUAUUUUGUAUGCUUGGUUGACAGGAGGUUACGACUGUUCUACAGCACACUCAUUUUGGGCAGGCGAAGACCGUGAAAUCACUAAAAUGCACCAAAACCUGGUCUGUUAGGUACACCUUCCCCUUCCCUUUCCCUAGUAUUAGUUAAAGGUCAAAAACCAAGGCCACCCCAAAUUCAAAAACCACAUUCUUAAUAUGCUCAAAGCCUCGGAUCACAUCCAGCACCCAUGAAAUGCAACAAUGGUCCCCUCAUACCUAAUUGGUCCUCCAAAUUCUCCUCAUCCUGAGCUUUCUGCGCAGAAACAUGUGACUAUAGAAAGCUCACUCAGGUCUUGUGGUCGCUAUUCUCAUCUUCUCUGCAAAAAGCUUAUGUUGCCACCAAGCUUAUGUUGACUAUUCUGAGCUGCCGGUGCAUAUAUGAGGUGAAGGGUCCAACUACCAAGGCAUUGCGAUCCAGUACUGUUGACCCCAUUGACACCUCAAGUAUGGAGCUAUGGCUCCAGAUGACAUCAGAGCUCCACACCCGCCACCAGAACCAUUAGCCGCAUGGCAGUCGUACACCUCACUCAAAACCAUAUUCAGAAGCAACAAGUGGCAAACAUGCACGAAACUCUUCACAUGGCUGAGGUAUACCGCGGUUACCAGUCGCUGAUGUGAUGCCAAGAAUCAAGUAAAACAAGAGUAAGUAAAGCAGCCUCUUGAAGCCAUGGACAAAUCAAGCAAGAGGCAAUGGACACCAAACUACGCAAGAAAAAAAAUAGCAAUAUUAUGUGCAAAAUUUGAGGGCCUCUUGUUAUAAGAAAAGACCAUAAAUUAAACAGAUCAAAGUUCACAAUCAUCAGGUUUCAGUAUCGCCACAGCACACAUUCCCAUCACAUCAGUACAAACAUCAAGUUUAGCAAGAAACAAGUCUUUAAAGGUAGAAGUAAACCUAAUACCUAUAUACUCCCCAAAACACCAGCAGCUACAGCUUAACAGACUCCUCACACAAGCCUUAUGCAUGUUCAACUGCUUGCACUGCAGCGAAACCCUUCCUGCAAGCACCAAAGUAUAAGAAACCAGGACCAGGUUCUCACGCCAAAGUAUAAGAAACCAGGACCAGGUUCUCACGUCGAAUAGUUUGAGACCAAAUAUGAAACGAAAUGCGAAACACUACUGAGGCUAAUAGAGAAUGAAACUCACUAACAUGUAGCUUUAUUUACAUAAACUUGAAAAGCUGGUGCGCUUAGAAAACUCCCCCAGCCAUUGAAGGAAGGUCAUCAAAGCUCCAAAGAUCCACUGGGUUACAACCAUCCUGGGUCAUAUCACCAUUGAGAAAGGUAUCAAUGGAAGUAUCCCAGCUCCCCUCAAGAUAUGGUGUCUGACAAUACUUCAUCUCAAAAGCUGACAGCUCCUCAGAGAGUGUCUUUGGGGCAACAUUAUUCUCAGCAGGCACAAGACCCUCAGGGUUAGCCUUCAGUUUCUUGGUUGGGUUAGCAUCCUCCAGAAACAAUGAGUUCUCACUUUCUUCCAGAACAGAAGAAAGAACAGAUGAGAUUUCAGGAGUCCUUGAGCCUUGUUCUCCCCAGCCAAAGUCAGAACAAUCAAAGGAAUUGCUUCCCU
This 109738-nucleotide long non-coding RNA is filed under the name Fragaria vesca (wild strawberry). Its description in RNAcentral is "long non-coding RNA (FVES_LNC003165)". The record is from RNAcentral. Lineage: Eukaryota; Viridiplantae; Streptophyta; Magnoliopsida; Rosales; Rosaceae.